Molecule: long non-coding RNA, 119845 nt
Filed under: Lactuca sativa (garden lettuce)
Lineage: Eukaryota; Viridiplantae; Streptophyta; Magnoliopsida; Asterales; Asteraceae
Source: RNAcentral
CUCUCCUCCAUCAAAAGUAUCCCCAUCUUUUCCGACAUGGCUGCUUCUUCAAUCUUCAUGGCAACUCCCAUCACACUCCUCAAGAAAACUCCCACCUUCUCCGUCAAAUGUAUGUCACAAACACCUCAAAGCGGUGAACCGGGGGUUUCAAAACCAGCAACCACCCCAACACCACCACAGAUCAACAUUCCUCCUCCUCCGCCACCUGCUCCAAAGGUCAGCACGAAGUUCUCUGACGUGUUGGCGUUUAGUGGACCUGCACCGGAGAGGAUCAACGGAAGGUUAGCCAUGAUAGGGUUUGUGUCGGCGAUGGCUGUGGAACUGAGCAGCGGUCAAGACGUGUUCACCCAGAUCGGCAACGGCGGUGUUGCGGUGUUUGUCGGGACAAGUGUGGUGUUGACGUUGGCGUCGUUGGUGCCGUUGUUUAAAGGAGUGAGCGUGCAGUCGAAGUCGAGUGGACUGAUGACAUCAGAUGCAGAGCUUUGGAAUGGGCGGGUUGCGAUGUUGGGUCUGGUGGCUUUGGCUUUUACUGAAUAUGUUAAAGGCAGUGCCCUUGUCUAGAUAAUGUAUCAUAAACUUUUCUAUUACAGAAUUACAUCUAAGAUAGACAAAUGUAUAUUGUUUUGAAUAUUUAUGUUUAUCGAUUUACCAUACAUAGUUCAAAUCAUAAAAAGCAUGUUUUUUGAUAAUAUAGUAUAAAACAAAUAUAAUAUCAAUCAAAUUGAACGAUGUUGUGGUAUCUUUCAAUAUAAAAUUCUCUUUAUAAAAAUAAACAAACAACGUACUAAGAUAAAUUUUAGAGGAAUGAACUUAGAUUAGCAAUAUAAGAGUCAAAGUCUACAAAUUAAGGUAUUGAAAUCCUAGUUUCACAACUUCCUCUUUGAAUGUUGAACUGAGGUGAUCUUCAUUAAUUCAGACUGAAUAAGUGACUUAGUCCAGCCUAGUCAAUUAGCUAAUUUAAGAUGACAAGUAUCCAAAAUUCAAAAACAUUAUAGAGCUCAAUUUCAAACAAAAGUGACAAAUGACUAAUGCUCACAAAACGAUCACCGAAUCAUUCAAAGCAUUUACUAAAAGCCAGUCUAAUUCUUAUUGGUUUGAAAUCUAAUUUUAUCAUCAACUGUAUACAAGAUUGAGAUUGAUAUCAGAGUAAUAAUCUCUAAAAGCAAAAUAAUGUAUUCAAAAGAAUAUAUAUACAAAAUGAAUUAUGUCCCAAGCAGUACUGUGCAUGAGUAUAAGAUUACUAUUAUGUUGGGAUCCAUUAAUUGAUAACUAAGCACACUUCCAAAUUUACUAUAUGGAAUUUAGUUAAGGAUUAAUGUCAAGUGGGGUGCAUCCACCCCACUCAAAGGCCUUGUAUAUGUUACGGUCCCAAGUGAUAUUUUAUAAGGGUCUUUUUGUAGUUUUUCUUUUCCUAAUAUAUUAACAUUUUUUUUUGAUAUUUUUGGAACUUUUUAUUUUCUGAGAAAAGUAUACAAAAUAAUGUAUAUACAAGCUUACUUGAAGAUAUGAUCGUUUAUGAGGUUAUUCAAGACUUAUUCUCUUGAAGUAUCUAUUCCUAGCUAGAUAUGAACAAAUGUGUUUGCAUUUAUCCUUUUUUGCCCUUUGUCAAUUCUUGACUAAUAAGGUAAUGGUAGUUCUUGGUGAGGGAUUCACCUCUGUAUUGAUUCUUCAUUCUAUUUAAAUGUUUGGAUUCACCUCUGUAUUGAUUCUUCAUUCUAUUUAAAUGUUUGGAUUCACCUCUGUAUUGAUUCUUCAUUCUAUUUAAAUGUUUGGAUUCACCUCUGUAUUGAUUCUUCAUUCUAUUUAAAUGUUUGGAUUCAACAAUGUCUAGUUGAGUAGUUCUUUAAAAGCACAUUCUACCAUAUGCAUCUUUAUGUCAAUAUUAAUUGGGGAUUCCAUAAACUGAAACUCUUGGAGCUCAAUAGUGUAGUUGAAAAACUUUUGUUGAGCCCACCACUUACAUGAAAUAGGAGACUUUUUUCAAUAAACUAAGUGGUUCCUUCUUUAUGGAUCAUCUUUUCGUUUCUCCUUUUGAAAGGUCCCCUGGUGAUACUUUUAUGUGUUAAUGAAACUCAGUCCUUAUGGCAUGCUUUUUGGAUAUGAUAGUACGUGACUAUCAAGAGCUUAUUUCUACUCAGUAUAGUCAUACUCUCAUAAGUCUCUCAAGAUUUUACACUCAGAAGCAUCGUUAGAUUGUAUGGCUACCUACCUUGUACUAUAAGCAUGUUUAUUAACAUUUAGGGAUUUAUUUAGAAGGAUAUCAUUUUUCAUAUUUUUUGUCUAACACCAGAUCUUUUUUCUCAGCUCAAUUGUUUCAAGUAAAACUAAGUGUCUUCUUGAUUCGACAACAAACCAUUGGUCAUCUUUCCGAUUUCAAGUAUUUUGCAUAUCCUCUCAAAACUUCUUUAUUUUUUAACACAAAUUCAAAAACUAUUAGGUAUCGGGAUUUUAAGGCUUCUUUAUUUUCACCCUCAAUUAGAUUCAUAUUUUUCAUUGCCUUGCAGAUUUCCUUUUUAGUUUGAGUCUAUUUAUCACGAGCCUGAAGUCAUUUUCUUCCCCUACCCUUGUUAGUUUUGGCUAUUGCUAGUGCACGUACUUCAUUGGCUAAAUGAGAAGACACCUCGAUAAUGGUGGAUGACUUGGUGAAAUUUAUAGGUUGUUCCUUAGGCUAUCCAAAGUGGAGGUAGAAGAAGACGCAUGAUGCUGAAUGGACAUCCAAGUCAUGCGUGAACACUGCCCGAUGGCUUGGCUAUGGAGUCUCCAUGAAGACGAUGCAUUCGAUUGGUUUAGAAUCUGGUCCCUCAUAUUUUCUCUCCUCCUUUUUGUCCCUUCACUACCAACCCACCGGUAAACACCAUUUCCACAACCUAAUGGGUUGAUUGUGGAAUGGUAAACUACCUAUGUGGCGCUGAGUUAGAAGGUGUUUUGGAUAUAACCACUCCCCACAACCUUAGCAUUAGAACAUCCUGAUGCUCCACAUGAACUAAGAACAUCACUUAAUCUUCAUUAAAUACUUUGGGGUUGUACUCAUAAAGUAAAAUAUCUCCCCCCUUAGACAUAUCAUCAUUUUCCUCAUCUGAUGACCAAGGAAUUUGUGGAGAUAUAUGUGACUUUGGAUUAAAGGGGGUUAUAUUGGUCAUCCUUUUUAGACAACUUUUUAAAUUAAUCAAUCCAAGCUCCUAUACCGACGACAUUUUCUGGAAUCUCUUUAGAUGGGGAUGAUGGUUCAUUAAGCGACGACAUUUUCUAACCGUGUACCGACGACAAGUCGUCACAGACAAGUCAGGAUAGGUCAAAAAAGUCGUCGGCAUAGGUGUCGUCGGGAUAGGUACCCCAUAUACCGACGACAUGACGUUGGUACAAGUACCGUCUGGAAUGAUUUUCGAGAAAAAAAAUAAAGUUUUAUUAAUUACUUGUGGCGACGACAUGUCGUCGGGACAGGUGCCACCUAUAGCGACGCCAUUUUGUCGCCACAUGUUUUCCACAAAUAUCAAUCAAAUACCUAUAGUGGCGACUAGUCGUUAGGAUAGCCACUGGGUGUUUUUUUUUUUUUUUUUUUUUUUUUUUUUUUUUUUUUUAGUUUUUACAGAUUUUGUACAUUUACCAUUCGUGCAUUUUUAACAAAUCCAAACAUUUUGCAGCAUAUAUCAAAUAAGAUACAAUAACUGGGUACCAUUGUUUAAAUUCAAAACAUCAAAUUCAAGUUUAAUAUUACAUACCGAAUUAGAUAAAAUAAGUAGUUAACAUUGUUCAAAAUAACACAAAACAUAAACAUCAUUAUAUUCUUUUUUUUUUCUUCUUCUUCUUCUUCCAUCCUCUCGGGUUCACAUUUUGUUGAGAGGUAUUUCCUUGUGAUGUACUUCCUUCUGUGUUGGAAUUGAAUAGAAAACUAGCAAACGGUGGUGGUUGUGUAACAUCCCAAAAAUUUUAACAAAUAUGAACUUUUCAAAACAACCCAUUUAUUAACAAAAGUGUUUACAAAAACAUGAUUUAAAAUUAGAGUCUCCCAAGAUCCACUUUGUUCUAAAACCGAGGAUGCGUACGGUCACGCCUUUGCCUUGCCAUGAAUCAUUUGAAGAAACUGAAACCAUAAACAAAUCGUAAGCAAGAAUCUUAGUGAGUUCCUCCAAAAUACCACCGCACAAACAGAUAGCACAUAAAUAACGACAACAUGUACUAGGUCCACAACUAAAAGACUGGAUUACCCCUGAGCCUAUAAUAUGAAUCUGGCUUGCCUAUUGGGCCCACAACUCAUAUCUGGUUUGCUCUUGAGCCCACAACAUAAGUCAGACUUGCCCCUGGGGCUCACAACUUAUGUCAGGCUUGCUCCCAACUCAAUCAGUCAUCGGACUAGAAUACCAAUGUUCAGCCCUGUGACAACCUGAAAUUUCCAUUCUGAACAAACCAUAUCAAUCCAAUAGAAGUUAGAACAGUUACAAUGAAAUUCCAGACUUUGGGCAUAAGUUUGACAGUUUUUCAGGAUUUACACUUAAGGAGAUAUCAGGAGAGUGGAUGCACUAGGGUUUUGUGCAACACUGUUAUUCCAAAACUCUAGGAUAUUAGGGUUCAAUUCCGGAAUAAAAAUAUUUUCUGCCAAAAAUCUCAGGACUAUAUAUAGAAAUCUGAGCCAUAUUCAUUCAUUAGUUACAUUUCCAACUAGAGAAAAGCCAAAUUCUCUCUCACGGAUCUUCAGGUUUUUAUCCCAAAUCGUGAGUACUUCUAUCUAGUUGUAUUAUAUAGCUUAGAUUGUUUUUUAUAACAUCAAAAUCGGAUCAAAACCCCAAGAUUUGGGAGUUUACCGCCCAAGAACACUUGGAGAGUAAACUCCUUUUUAAGGGCCAAAAGUGUGCCCAAUGUCCCUCAAAGCCUUGGGAAUGAACCUAGAAGCUACCAUUACAUGUUUAAGACCACAAAACAAUUAAGAAUCAUGGCUAGAAGUGAGUUCACGGCCAAGGAAGUUCUUCGUCCGUGAACUCCAUUUUUAUGUGCCAAAAUGCCCUAAAAGCCUUCCUUAAGCCAAGAGACUAAUUUAGACAUGUACCUAGAUGAGUUUAGGACUAGCAAACACCUUUAGAACACCAAGAGUAAGGUGUUCACGGCCCAAGAAGUUCUAGGGUCGUGAACUCCAAACAAUGGUGCCAAAUGGUGCUAUAAACUCUCCUAAAGCCUUGGACAAUUUCCUUGCUUCAUUCUUAGAUAAAUUAGGGACUUGAAAACACCACAAACACCCUCCUAAGGGAGAUUACGGCCGUAAUCUCCAUGGGAUAUGGUCCAUGGCGCGUGAACUCCUCAAAGGAGUUAAAAGGAAGCCCAAACACUUGUUUAAGCCUAGAAGCACUUCACCACUUAAGUUGUAAUAAUGUUAGGCUUCAUUUAGUGACCCUAUAGAGAGUUUACGGCCAAGAGUUUACUCCCCUAGGCCGUAAACUCCAACACAUAUGGUCUUUUGACCAUAAACUCCCAUAAGAGGUCUUGCACUCCUUUGUUGCAACCCAUUAGCCUCCUAGCACUUGACCAAAGUGUUUUCCUCACAUUAGGAUGUUUAUACAUGUUUAAUUAGUGUUAUAAUCACUAAUUGUUUAUAUACAUAUGUCUUCAUAUGUAAUUAGGACCAUUGUGUGUGUCUAAAGUCUUCACUUGACACCUAGCAGUCCUACCUCUUCAGUUCAUCCGUAUCACCCACAACAGGUGAGUUUAUACCUNGGGGAUACAAGUAGAAUUAUGCUAAUUAUUAUAUCAAUCACAGGUGAUUAAUAAGCAGCAUUCAAAUGAUUAGCUACUCAUUAGCCGUUUUACCAAACCGUUUCCUUCAAAUGUUUUUCAUAAACACCUUAUGUGUUUAAAACUCCUUAUUACACUGUACCUUUUAUUCUGUAUGUUUCAAUUCAAACUUAUUUACAAUUGUGUUUCAAACAAAUGUUUCUUUAUACUAAACUAUUUUGUCAAACCCAUGCCUUCAAAACCGUUUUAUAGAUUGACAUCAAGUCGAUCUUUUCUUAGAUAAUAAUUAUGUUCAAAGGUUUUACAAAACUUAUUUUAUGUUUUUAUAUUAUAAAUUGGAUGCCUAUAUAUGCAUAGUUAUAUAAUAAAUGUUGAAAGGACUUAGGAAGGCUAUCCACCCUAUUUCCUUUUCCUCGAUUUGGAUGUGGUCUGGUGGGAUAUCAGGUACCCGUCCGAAGGUUGUUUAAAUAUUAAUUAUAUAUCAUGUGUACGUAUAUAGUCAUAAAAGUCCUUCCAGCUCAGCCAAUGCCCUUGGGUAGCAAGGGUAUAUUUAACAUCCCCCUCUUGCACGUAUCACAAUAUUAUCCGCUUUGGGCCACUCGGCACGAGGACUUCCCAGGGGGUCACCCGUCCUGGUACUACUCCCGCCCGAGCACGCUUAACUACAGAGUUCUUAUGGGAUUUGCUGCCCUCACGGCUUUAAAACGCGUUGUGCUAGGGAAUGUAUCCACACCCCUUAUAAGGAAUGCUUAGAUCUCCUUCCCAGCCGAUGUGGGAUCAGAUCUAACCCACUUUCACCCCCCAUUAUAGGGUUCGACGUCCCCGUCGAACACAUCGACCCAUGCCCUGGCUCUGAUACCAAUUGUGACAUCCCCUAAUUUCUCGGCCAGAAAAUACCGAUUUAAUUUAUGCUUUUUAAAAUAAAAUCAGAGAAAUCUUUUUAAAAGAUGUUGCGGAAUUGGUCCCCAAACAACAUAUGAUAAAAGUUUAUCAAAAUCCUUCAUUAAGAAGGUAUAUAUUUUCCAUAUAUAUCAAAACCUCGGGAUUUCAUGUUCCGAUACAGAUCAAAAGCAUAAACAAGACAUUAUAAGCCUUUCAACAGUUAUUUACAACUACUGGCCUAUAAUCCAAAAAUUCUCUCGUCGUCCUCCGACUAUGCUCAGGGUCCACUACCUGUAAUCAUAAAAACUGAGUGGGUCAGGCUUGGGAGUCUGGUGAGCAUAUAGGGGUUUCAACCCACAAUAAUAAUAUACUUAUUAAGUUCACCAAUCAACAAUAACCCUGAUUACCCAUUCCCGUUGUCCUCACUUUACGUCCCUAAACACCUAUCACAAGGGACCUAGCCUAAGGAUUAUCAUCGGGAUGGACACUACUGCUAAGGGGUUUCCUCAGCCAUACAUGUCCUUAAGGCAACCAUGAGGGGGAUGAAGUACGCCAAUGAACAUUUAAUUCAUCAACACCUACAAGUUGCGAACCUGCUAGUGUUCGACUGGACUAUCUAGAAAGUCUGUGGUCGUCAUCUAUACUCCGCUAGAUGACUACAACAACAACAACAACAACAUCGAGGCCUCUCACCUUUUUAACACACAUCAACUAUUUCAUCUACCCAUGUUCUACCCAACAUAUUUUGUAGAUAAAAAGAAUAUACAGUUUGAAACUUGUAUAAAACAUCAAAUCAAUAGUCACCUUAGUUAAACAAUUACUAUAUUUACACAUAACACGUAUUUCAAGGUAAAUACUUCAUAUCUAUGUGUAAAUUGAAAGUAACUACACACUCACAUAUUUUGAUGAACAUCGGGCAACAAUUCAUUUCCUAAAACGAUCGUUUCUAAUAAAACCGGGAGUUUUAUUGAGAAACUGGGCUCUGCAAAAGUCGGGGUUUGAAACCGAAAAGAUAAAUUUUCCGGGCUUCACGGGCACUUCGUGGAGUAUUCCGGGCUUUACAAUCGAUACCGGGGCUUUGCGGGAUGUUAAGAUGAAGAAAAUAUGGGUUUAGGGGUUAAAUAUGGCAAAAUUUCAAAGUUACCUGGGAGGUCUCGCACCCUUCUAUUUAUAGGGGCGAGGCUUCUGAUCCAACGGAUAGAAAGAGGACACGCGUCGCAGAUCCGAAGGCUCGCAGGGAAGCCUCGCACGUGGCUGCGCAUGGCUCGCACCUGUGAGGGGCUCGCUGGCAGCUUGUGAUUGGACCGAGGUCUAGGGUCCGAAGUAGAGGGUUCGUGGCAUGUUGCGAGGGCUCGGUCUCGUGCAUGAGGGUACGUGUCACCUUCUCAGUGGACCACUUCGGAUAAGGCCAUGUGCUCGGAUGACUCAGCAGCUCGGGUGACUCAACAGCUCGGAUGACUCAGCAGGACACAUGGCACUUUUUCAGCGAGGGUGACGUGGCAACUCGUGACUAUGCGAAUUUUCUCGAUUUUCGCGCCAAAACUUCUAAAAUCCAUAACUUUCGCAUACGAGCUCCGUUUUUGACGUUCUUUAUAUGCACGCGUAGCUAAAAUUACGCUCUACAACUUCCGUUUAGACUUCGUCGGCUAAUUUUGAAUUUAAAUUUUAUAUUAUUAUUUUUAACAGACCGGGACAGGAAAUCCGUUAAAAAUUCAUAACUUCUUCAUCCGACGUCCGUUUUCAUCAGAAUUUUUACCGUUGUGCUCCUAAUGACGAGACCUUCAAUUCUCGUUUAGGUUGUGUCGGCUAAAAAUCGCUCGAUCUAAAAUUCGAGUUUUUUAGCUGUCUACUGCUAAGCUGAAACUUCGAAAAAUCAUAACUUCCUCAUACGAAGUCAGAUUUGGGCGUUCCUUUUAUCGAACUUCUCAGUUUAACGACUACUACGACUUUCAUUUAGAUUACUAAGGCUAAAAAGUAGUUUAUCGAAAACUCACUUUUUACAACAUUCAGCACCGUGCCGGUUUUGUCGCGAAACUUCGACAUGUCAUAACUUCUUCGUUAUAACUCGGAUUUUGGUAUUCUUUAUAUCCCCGAAAUCCUUGUUUCGACCACUACAAAUUUAUGUAAAGAUAUCGGGCUUAUCUCCCACUUUAAUUUUGACGCUUAUUUUUAUUCUUAACUAAUUAAGCCCUAAUAAUUAAGCAUAAAACACAUAAUUCAUAUAAUAUUCACAUAAUUCCUUUUCAUUUCUUCAAAAUGAGUUACAAAGGUUAACCUAGACUAUCAACUCAAUAUAAAUGCCUAGGAUAGAAACAUGAGUGUUACAAAUUGUAUCAAGACAUGUUAUAUGGACGUGUUGAACUUCCGUGUCCAUUUCUCCUUCUGCUGUUUGUUCUUCUAAAGAAUGAGGAAAGAUAUCCAAGUCUAGCAUAUGCAGAGAACUAGCAACAAGUAGAUCUAAGUCGUCCAAGUUGUUGGCAAUUUCGACUGGACUCGUCGGGUCUAGGAAAGUGACUCGGUGAGUCAGAUCAUAUUUCACCAUUUCCACUGUGUUUUCCGAGUCGGCUCCUUCCAGUAGCUUUUCUAUCUCCUCCAAGUCCUUGUUAACAUCUCCAUCCUCUCCAGAAGGUAGCAAAAGCUUGCUUGGAUCUUCUUCUUGCAAAAGUGCAAGUUCUUUUUGUAGUAUCUCAUCAUCCAAAUCGAUAAAUGAGAUAUCUUCUUUUCCUUCCUCUUCUUGCUUGGCUUCUGGUAAAGCUCUAAAUAUUGCUGACUCGUCUCCUACCCUUAAUGUUAGUGUAGACUCGCAUACAUCAAUUAAAGCACAUGCGGUGUUUAAAAAUGACCUCCCCAAAAUAAUCGGAAUUUCGGGGUCUUCUUCCAUAUCAAGCACCACAAAGUCUACUGGAAAUAUGAACUUGUCGAUUUUAAUAAGAAGAUCCUCACAAACGCCUCUUGGAUGAAUUGUUGUCUUGUCUGCCAAAUGGAUCUUCAUGUUUACCGGCCUUGGCUCCGAUAAAUUCAGUUUCUUGAAGAAAGAGAAAGACAUUAGGUUAAUGCUUGCACCUGAGUCGGUCAACGCUUGAGUGACAAAUGCAUUUCCAAAUUGGCACGGAAUUAUGAUACUCCCCGGAUCGCCCUUCUUUUCGAGUAACUCACUCAAUAUUAUUUCCGUGACUUCAGCCAAAUAUUUCCUAGCAGCAAAGAGACCCUUUAGUAAGUUGAAGUACUUGGGUGUUUUAAGCAUCGUUUCUACAAAUGGCACAUUGACUUGUAGGGAUUUAACAUGCUCCAUAAAAGCUCAAUAAGCUUCAACUUUUUCAACUGGCAUGGCUUUGAUUGGGAAUGGCAAAGGGGGAUUAUAUGGCUUUAAGGGAAUGACGGUUUUGUCAUUAACGCAUGGACUCGUCGAGUCCAUUAGAGGGACUCGGCGAGUCUUGUCGGGCUUAGCUGGAGCCGACUCUUCUGCCUUUUCUGUCUUCCUAUUGGAGAUCCUCUGUGCAUGUGUGAAAAUUUCUUCAUUGCUGGAAGUUACUGCACUCACAUUCUCCAUUCUCGGAUUGUUUUCGGUGUUACUUGGAAGUUGACCCGGUCUUCUUUCGUUCACUUGAUGUGAAAGUUGUCCCAGCUGUUUCUCAAUGUUGAGAAUGGAUGCCUGCUCAUUCCUUAGCAUAUUUCUGGUCUCGUGUAUUGCAGCAUCGUGAUCAUUGUGUCUCUUUUCGGACACGGCUAUGAAUCUAGUGAACAAUUCUUCUAAAUCGGCUUUCUUUUCCAUUACCGGUUCUUCCUUUUGAUAAAAUACCCUCUCCUUCUGCUUGUAUUUCUCCUCCUUAUCCUUCUUGUAUUCUUCGUAUGGGAGCCAUUCCUUCUUCGGUUUCCCCCAAUUCUCGUCGUAUCUAUCGCCACUUGAGUAGAACACUUGAGCCUUCUUGUUUCCAUUUUCAUCCAAAUCACAAUCCUUUGUGAGAUGGGGCCCUCUACAAUUCUCACAUCCAACAUGAAUAGCAUGGAUUGUUUGAUCCAUUUUUGUCAUCCUUCUAUCUAGACUAUCGAGCUUAGCUAUCAUCGCCGCCAUGCUAUCAUUUGCCGAGUUCACUACCCCCCGACUUACUUCAUUUAUUGGAUUGUGGUAUUCUCUAGAAUGCUUAGAGAAUUCUUCAAUUAACUCCUUGAUUACCGGGGGCGCCUUCUUCGUGAGCGGGCCUUGUGAAUCGAGCAAUUGCCUUGUGGUGACAUUGACUCCAUCAUAGAAAAUGGAGACCUCUUGUUGGAUAUUGAGGUCAUGGUGUGGGCAAUUUCUAAGCAAGCUCUUGUACCUUUCCCAAGCUUCAUAAAGAGAUUCUCCGGGUUGUUGCUCGAAGUUGGCAAUGGCUUUCUUUAGUUUAGCUAUUUUGGAGGGCGGGCAAAAGUGGUCUAUGAACUCUUCUUUCAUCUUGGCCCAUGUGGUGACCGAUCCGGGAGGAAGUGACUUGAGCCAAUCCUUUGCAUCACCCUUGAACGUGACUGGAAGCAUGCGAAGUAGUUGGGUCUCGCGAGGCAUAUUUGGUACAUUGAAGUAGUCAGCCACAUCAUUUACUUCAUCCAAGUGCUUGUAGGCGUCUUCGUGGUCCUUCCCAUAAAAAGGAAUCUCCUUGAGUUGAGCGAGAAUAUGGCCUUUUAGUUCGAACGUAGUGGUUGCGGGAAUUGCGGGUUGCACAAGUCCCGAGCCGGUGUCAUCGCGCAUCCUUUUCUUCCAUUACCCCAUGGGGACUUCAUCGAUAUUAGCCAUAGCGAUAGCUAAAUCGUCUUCAAACUCGGAUUCUUGCUCGUAUGUGGGUUCUUCUUCUUCCUCGGUCUCGUACUCGAUGUCUUCUUGAAUUGGGUCUCUGAUUGUCAAAGAGGCACUGGAUGCUCCUGAUUUGCUGCUCCUUGUCUUGCUGAAAACGGACUUGAGGUUUUUGAGUGGUAAGUUCUUUGAAGAAGCGGAUUCUCCAACGGUUUUGCCUUUGCUCCUCCUUAGUGCGGAUUCCGGGUCUUCAAGAGGAGGGACCAGAGGUGUAUCAGAUCCUCAGGUCAUGAAACAACUGUAAACAAAACAAAAAACGCGUAAAAAGAACAAAAAAUAAAUAAAAAUUAAAACUGUGAAUCAGCGAUGUACUCGCCGAGUCGGCACGAGUGCACUAGGCGAGUCUGGUCAAAACAUAGAAAAAUUUUUCUAGUUACUUUAAAAACGGAUUUUUAUUAAAACUUAUACUACUUACUAAAUUACCUUUUAAAUAACUUUGUGUAAGAUAAAUCCCACACAAAUGAUCGAUUAAAUUAGAAUUUAACGUUAAUUUUAGAACCGUUCCCCAGCAACGGCGCCAAAAACUUGAUGUGUGCAAACUCACUUAGUUUUAAACCUACUUUUAAUUUUAAAAUAAACACACAAAGGCAGUGGACCUAUCAAUUGUGGUAUAGUUAAAUAAGUAGGGUAUCGAACACAGGGAACGGCAAAUUAAAACUAAAAACUAAUUCUAUCUAAAUUAAUUAAUAAGUAGGAGGUUUUCUCUAGUUUUUCAAGACUAGAAACUUACUAACUAUUACUUAUUCUAAAACUUAGAAAAACAAAGAAUUAACUAGAUUCAAUAAUGGGAAGGAACUUCUGUUUAGUUCAACUCAAUUGAUCCUAUGGUUGAUAUCAAGGUAAUGGUGCAAUGGAUUAACUCUUUUGUUGGUUACCGAUUCAAGUGAUUAGAUUUGCGUUCACUACACUAAUCCUUAGCAAAUAAACUAACUUAAACAGUGGCCAGUUGUCUAAUUUAAUUAAAUUCACUAGAUUAAUUAUUCGGGUUAAUUUAGACUUGCAAUAGUUAACUAAUUUGGUCCUUUAAUUAACUUNUUUGUUGAUGGUCAUCACAAGCUCACACAUGAAUUUACUCAAUUUUCUUAUUAAUUCUAGUUUCAUGUUCAUUAAUCCUAGACAUAUGACAAAGUGGUCACAUAGCAUAUGAGGUUGAUAAUCAAUAGAUGUUCAUGCUAUUCAAUUACCUUCCUAUUAAUAGAAAAUUAAUUAUCAUUCACACACAAGGUUCUUUAGCAAGCUAAAAUAACAAAAAUCACUAACUUUAAAUUAAUCCUACCAAUAAUCAAACCAUAGUAUCAAUUUUGUAUCCCCAAACAGAAGUUUAAGAGUUUUAGCUCAUGAUUGAAGUAAAUUACAGCAAACAAACAGAUUUUAAUUGUUUAACCAUUAUGAAAAAUAAAAAAUUAAGUAGAAUGAUGAAAUUUGCCUCAAAUCUCCUUCGGAAUUGGAUUCUAGCUUGUAUCUUCGUCCUCUAGGUUUUUUCUGACUCUUCAAUCGCAGCUAACCUCUCCAGAAUCGUUCCAGAAUUCCUCCCCAUCGUUCUCAGAAGUUAUCUUUAUAUAUGCAAAACGACUCGUCGAGUCAGAUGCCGACUCGUCGAGCCCAUCUCUAAGUCCCCGUAUGCGAUAAGUCUCUAGGUCUCCGAGUCUUUAUCUUCUCGAAUAUUCGCUUGGGCUCGCCGAGUAGUUGACCCUACUCACCGAGUAUGUGUUGUUUUUAGUGUUUUUCUUCUUUGUUCGAUUCCCGAGCUCUCAACCGCUUCUCCUGCUUCCUUUUGCUUCCGAGCUUCACUUUUGGACUGAAAACAUAAUUCAAACACUUUUAAGUACCUUUUGUCCAUGAAAUGCAAUAAUUUAGCUAAUAAAUGAAUAAAAAUCUACACUUAAUAUGAACUAAAUAUGCACAUAUCACUUUCCUUAGAUUCAUAGUCUCUCCAACCAAAAUUCCUAGAUAAUUGAAUGGGAUGGAUGAAGGUUCACAUCCAAGAGGAGCUGCCCAAUUUAUUACUUCCAUGUGGGUAGCUCCUAUCCCAUACACCUUCGAUUUCCUAAAGUUCACCUUUAGCCCCGAUGAUACACAGAAGCACCUUAAUAUCCGGGCCAAGUUUGCAAUAUUUCGCCUUGACCAUUAGCCUAUAAACAGUGUGUCAUCUGCAUAGAAUAAAUGAGACAAACAUUGAUUAGAUUGUGAAAAUUUGAUGCCUUCGAAGAUUCCUUUUUCCACAACUGUCUUCAUCGCCUGAUUUAAUCCUUCAAUCACAAUGAUAAAAAGAAAUGGGGAGAGUGGAUCUCCCUGUCUGACACCUUUUGACAUAGAGAACUCCUUGGUCGGACUGUCGUUGAUCGACUGGGAAGGAGAACUAAGCAUUCCUUAUAAGGGGUGUGGAUACCUUCCCUAUCACAACGCGUUUGAAAACCGUGAGGGAAGCAGAUCCCAUAGGAACUCUGCAGUUAAGCGUGCUUGGGCGCGAGUAGUACCAGGAUGGGUGACCCCCUGGGAAGUCCUCGUGCCGAGUGGCCCAAGACGAACAAUAUUGUGAUACGUGCCAGAGGGGAAUGUUACAAAUGGUAUCAGAGCCAGCGCACAGUUCGAUGUGUUCGACGAGGACGUCGAACCCUAUAAUGGGGGGUGAAAGUGGGUUAGAUUUGAUCCCACAUCGGCUGGGAAGGAGAACUAAGCAUUCCUUAUAAGGGGUGUGGAUACCUUCCCUAUCACAACGCGUUUUAAAGCCGUGAGGGCAGCAGAUCCCAUAAGAACUCUGCAGUUAAGCGUGCUCGGGCGGGAGUAGUACCAGGAUGGGUGACCCCCUGGGAAGUCCUCGUGCCGAGUGGCCCAAGGCGGAAAAUAUUGUGAUAUGUGCCAGAGGGGGAUGUUACAGUAUAUAGCCAUGUUCAUACGUACCAGUUAAAUUACUAGUAAGCUAUUGACUAUCCUACACCUUGCUGCUUGCUACAGCCGGACGUCAUUUCUUUCUACAUAUAGAUCAGUUAAGUCUUGGUAGAAGACUCCCUGUUAUAGUAGUAGGAAUCAUAGGGAUUUCUAGAGUUUUUCAAACGUUUACAGUUGUUUUACAUACAUUUUCAAUACUUACGAUUUACAUACAUUUUCAAUACUUACAAAUUCUUACAUACAAAUUCUUACAUACAAAUUAAGACACUAAAAUACUUAUGAUCUCACCAGCUUCAAAGUUGAUACUCGCUUUCAAAAUUACUUGUAUCCUCAGGUCAAACAUAGACAGGUACCGAUGCAAGGUUUAGAGAAGAUGGAGCUCGUUCAAGACUCAUCUUUCAUUUUGAUUUAUGCCUUAGUGUUUAUCAAAAUUUGACAGAACACAGUUGUAUAAUAAUUAUAUUAUUAAUGCAAUGGAUGAUGUUGCUGCUUGUUUACUACUUUUCAUUGUUGUGAUAUUGUACAUGACGUCCUCCGCCCCAGAACGUUUCCGCGGUUCUUGGUUUUGGGGUGUGACAAGCCCUCAGUAAGAGUCUAGCAUACCAACUGGUCCUCAGAUCAUAUCUGGAAUGCUACUAAUCCCCCAGUAUGAGUCUGGCAUGCCCCAUCCGAGACUCAACUCAUAUCUGGAUUUCUCCGAUACCCUCAACCCCUUAGUACGAGUCUGGCAUACCAAUCGGGUCCUCAGCUCGUAUCUUGAAUGCACCUGAGCCCUUAGUAUGCGUAUGGCAUGCCCUAAUCAGCUCUUAGCUCAUAUAUGGAAUGCUCCAGGGUUUGUUGGCUACAGAACGAAGCAGUACAACCUCAACCCAACACAAUAUGUCGACAAAUAACCAACAUAUACAGAUAAUCAUGCACACAUAAUCAUAGGUACUCCUAUAGAUCUACCAUACUAACAUAUCGGCAACUAGCAUACUCAUGCAGAUCUAUUCCAUACUCAGAAUAUUAGUGAAUUGUAGGAUAACAAACCAAUACACCGGCAUUGGUGCCUUCGACUCGUAAAUAUAGUGAGGAAAAAUCACAUCGCACUGCUGAACAUAAAGACGAUCCAUGGUUGAUGGCUGCCAGAUCCCCGAACCGCCAAUAUCAAGACAACACCCCAUCACAGCUGAUCCCAUGAAUAAUUUCUGACUACAGAACCACUAUGAUCCACGUGCUAUCAAAUACUACAAUGACAACCCAUCAAUAGACCUGGCAAUGGAGCGGGUUUGGAGCGAAUCAGCCUUGAUCCAAACCCUUUUAACAAAUUUCAAAAUCCGAUCCAAACCCGCUCCGUAACCCACAGGGUUUUAAAUAAUCAGACCCAUACCUUUAUCCGCCGAAUCAACGAAUAUUCAAGCCCGCCCCAUAACCCAAAGUUUUUUUAAAUAAUCAAACACAUUUUAAUAAACUCCUAAAAUAAAAUUUCUUAAAUAAGAAACUGUAUACUAUAUCUUAAUACUUAAAAUAACAUUUUUUUAAAUAAAAAAAAUUGAUUUAGAAAAGGACAUUACAUACUCGAAGAAUUUCAAUCGGAAUUAAAAAUCACUAUUGCAACAACUUUGAAUUGAUUUAUGACUGUUGGUUGUAGUGAUAGCGAAUUGCAAUUGCCAUCUUUUUUCAUGUUAAAAAUUGAUUUAUUGAAUUAGAAAUGGAUAUGAUGAUUUCUUGAUGCAAAUAAAUUAAAUGACAUUAUGAUUCUUGAUAGAAAUCUAUAAGUUUAGAAUCUGAAUUAUCGAUUCCUAUGUAAAAGCAUUUUUUUUCUUUGGCCUUUGCAUUUUGGACUUUUGAUUGGUAUUAAAAUUAAACGUUAAGAAGUAUAAAAUAUAAAUAUAUAAUUCUAAAUUUAUAUGGGGCGAGUUAUAAAUGGAGCGGAUCGGUGAUGAUCCAUACCUGACCCAUUUAAUAAAAGGGCUAGUGGGAAUGGAUCGUUAACGGGUAAACGAAUCAAAAACUACACUCCAAACCCAUAUAAUUCUUACGAGUUUGGAUCGGAUUAGGGUCAAAACCCACUUCAUUGCCAGGUCUACCCAUCAACCUUUAGCCCCUGACUCACGUUAUGAGUGAAAAUUAGGGUAAAAGACCUUUUUAUCCUUCUUAAGCUUGGCCCGAAGCCAAGGCCCAACUAAAUGGUUAAUGGCCCAAAAUCCAAAAUAGACUUCUAAGGCCCAAAUAUGGCCCAAUUUUCCAAAUUGGGCCCAAUUCCUUUCUUGGGCCUUCAGCUAAGAAAGUCCAUCAAAACAAAAGCCCAAACCAUAAAAUCUAGAUGGCCUAACAUGGCCCAAGACAAUCCGAGCCCAAAACCGGAGCCAAAAAUGAAGGCCCAAUAGUACCGCAUACGCGGGGAGUACUCCAAAGGCACACUUAGCGUACAUGAGGCUGCGUAGAAUCCACCAUUGGGGUGGCAGAUUGGGUAUGCGGGGCGUACACCUCCCUACGCGGGGCGUACCCUCUUAAAACUCAAUUUCUUCAUAACUGCUUAAUGGCUUAGCAUUUGAGCUCAUACUUCAGAUCCAAGGUCCAGAGCCAUACUAUGGCCAUAAAAUUCCCAACUUUAUGAAUUUCCACGUCCAAAAAGUCCUUAAUGAAAGGUCUUAAUGGAUUAAUACUUUCUACAAGAAGUAUGGAGAAAAACUAGCUAAGGUGAUCUCACUUUUAUGGCUUAGAACCCCUCUUAGGGUCUGAAAGGACAGCCCAAAAUGACCAAAACCAAACAUGCAUAACAAUGGGACUUUUGGGACAAAAAGAACAUCAUAAUGCUACCAAAAUGAGAUCCAAGCAAACAAAGCAUAAAGGUAGAAACUUUUUACCUUCUGGAGCUUCCCAAGAAGAUGAUGAUCCAAGAUCCACAAGCUUGCUUCAACUACUAAUCUCCUUGAUGCAACUCCUUCUUCCUUAAGAACACAAAGAACACACUUUUAGCUCAAAACACUCUCUUAUUGGGUUAGGGUUGCCAAAAAUGACUCAAGGGUGUGGAGGCUGAAAAGAUGAGGCUAAAUGAUCUAUAAAGGUGAUUAAAUACCCCACAAACCCUAAAACUUAGGGUUUUUUCUAACAAGAGUACACCCAUCGUACAUAUGAGUACGCCCAACAUACUAGGGUACACCCUAGUAUGCUUAGCGUAUGCACAUGUACGCUUAGCGUACCACUCCUUCUCCCAAAAUUACGAUUUUUCCAAUAGGGCUUCUUGCGACCACUUCCUUCCAAAACAAGGACCAAAAUGGUAUACUCUAAAGCCAAGAGAUGAAUUUGAAAAUGCCUGAAAACUGGGGCAUUACAGGUUGGGAGUUCGGAAUACAUGUCGCCAAUGAUGCAUUAUAUUGUUGCAAGUAUUCUUGCAUUUGUUGUGCAUUAGAUUGGGAUUGAGAUUGGAAAGAUGUGGAAGUUGAAGCACAUUUAUUUGGAAUUAGACCGAAGUUGGUGACUGGUCUCCUACCCACUACGCGAGCCUGCCCUUGUCUCGUCCUGAGGGCACGUGCAAGCCAUUCUUCCUCAUCUACUUCUUCACCUUACCCGACCCCGCUUUGCAUUUUCUCGUAUUUAUCUUGAAUCUUCUUCUAAAAUAAACAAGAUAAUAAACAUACGAUAAUUAAAACAAACAACUAAACUUAAACAUUAAAAUAAUAAUAAUAUACCUUAGACAUAAACUAUAAUUAAUAAUAAUAACAUAUUUAACUAACGUAUUAAUUUCGCUUAUGACUUACCUAAUCUUGUUGUGCUCGACUUGUACACCAACCCUAGCCUUCUUUGUAGCGCAUUUGUCUCCAACCCUCAAUAUGUUGCGGCUUCAGUCCUAGUUUUUCCUGUAAUAUGUAAAAAACAAUAAAUAUAUUUAUACGAGUGAUAGUAACAUUUUUAAAUAAUACUAAUAUACUUUAUUACUUUUAAAUGACGUCGUUGAGCAUACGACCUACAUCCAUGAGAACUUGUGUCCGGAAGUUUAAUUCGACCUAGUAACUUUAUUUUUGGCCGAUGUGUGUAUAUAUUCAUCAGUAAAAAACAACAUGCCAAUCGUCUUAUUCUAAGCUUUGGCAGACCAAUCAAUCUGUGGAUGUUUUUUUGUCCUUUCCACAUCCGCAUAUCCACCAGCUUUUUCAAAAUGAUUUUCCAUGUCAUGCUUGCAAUCUCGAUAAGCUUUUUGCAUACUAUCUUGGGUACCCGCUCGAACGGGUUCCCACAACUCUGUGCCCUAGUGCAUAUCGGGAUCAAAAUAAGUCUGCAAAAAAUACAUAUUUGAUUAGUAAUAAGAAAUAUUUAAUAAGUGUAAAAUUCAAUACAUAUAAAAUAUUUUGUAUAUACUUACUUCUAGCUCGAGAUAUAAAUUAUCUUCGUACUUGGUAGAAACAUGGCGCCAAGAAUGAUAAUGCAACAGUACCUCUGAUCCCACCAGAUUUGAGAUCAAUCUAACAAAUAAGUGUCUGUUGUCCCGCACGAAUCGAUACGUCCUCCUGGAGGUAUCAAGGCUCACAACCAAAGGAUUACUACCUUUAUCUUCAUACUCAUCGUACAAUUUUAAGUUUCUCCAUCUGCCAUGUACAUUCACAUUCUUCACUUUUGUUACAUUUACACAUAGAAUUGGAAAUUUAGAAAUUUAAAUCCAAUACUUAAUAUUUUCAUGUAACUUACAUGAUUGGCAACCCGAUGGUAAACCAUGUGUGACCAUGUGUGGGGCUCUAUCACCACUGUCUCCUCCAUGUUACCUCAUGACUUCUGCCAUUUAUUUAACAAAUAUUAUAAACAUUCAAAAUCUAUAAUAAAGCUACUUAUAAAUAGGCAAAAUUUAAAAACUUAACACAUAUUAUAAACAAUCAGGAUAUAUAAUAACCGUAACAUACCAUCAAUGAGAAUCAUCACUAGAACAAUAUAACAUCAUCAUCGUUAUCAUAGUCUUUGUUAUUUAUUUCUUCUUCUGAAGAGUACGUAUCCCCACCAUCAUCGUCAUCGUUAAUUGUCACACCCCUGAACCAGACGACGGAAACGUCUGGGGGCUCGUGUGACUAACAAUUGAAUUAUCAUCACAAUGAAUAUACAUGAAACAUUACACAUUCAUCACCAACAUUACAUAUUACAACCAGCAUUGUUCACAGCAAGUACAUUGUUAAAGAUUACAUAAAUUCAAAGUAUUAAUAGUAAGAUAGGUGAUGUUACACAAAAUAAAUCGAUACACUUGAAAAUCUUCCUGCUUAACGAUUACCUGAGAAUACCAGUUAUUUUGAAAAACGGUCAACAUAUAUAAUGUUGGUGAGUUCAUAAGUAUGUGUGAAUAAAAGUCUUUGCAUCUUUUGUAAAAACCUAGAAAAUCUGAUAUUUUCUGUAAAAUGUCUUAAAAUGAUGUGAAAAUCAAGUAUAAAUGCAUGUGUGAAUUUCAUAGCAAUAACAUAUAUGAUUUCAGUUUAAAUUUCUUUGUAUUUUAAGUAAGUGAUAAAUGAAUAAUAGUAUUUCCCUAGAAAAUCUGAGUAUUUCCUGAUUUAUAAUAAUGUCGAGGUUCUUGUAUCAUUAAUUAAGUUGUUUCGUAUUGACACAAUCGAAGGGUUAAUCUUCGAAAUGUCAAAUUGGUAUUGGAUCUCUAUAUGAGCAGUUAUAACCAUGUAUGAUAAUGACUAGGUUGUCUUUCUUGGCAUUUUCCAAACGUCGGUAUUUGCUCAAGGUUUUGUCGCCCAAGACUGGCCUAGUCUAGUUGUAGCGAACAACUAAGGCGUGGGGGGUCACCCCAUAUAGAUCUAUACACAAACUCCCGCUCUCCCUCCAGGAAACUCUGGUUAUAACUACAGACUACGAUUGUACACUCAGAGGUGUCAACCGACAUGUCUCACUAGAUUCUCAACUUUUCAUACCAUGUUUAAUGUUUACGUGAAUGUUGUAUGUUUUCAAAUCCAAAGGUAUAUAUAUAAGUAUACGAACUUUAGGGCUGGCAAUUGUUGACACGAUACGCGACACGACAUGAAAUAAAUGGGUUUGGGUUGAGUUUUUCAACCCGCCAACCCGCUAACCCGUCAACCCACCAACCCGUUUAUUAAACGGGUCAUAUAUGGGUUUCUCAAAAAAUAAACGGGUUGACCCGCCAACCCGUUUAUAUUCUUAAUAAAAAAAUUAUUAUAUUUUUAAAUGUAUUUAUGUAUCAAGUAUUAAUAUUUAAUAUGUAUUAUAUAAUAUAUACCAUUUAUUCAUAGACCAUUUGAUUGUUUUGACAUUAUUACUCGUGGUGGAUGGUCUAAGGUCAUAAGUCGUAACCUAUAAGACUAAGUCUGUAACAUGUUUCUAUGAAUGUUUUUAAUUUUCAUUUGGAUGUUUAAGACUUAAAUAUCUAAAAUUUAGACCCACGAACCCAAAUCUGACCCACGAACCCGCCAACUUGUCAACCCGUAUAAAUAAAUGGGUUGGUGGGUCAUAUAUAGGUUUAAGUUCCAAACCCGCCAACCCGUGACCUGUAUAUUUAAAUGGGUCGUCAUUGGGUUGGCAUAUUUUGACCCGCCAACCCGCCAACCCGCGACACGCCAACUCGAACACAACACGAUUGCCACGCCUAACGAACUUCAAGAAUUAUGUAAAGGUAUAGUUACAAUCUACUAAGCAUGUGAAUUUCAGUCCAAGCCCAACUAGCAUGUAAAUGGACCACAAAGGUCCAAUGACAUGUAAGAAGGUAAUUUAGACCCAAUAGGCAUGUAAGUGGACCACCAAGGCCCAACAAACAUGUAACCUAUAGCUCAGGCCCAAAUUAACAUGUAAAUGGGUCGCAAGGCCCAAUAAACAGGUCAUUGAAAAUAUUGGGCUCAAUAUAUACUUGAAUGGGCCCUUAAGGCCCAUUGGCCAUGUAAUGUGAAUAUUAGGUCCAAUAAAAUUAUUAUCGAUGUAUUUCGUCAAUUCGUUAUUAUUUCAUGGUUUGCUUUAGCUCGAUGUUUACCGAAUUAAAUAUAAAAGUCCCCUUUUUGUAUAAACGACGUUCUUGGCCAAUAAGACUAAAAUUUUGAAUUAAGGCCCAAAGUUUUGUAAAAAUUAACACUUUAGUCCAUAAUGUAUAAAAAUUUGUAAUUUUGCCCCAAAUGUUUAGAAAUUUACGGAUCUAGUCCAAAAAAUUAUAUUUUGACAUUUAUGGCCCAGUUUCGCAGAAUAUUACAUUUUCAGACCCUUGUUUGUAAAAAUGACACUUUUGACCCAGUUUUUAUAAAAGUUACAUUUUUGGUCCAAUUUAGAAAUAUAUGUUAUUUUUACCCCUAAAUUUGGUUUAUUUACAUUUAUGACUAAAACUUUGGUCAAAUAACAUUUUUAAUCCCAAAACUUCCAUUUUUUCGCAAAUUUGGCCCCAAAACCGUGAGGCCCAAAUAUUCAGCCCAUUAGGCUAAAAUUUACGUUUUUGGCCCUUUGGAAAGCAUGUUUAUCAUAAAAAUCCCUUUUUAUACAAACAGGACCUGUUUGGUCCUUUAAAAACCGUAAAUGUCACUUUUUUCCCUUAUCUUUUGUUUUCUUGACAGUUUUGACCCUUAACAAGGUUUUUGCUUUAAAUUUUUGUAUCUUAAACAUAUAAACACUUUUAACUUGAUAAUAUGAUGUAUAAGGUGUUUUAGUGUUGGAUUAAUGUCUAAGUUUAUAACUAUAAUUGGUAAGACUUGACCCGAUCCGGCAUGGUCCAUUUGGGUUGCAUGGCAUCAUGCACUUGGAUAGACUAUAAUGAGAGAAAUAAGACACUUAUGGUUAUUAAUAUAUUAUAAGUUCUAGUAUAUUAAUAAUAAGAAUAAUAAGAUUAUUUAAUUAGUAUUGAUCAAGAAUUAAUCUAGGAUUAAUUAAGUGAUCAAAAGAAGACUAAUUAAAUAUAUGGGUUGAUUGUGUAAAUCAUCCAUACUUAUAUAGUGGGCUAAUGCUCCAUGGAUAAUCAAGUUGGGCUAAAACCCAUAGGAUGGUCCAUGGAUGCUCCAUGGUGUAUUUGAACCCAUGGAUCCAAGGAAAUGGAAAGUCAUGACAAUUAGGGUUUACCCUAAUUGUAACACUAUAUAAAGAUCUUAUUAUUGACCAAAAUCGGCCACUAGAAUCAUUCUAGAGAAGGGCUAGCCGAUUUCAUGUAGUGUAGAUUUCUCUCAAGUUAUUCCAAGUGUAUUUGGUGUUGUGUGAACCAUUUGAGGUGUCACACUUGGGGCACUAGACACUCAAGCUUCAUGAAGACUUUCUACAUCAAAGAAGUAUGUAUUCUAUCUUGUUACAUUCAUUGUUUUGUAUGCUAGAUUAGGAUAAUACCUUGGAAGUUCUUAUUUGCAUGUAUAAUAGAGAAAACAUAGAUCCAAGGUAUUUAGGGUUGCAUGUACACUUAGGAGUGUUAGAAUGCUCAAAACCCAACAGUGGUAUCAGAGCCUAGGCUUGUUUUCUUGUUAUACUUGCAAAAGAAGCUGAAAAAUCGAGUUUUGAUGCUGUCUGCCCAGCAGACUCGCCGAGUCCAUGAAUGGACUCGCCGAGUCCAAGGCAAAAUGCAUCCAACUCGCCGAGUUGGUUCGUGCACUCGACGAGUUGGACCCCCAGACAGCAUAAAUUCGACUUUUUUGGCUGGAAUUGGACUAGGAACAUUACCCUAAGAUGUUUUUGGACUUAUAAACUUGUUUUUGAUGUGGUAAUGUUCAUGCUAAUCCAAUUUCAAAGAUAAUUGUCAAUAGAUUCAUGUUUUGUAUUAGUUUAAGGUUUAGACUAAUUACAUGAAAAAGUUUGAUUUGAAUUAUCUUGUUCUUAUGAGUUGCUUAGAUUAAUAGAAAAGUUGAGUGAAAUAGUUGUUUUCAAUCCAAAUUAAUCUAAGAGUUGAUUCUAAAAUGUGUUUUUGUAACUUGUCCUCAAGUUAUAUGAAAAGUCACAUUUAAGUUUCAUAAAACUCAUAAAAGUUGGCAAAGGUUACAAAAUGAAGAGUCUAGUUCUAAUUAAAUGGUUUUAUGACUCCAUAACUUGUCCUCAAGUUAUGGAGGACCAAGAGUCUCUUCAUUAAAUAAUAAAUAAAAAAAAAAAGUAACCUUAAUUAAUUCCAUAAGUUAUAAAAUAAAGAAAAGUUAAUUCUUUUAUUAGUUUAAAGUCUUCCAUAACUUGUCCUCAAGUUAUGGAACUUGAAGAGUUUUUGGAUUAAAACUACUUUAAACACAUAAGUUAUGGAAUUAAUUAGUUUUGAAUAGUUUCAAAACUUGCCCUCAAGUUUUGGAAUUUGAAAAGUUUUCACUUAUGAAUACUUUAAUUCCAAGUUAGCCCUUAGAAUUUUAAAAGUUAAAAUUCAACCCUUAUACUUUAUAAUAUUAUAAGUUAAUAAUAUAUAUAUGUAUAAGAGUAAAGUCAGUCUUACCGCUAGUACGCCUCAUUCACGAAGCCGGUCUAUAAGGUGGGUAUAAGGUUGUUGCCUAUAAAAUGGCAACUUAAUGGGUGUCCACUCUCACCCACCGCUUGCUUGACUGGUGGAGGGUCGUUAGCCGAACGGGUUUGACAGGACUAGAAUUCUCCCUUCAUUAAAAGUAUUAAUGAUAAUACUAAGUAACUAAACUCUUAAUAAUACCCAAUCUUAGUUACUUAGGAAAAAUGUGAAUAAGGUGCUAAUCCAUGAAAUUACACUUUGCACUUUGUUUAAGUCGGUUAGUGGAGCGUGUGUGGUUAACCGGCACACUAACUCGUAUUUAACAAGGUAGGCAAAGGGUAACUUAAUGUUUAUCAUAGUAUCGAUGGAGCGUGUGUGGUUAACCGGCACAUCGAUUGAGGGGUAAACACUUAAGGGUACCAAGUAAUUUGCAUGGUUACUUCACACCUUGUUUUGUGAUCCUCGGCAUCCCAGUCACAAAACCUGAAGGGCACACUCGAGAUUGAAACAUGCCAUUGAACAGUUCAAUGAAUCUCAAAGAUCUAGGAGUUUCAAAACCAAUUAAAACCUAAUAAUACAUUUCGUUUAUCUUGGUGGAAAUUGGUGAAUCGUCAUUCACCUACCUUCAAAUAUUUUAUAGCUUGGAUUACGGCAUACCUCUUCUAAGUUAUAAAAUAGUUUGUUGGGUCCUAGCCUUAAUAUUUCAUAUUGGGUGUCAUAUUAAGGACUUUAAAUCAACUAUCUUGAAUAUCUCCCAAAAGAUGUCUGGUUUAGACACCUAUGAUCUUCCCAAAUCUCUUGAAACAAGGUUUCCUAAUGAAGAUGAUGUCCCAUGGAUAUCAUACUUCUUCACCUCUUCAAAUUAUUCUCCCUAACCCACAAGUUCUUGAAAAGUUUAAGGUCACUCAGGCCCUAUUGGCAAGGCAAGGUCUAGGUGUGAUCACAUCUUGGAGAUGUAGUCACAUAUUGACAAGCCGGGAGAGUUGGGUGUCAAAGUCUUGAGAAAGUUGGUGGUUCAAUCACUUUCUAAGUCACAUAGUGAGUUCCUUUGGGACACCUAUGAAACAGACUAUGACAAGACCCUUAAUGAUCUUAUCUAUUUGAUAAGAUCAACUUCCUAAAACUUUAUGGACAUUGACAAUGAUAACAUUGGAUAUCUAGUAAAGCUCUCUCUUCCCAGUGGAAAGGGAUCAGCCAUAGUCAACUGGGUUGACCAAAAUGGUAAAGAGAAAAGCUAAGUCUGUGAUAGUCCCGUGUACCAUUAUCAAAGGGUCCAUAUGUUUAUAUUGCCAAAGGAAGGGGGAUUGGUUGCGAAGCUGCCAAAUUUACCUAAAGAUGUUAAAGUCAAUAAGUUUGACUCUACUUCAUGUAAAGUCCACUAUCUAACUCUGUUAAGUUUCUAUUCUGAGAUUCCUGAUACAUGAUGUGACUGGGUCACAUGGUGAUGUUUUAAGAAUCGGAGCAUAUCCUCGAGUGUCUGGAUGGUGCACUCACUCUGACCAUCCGUCUGUGGGUGGUAGGCAGUGCUCAUAUCUAGCUGUGUUCCCAUUGCCUUCUGAAGAUAUUGCCAGAAACUUGAAGUGAAUCUGCUAUAUCGAUUUGAGAUAAUAGAUAUUGGCACUCCAUGGAGUCUCACAACCUCCUUGAUGUAGAUUCGGGUCAGCUUUUCCAUCUUGUAAGAUUCUUUUAUUGGUAGGAAAUGAGCGGAUUUUGUUAAUCUAUCCACGAUUACCCAAAUAGCAUCCAAUCCGUCUGCUAUCUUUGGCAAUUUUGUCACAAAGUCCAUGGUAAUCCUCUCCGAUUUCCACUUGGGUAUCACUGGUUGUUGCAGUAGUCCCGAGGGCUUUUGGUAUUCCACUUUCACUUUGGCACAAGUAAAACACUUGCCCACGAAAGUGGCUAUCUCUGCCUUCAUAUUAGGCCACCAAUAUUGUUGCUUGAUAUCCAAAUACACCUUAUCUGACGCCGGAUGAAUAGAAUAUCGCGUCUUGUGGGCUUCAUGCAUGACUACUUCUUUGAAUCCCUUAAAUUUGGGAACCCAGAUUCUAUUCAUGAAGUAGUGAGUUCCAUCGUCUUUAACUUCGAGCACCUUCUCCAUUCCACGUAGUGAGUCACUAGCGACAUUCUCUGGCUUCAAUGGUUCCAAUUGGUCUUCCUUGAUCUGUGAGGCUAGAUGAGAUUGGAUGGUGAUUGAUAGAGUUUUCACACGACGACUUGAAUACUCCUUUUGGAUCAAGGCAUCGGCUACCACGUUAGCCUUGCCUGGAUGAUAUUUGAUCUCACACUCAUAAUCAUUUAACAGCUCAACCCAUCUCCACUGCCUCAUGUUUAGUUCCUUUUGAUUUAGAAUGUGCUGGAGGCUCUUGUGGUCUGUAAAGAUGGUGCACUUGGUACCAUAUAGGUAGUGCCUCCAAAUUUUCAAGGAGAAGACCACCUCCCCCAAUUCGAGAUGUUGAGUAGUAUAAUUUACUUCAUGUGUUUUCAAUUUUCUAGAUGCAUAUGCAAUUACCUUCCCGCGUUGCAUAAGGACACAACCUAAACCAUGAUUCGAAGCAUCAUAGUAAAUUAUGAAGUCUUUAAUUCCCUUCGGUAAGGAUAACAAUGGAGCACUACAGAGGGCUUGCUUCAAGGUUUGGAAGGCGAUCUCUUGCUUCUCAGUCCAGUUGAAAGGUACGCCUUUCUGUGUCAAUGUGGUGAGGGGUUUGGCUAUCUUAGAAAAGUUCUGAAUGAAUCUUCGGUAGUAGCCCACAAGACCCAAAAAUUGGCGAAUUUAUGUUGGCGUUGUUGGAAUUUCCCAGUUUUUGAUUGCUUUGAUCUUUGAAAGAUCCAUGUGUAUUCCUUCCUAACUAACUACAUGGCUUGGAAAGUUUACACUGCGGAGCCAGAACUCACACUUGGAGAGUUUCGUAUACAACUUUUCAGCUCGAAGGGUCUUCAAGAUCUGUUGGAGAUGUUGACUAUGCUCUUCUUUGCUUCGAGAGUAUAUGAGGAUAUCAUCGAUGAAAACGAUCAGGAAUUUGUCAAGGAAUGGGCGGAAGACUCGAUUCAUGAGGUCCAUAAAUGCAGUGGGGGCAUUUGUUAGACCGAAGGGCAUCACGACGAAUUCGUAAUAACCGUAACGGGUUUGGAAAGCAGACUUAGGAAUGUCCUCAUCUCGGACCUUGAGUUGAUGAUAACUGGAUCUUAGAUCUAUCUUUGAAAAGUAACUAGCCCCUUGAAGCUGGUCAAAUAGAUCAUCGAUUCGUGGAAGUGGAUACCGGUUUUUGAUGGUGAGCUUAUUUAGUUCCCUAUAAUCAAUGCACAUCCUGAAGGAUUCGUCUUUCUUUUUAACGAAAAGAAUCGGAGCUCCCCAUGGAGAGAAGCUUGGUCUUAUGAAUCCUUUAUUCAAGAGUUCACUUAGUUGGCUUGACAAUUCAUGCAUUUCAGCGGGAGCCAACCUAUAGGGUGAUUUGGCUAUUGAAGUGGCUCUAGGCACUAGGUCGAUUCAGAAUUCGAUUUGUCGUUCUGGGGGUAUUCCUGGAAGCUCUUCUAGAAACACAUCCGGGAAGUCACAUGCCACUGGGAUGUUUUGAAUGUUCGCUUCCUCUUUGGUAUUAUCCACCACAUGAGCAAGGAAUGUGUAGUUCUUCUUUUGUAGACACUUUUGUGCCUUGAUACACGAGAUAAGGUAAAGGUUUGCACCGGGUUUAUCUCCGUAGAUUAUUAGGGUUUCGUGAUUAGAAAGAUGAAAGUGAAUGACCUUCUCGUGACACAUAAUAUCGGCAUGAUGGGGGCUUAACCAAUCCAUGCCGAUGAUGACAUCAAAACUCCUAAUAUUUACUGGCAUCAAAUUUAUUUGGAAAAAGUGGUUGUUUAGUGUUAACGUACAUCCUAUAUAGAUAUCUUUGGUUGUUUCAGUGUUCCCAUUAUCCAUUUCCACCGUGAAGGAUUCGUUGAGCUUCUGGGGUUGUUGAUUUAGAAAGUAUUUGAAUUUAUUACUAACGAAACUUCGCUCCGCCCCACUAUCAAAUAAGAUGCAUGCAUACGAGUUGUUAAGUAGGAACGUACCGAUGAUAACAGCUGGGUCCUACACUGCUUCAUCCUAACCCAUUGUCAACACUCUCCCUGCUGCUCCUGCCCCUUGAUUGUUUGCGUUGGGGAAAUUUCUCCUGAAAUUCCCGGUUUUCCCACAUACGUAACAGGUAUAAUUGGCCCCAACAUUGGUGUUGUUGUUAUUGUUGUUGUUGUUGGUGUUGUUGUUGUUGUUGUUUUUUGGCAUCUGGUUUUGUUGAAGCUGAGUCCUGCAAUACUUUGUUGUAUGGCGUUUCUGGUUGAACCUUGCGCAAAUCAUCUCUCUGUAUUCCCCAUGAUGGUGGAAGUUGCAUUUGUUACACUUGGCGAGAUUUCCUGAAUACUGCUUUGGAGCAUUUGGCGUGGAUGAGGCUGGAGCAUGGGGUGUGGUGGUAGCUUGAGUUACAGCAUGGACAGUCACAGUUUGUUGCUUCUUAGAUGAUUCUGAGUUAUGUUUUCCAUUUCUCUUGUUGUUUAUCCCUUUCUUUCUCUCUUCUUCCUUCUUAACCUCCGCUUCCACUGUUUUGGCACGCUUCUUAUUUCCAUGAUCAUACGAUUUCUUGUCCAGUCUCUUGGCGCUAUCAAACAUCUCAGGGUUUUGCUGCAAUAACAUUCCCUUAGAUAGGUGCAGUCAAUCCCUAGAUAAACCUAUCAAUCUUUUUCCCUUCUAAGGUGAUCAUUCCGGGACACAAAAGAGAUAGCUCACUAAACCUAGAUAUGUAUGCGGUUAUAUUGGAGUUUUGAACUGUGAGGUUCCACAACUCUUGUUCCAUCUUCUGAAUUUCACCUCCAAGACAGUAUUCUGCCAACAUCAUUUCCUUAAGCUCUUCCCAGAGCAUCGCGUUCGCUACCGGGAGUGUCAUGGCCUCUACAUGCCCAUUCCACCAGGAGAUGGCUUGAUCAAUGAAUUUGCAGGUUGCGAACAUGACCUUACACUCAUCUGGGCACCCACAGAUUUCAAAAAUGGAUUCUACUUUCUCGAUCCAUCGCUUCAGGGCUAUUACGCCUCCUGUCCCAUUAAAGGUUCGAGGUUUGGCAUUGGUGAAGUCCUUGUAGGUGCAUGUUCGUGUGGCUCCAUGGAUUGUUCCUUGAUUUGUGCUUCCGUUUCCCUGUCGGUUGCCUUCUCUAUUGUUUCCAUUGCGAAUCUGCACAAGUGUUGUAGUGACCGCAACAGACAAUGUUGCCUGGAAUGCAACCGAGAUUAUUUUCGGCGGGUUUGGUGUUGCGUUGUUUCCACGAUUGGGCCUUUGAGGCAUCUUUCUGUCAUGGAACGGAAAGAUGUAGAGUGACUAUUGUUUUGCGAGUUUGGAAUCCCCUAGGCUAGGUGUAUCGAGUGUGUAUUUAAGUAAUUUCAUACAUUAACAUAAAAUAGGGAAGUAAAACACAUAGCAGAUGACAACAUCAUGAUAAAACGUAAAGCAUUUUCAUUAAUACUAAUUGUUUUGAUACAUGAACAUUUGCCAGAAGGCAUACAGUACAUAGGGAAAUAUAAAAUAUGGCAGCAUUACAACCCUAUGAGCAGUGUGAUCACUUAAACAUAGAGUCGAUAGUACAUAGCAUAGUACACAUAAGGGAAACCUAAUAGUAUUAAGAGAUACUACUGGUCCUGAUCAUACUGAGAAGUGCCUAAUGGUGGUGGUGAAAUCAUAUCCCAAAAUGUUAUGCUAAUAACUGAUCCAUCUCGGUCAUCUCUCCGAUGACCUCAUCUUUUUCCUACUCAGUUUGCAUGGCUCGUGCCUCCAUAGCAAAUAGUUGUUGUCGAAGUGUGGCAACCUCCGCUUCCAGAGACCGAUCCUCAUCAACGGGGUUCCCUAGUGGACCAGGGUGGUCCUGGUGUGCCUCAUUGGUAGGUGGUUCGACGGGGGCUUCAUUUUUGUCCCCAUCCUCCUCCAUGUCUUCGUCAGUCCUAUCAAACUCAUAGUCUGUAUUAGUGUACUCGUCGGGCCCAAUGGUAGGGGCUCCUCCUUGUUCCUCCUCGGGAUUCUCCUCAAGCAUCCCAUGUGCCACUAGGGAUUGAUAAAAAUGGACUCCUUGCUGAGCGUCGUCCAUGGUGACUGCAUGAGGGCGUAUGAAUAAGUCAUGUUUUGAUUAUUCCUAUAGUAUAUUUUACUUAUUUAGGUUUGGUUUCCCUAGAGUUGUUGGAGAGUGAGGUAGGCUUUUGGAUUCAUUUCCCGCUAUGAUUACUCCCAAACACAAUUUGGUCAUAUUCUGAAUAAAUAUAGUUGAUCAGGCUAUAUUUAUCCCUAAUAGGACUACAUAACUGCCCAUGUUUAAUUAUAAUGUUCAAUAUCCUCCAAAAGCUUUUAUUAAAUAUUGUUAGGUUAUUAUCCUAAUAUGCGCAUAUAAGUAUGAAAUUUUUGUUUUGUUCACAGUUAUUUAGUCCCAUUGUGUUUAUAGUUGCAUAUCAUGUAUGGUUAGAUAUGCUAGUUCACUAUAAACAUUGCUUUGAUACCAACCUGUCACACCCCCGACCCAGACGGUGGAAACGUCUAGGGGCUCCUGUGACUAACAAUUGAAUUAUCAUCACAAUGGAUAUACAUGAAACAUAACACAUUCAUCACUAACAUUACAUAUUACAACCAGCAUUGUUCACAUCAAGUACAUUGUUAAAGAUUACAUAAAUUCAAAGUAUUAAUAGUAAGAUAGGUGAUGUGACACAAAAUAAAUCCAUACACACUUGAAAAUCUUCCUGCUUAACAAUUACCUGAGAAUACAAGUUAUUUUGAAAAAUGGUCAACAUAUAUAAUGUUGGUGAGUUCAUAAGUAUGUUUGAAUAAAAGUCUUUGCAUCUUUUGUAAAAACCCAGAAAAUCCGAUAUUUUCUGUAAAAUGUCUGAAAAUGAUGUGAAAAUCAAGUAUAAAUUCAUGUGUGAAUUUCAUAGCAGUAACAUAUAUGAUUUCAGUUUAAAUUUCUUUGUAUUGUAAGUAAGUGAUAAUUGAAUAAUAGUCUUUACCCAGAAAAUCCGAUAUUUCCUGAUUUAUAAUAAUGUCAAGGUUCUUGUAUCAUUAAUUAAGUUGUUUCGUAUUGACAAAAUCGAAGGGUUAAUCUUCGAAAUGUUAAAUUGGUAUUGGAUCUCUAUAUGAGUUGUUAUAACCAUGCAUGAUAAUGACUAGGUUGGCUGUCUUGGCAUUUUCCAAACGCCUGUAUUUGCUCAAGGUUUUGUCACCCUAGACUGGCCUAGUCUAGUUGUAGCCAACAACUAAGGCGUGGGGGGUCACCCCAUAUAGAUCUAUACACAAACUCCCGCUCUCCCUCCAGGAAACUCUGGUUAUAACUACAGACUACGAUUGUACACUCAGAGGUGUCAACCGACAUGUCUCACUAGAUUCUCAACUUUUCAUACCAUGUUUAAUGUUUACGUGAAUGUUGUAUGUUUUCAAAUCCAAAGGUAUAUAUAUAAGUAUACGAACUUUAGGGCUGGCAAUUGUUGACACGAUACGCGACACGACAUGAAAUAAAUGGGUUUGGGUUGAGUUUUUCAACCCGCCAACCCGCUAACCCGUCAACCCACCAACCCGUUUAUUAAACGGGUCAUAUAUGGGUUUCUCAAAAAAUAAACGGGUUGACCCGCCAANUGUAAGUGGACCACCAAGGCCCAACAAACAUGUAACCUAUAGCUCAGGCCCAAAUUAACAUGUAAAUGGGUCGCAAGGCCCAAUAAACAGGUCAUGGAAAAUAUUGGGCUCAAUAUAUACUUGAAUGGGCCCUUAAGGCCCAUUGGCCAUGUAAUGUGAAUAUUAGGUCCAAUAAAAUUGCUAUCAAUGUAUUUCGUCAAUUCGUUAUUAUUUUGUGGUUUGCUUUAGCUCGAUGUUUACCGAAUUAAAUAUAAAAGUCCUCUUUUUGUAUAAACGACGUUCUUGGCCAAGAAGCCUAAAAUUUUGAAUUAAGGCCCAAAGUUUUGUAAAAAUUAACACUUUAGUCCAUAAUUUAUAAAAAUUUGUAAUUUCGCCCCAAAUGUUUAGAAAUUUACGGAUCUAGUCCAAAAAAUUAUAUUUUGAUAUUUAUGGCCCAGUUUCGUAGAAUAUUACACUUUCAGACUCUUGUUUGUAAAAAUGACACUUUUGACCCAAUUUUUAUAAAAGUUACAUUUUUGGUCCAAUUUAGAAAUAUAUGUUAUUUUUUCCCCUAAAUAUGGUUUAUUUACAUUUAUGACUCAAACUUUGGUCAAAUAACAUUUUUAAUCCCAAAACUUCCAUUUUUUUGCAAAUUUGGGCCCAAAACCGUGAGGCCCAAAUAUUCAGCCCAUUAAGCUAAAACUUACGUUUUUGGCCCUUUGGAAAGCAUGUUUAUCAUAAAAAUCCCUUUAUAUACAAGUAGAACCUGUUUGGUCCUUUAAAAACCACUUUUUGCCCUUAUCUUUUGUUUUCUUGACAAUUUUGACUCUUAACAACGUUUUUGCUUUAAAUUUUUGUAUCUUAAACAUAUAAACACUUUUAACUUGAUAAUAUGAUGUAUAAGGUGUCUUAGUUCAUGGGUUUUUUACUUAAUGUUGCUUAAGAUGUCGAGACAUGCUAAGAUCUAACAUAUUUUUUACAAAAUAGACUAAGAAAUCACACACGACAUGCAUAUAACACAUAGAUCUACACAUUUUACUUGUAUUCUCCCCCAAAACUAAUAUGAAAACCAAAAACAAGGGGGUAAGAACUCACCUUUGCUUCGAUGUUUCGGUUUUGAAGAAGAAAUGGAAGAAGUUGAUGUGAUUUUUUGCUCUAGCAAGCUCCUUGAGUAGAUUUCGAGCUUAAGAAGUUUCCAAGAGUCUGACCAUGGAAUAAAGCUAUGUAACAAGGAAUUUUUUGAUGUUAAAAUAAAAGGAGAUGUUUGUGUUUGAUAACAACUUACCAAAGAUUGAAAAUGCUUGAUGAAGAUCCUUAAAACUCAAGCAAAAUUUUGAGAUCCUUGGAGAAAGGAGGAUGAUCUUUGAGAGUGUUUGGAGAGGAUUUGAAAGAGUGUGUGUGUGUGUGUGUGUGUGGUUUGCCUCUCGGCCGUGAGUAGAAGAAGAAGGGGGAAAGAGAAGAUGUGAUGGAUACUUAGGAGUAUAAGCUUUGUAUUUGCUUAAUGGGUAAUUAGCUUGGAGAACCACCAUGUAAUUAUCAUGUGUCAAUGCAUGGUAAUUCUCUUAUUUUCCUUUUUUUACAUGUAUAUGAAUGUACAUAUCUAAUGGGCCGAGAAAAAGAAAGAAUGGAGGGGCUUUGGCCUCUUUUUGAUUUGGUUCGAGUUUAUGAGGCCCAUAGAAAGAGGCUUUCGGCCCAUUGGGCCUUUAGGUGUGUUCACGGCCCAUUUCGAAAGAAGAAAGGGUGUUUAUGGCCCAUUACGGCUAAUUAAUUCAUUAAUGGCCUAAUAAGGCCCAUUAAGGAUAAACCAAUUUAUUUUGGACCCAAAAUGGCCCAAAAUGCUAAGUUUCACGGAAGUGGGUCCAAUUAGUGCCCAUUUAAGGGUCCUAAGCCCAAAAUAGUUAAAUUGGAACCUCAUUGGUCCAUUAGGCCCAAUAAGGAAAUCCUAGUCCAAUAUGGACUUAAAUCGGGAUUCUUAGGGUUUUCAAACUCUUUGUUGAACAUGAGAGGUGAAUUUAAAUGAGCAUUGCGUGAUAUUUACUUAAAGUAUAUGUUUUACACUAGUUGAAUGAUUACACGAGAAUAGAGUUUUCUAGCAAAAAUGCUAGUUGUGACAUUAAUGAAAUCGUGAUUAUUUAUAGUAGGAGCAACAUUCCUCAUAGCAACCACACUUGAUUUACCAACUUCACCUAAAGUCAUCUGCAUAGGCAAGGUGCUUAAGUUUACAAACAAGGUAAAAUCAGUUGAUCGAGUUUUGUUCACGACAUCUAUCUCAUUAACAACACUGAUACUUGGAUGAUCCUAAAGUUUUGAUGAUGAACCUCUUCCACAAAUAUCCGUUUAUUGUUUUGAGUAUGAUCUUUGAGAUAAAACACUUGUUUAGCUUGUGUGGAUAAGAUGUAUUAUUGAUCAUCAUACCUUCUUUUAUUGACAUACCAUCCAUGACUGGUAUCUAUAACGACCAUAUUAUUUAUAGUCUUUAAACAUCCAUUACGUAAUGACACAUUGAACCAUUUACCACGACAGAGUAAAAUUGAGUUACCAUAUAAAUAAUGCGAAUCUAGGAUCUCCUCUAAUUGUCCAUAGAAUGGUCUACCAUCUUCUUGUUGGAUUAGUGUCUAAUUCCAUAACUAUAUUUGGUAUGUACUUGACCCAAUUGGCAUGGUCCAUUUGGGUUGCAUGACAUCAUGCAUUUGGAUAGACUAAAAUGAGAGAAUAACACUUAAGGUUUAUUAAUAUAUUAUAAGUUCUAAUAUAUUAAUAAGAUUAUUUAAUUAGUAUUGAUCAAGAAUUAAUUUGGAACUAAUUAAGUGAUCAAAUGGAGACUAAUUAAAUAUAUGGGUUGAUUGUGUAAAUCAUCCAUACUUGUAUAGUGGGCUAAUGCCCCAUGGAUUAUCAAGUUGGGCUAAAACCCAUAGGAUGCUCCAUGGUGUGUUUGUACCCAUGGAUCAUGGAAAUGAAAAGCCAUGAAAAUUAGGGUUUACAUGGUGUAACCCUAAUUGUGACACACUAUAUAAGUAUCUUAUUCUUCCCAAAAAAAGAGCUAUAAAGGAAUGGUGAGGGCUAGCCGAUUUCAUGAAGUGUCUAAUUUCUCUCAAGUUAUUCUAAGUGUAUUUGGUGUUGUGUGAACCAUCUGAGGUGUCACACUUGGGGAACUAGGCUCUUAAGCUCCGUGGAAUCAAGCUACACCAAAAGGAAUGUCUUCUAACUUGUAUUAUUCCUCAUGAAUCAAUAUUUUGUAUGCUAGUUAGGAUAAUACCUUGGAAUAUUAAUAUUUGCAUGUAUAAUAGAGAAAACAUAGAUCCAAGAUAUUUAGGGUUGCAUGUACACAUAGGAGUGUUAGAAUGCUCAAAACCAUUCACUUCUCCAAAUUUAACAACACCACUAUUUUUAGUAGUGUGUCAGAGAUCACGAAUACUCACAACAAAACGAACACCGACAAUAUGUAUUAUGUUGGUCAUAGACAAUUCUUGAAUAUGAACCAUAGAUGGAGGGAGAGUCUAUUGUUUGAUGGUCCACCCGAUACAAGACCGUAUCCUAGACGAUUUAGUAAUUUAACUAUAUUAAAGUAAUGUAACGUCUGUGUUUCUGGGCUUGCCAUUUUUAGCAAUGUANNNNNNNNNNNNNNNNNNNNNNNNNNNNNNNNNNNNNNNNNNNNNNNNNNNNNNNNNNNNNNNNNNNNNNNNNNNNNNNNNNNNNNNNNNNNNNNNNNNNGACGAAGGUGGACCGGUAUGCGAAGGGACUCCCAUGGGAGUAUGACGUGCCAGUACGUCAGGCACAUACUUUAGAGGCAGCUAUCUGGGCUACCAAGUCUGUUGAGAACAUGAUAAAGGGGAGAACCACCAACAAGGUUGAGGUUGGUGAGAAGAGGAAGUUUGAGGGAACAUCUGGUUCCGGUAAGAAAAGCAAAUUUUCGAAAUCUGAUUCGAAAAGGUUUGGUGGGGGUAAAGGAGGGGAAGCGAAGUGGUGUGAAAAGUGUAAGAAAAAGCAUUUCGGGAAAUGUAGCGAGGAUGUAACUUGCUACAAGUGUGGAAAGGUUGGACAUUUUGCCAAUGAAUGUCCGAACAACAAAAGGAUGUGUUUUGGUUGUAAUGAAGAGGGGCAUAUUUUGAAAGACUGUCCGAAGAAGAAGGAGGCAGCUAAGCCCAACAUUCCACCAAAGCCGAAGGCGAGAGCCUUCCAGAUGACACUUGAGGCUGCGAAAGAUGAAGCUGAUGUCGCUUCAGGUACCUUUCUCGUAAACGAAUUACCUGCUCAUAUAUUGUUUGAUUCUGGAGCCAACUACUCCUUUAUUUCGCAUGAGUUUGGUAGAAAGCUAGCUUUGCCUAUUGAUAGACUAGAUGAUGCUUUAUUAGUCGAAGUAGCUAGUGGCAAGUUUGUACCUGUUAGUCAUCGUAUGAAAAGCAUCUUAAUUGAUCUGAAUGGGAAUAAGUUUCACGAGGAAUUAUUGCCUAUCGAACUAAAUGGUUUCGACAUCGUGUUGGGAAUGGAUUGGCUUAGCGCCAAUGAUGCCGAAAUUUUGUGCAAGAAGAAGAUAGUUAAAGUAAACCCGCCUGGGAAAGAUUCGUUUAUGGUGUAUGGGGACAAACGCAGAGUGAAUUCUGGAAUCAUUUCUCUAAUGAAAGCCAGAAAGUGUUUGACCAAGGGAUGUACAUCAUAUUUAGCAUUCGUGAUUGAUGCUAAGAAGGAAAAGAAGGUGAUGCAGAGUAUUCCAGUGGUGUGUGAUUAUCCGGAAGUAUUUCCCGAGGAUCUUCCUGGAUUACCACCUGAUAGACAAGUGGAGUUCAGAAUAGACUUGUUACCAGGAACCACGCCAAUAGCAAAAGCACCUUAUCGAUUAGCACCGACGGAGAUGAAGGAGCUGAUGAUGCAACUUCAGGAGUUAUUGGACAAAGGUUUCAUUAGACCUAGUUCAUCGCCCUGGGGAGCUCCGGUGUUAUUUGUAAAGAAGAAAGAUGGAAGUAUGAGAAUGUGCAUCGAUUACAGAGAGCUGAACAAGGCAACAAUAAAGAAUAGAUAUCCGUUGCCGAGGAUUGAUGACCUGUUUGAUCAAUUGCAAGGUUCGAGCUAUUUCUCGAAGAUCGAUCUUAGGUCAGGAUAUCAUCAGCUGAAAGUAAGAGAGCAAGAUAUCGAGAAGACUGCAUUCAGAACUAGAUAUGGACACUACGAGUUCUUGGUUAUGUCGUUUGGACUAACCAAUGCUCCAGCAGCGUUCAUGGAUUUGAUGAAUAGGGUUUGUAAUCCUUUCCUUGAUAAAUCCGUGAUAGUGUUCAUAGACGACAUUCUGAUCUACUCGAAAAGCCAGGAGGAGCAUGGCAGACACUUGCGAGAAGUGUUAGAAGUUUUGAAGAAGGAGAAGCUUUAUGCGAAGUUCUCCAAAUGUGAUUUUUGGAUUCGUGAGGUCCAAUUCUUGGGUCACGUGGUCAACCAAGAAGGGAUAAUGGUUGAUCCAGCGAAGAUCGAAGCUGUGACGAAGUGGGAACAACCGAAAAGUCCCACGGAGAUUCGAAGCUUUUUAGGAUUAGCCGGAUAUUACCGAAGGUUUAUCCAAGGCUUUUCUUCGAUUGCUACUCCAUUAACAGCUUUGACCCACAAAGGAGCUACUUAUGCUUGGAGUGAGAAGCAUAAAGAAGCAUUCGAGAAGUUAAAGAAGAAGCUAUGCGAGGCACCGAUACUUUCUCUACCCGAUGGAGUUGAAGACUUCGCUGUUUAUAGCGAUGCGUCUGGUGUUGGAUUGGGUUGUGUUUUGACCCAAAGAGAAAAGGUGAUAGCAUAUGCGUCUCGACAGCUGAAAGAGCAUGAAAAGAAUUACCCGACUCAUGAUUUGGAGUUGGCAGCGGUAGUUUUCGCUCUGAAAAUAUGGAGGCAUUACCUCUAUGGCACGAAGUGCAAACUUUUCACUGAUCAUAAGAGUCUCCAAUACCUCUUUAAUCAGAAAGAAUUGAAUAUGAGGCAACGACGCUGGCUAGAAUUACUUAAAGACUACGACUGCGAGAUACUUUACCACCCCGGUAAAGCUAAUGUUGUUGCUGAUGCUCUCAGUCGGAAAGUCAAUCUUGAAAGGAAGAGGCCAAGAGCGUUGAGAAUUGAAGUUGUCUCGACUAUUGUGGAAAGUAUAAAGAAAGCUCAAGAGGAAGCUUCUGAGAAAAAUGACCGAAAGGAGGAACGUUUGGGUAAAACGUUGGUGUUUGGUACUAACGGUCAUGGACUGAAGGUAUUCCAAGAUCGUAUUUGGGUACCUAAGUCAGGAGGAAUUAGGGAUCUUCUGAUGGAAGAAGCUCACAAAACCAUGUACUCAAUUCAUCCGGGUAGCACUAAAAUGUAUAGGGACCUGAAACCCUACUACUGGUGGCCGACGAUGAAGCUUGAUGUUGCAAAGUAUGUGGCCGAGUGUGUGACUUGUGCGAGAGUCAAGACACAACAUCAGAAACCUUACGGGAGUUUAGAACCAUUGCCUGUGCCUAUGGGUAAGUGGGAAGACAUUGCUAUGGAUUUUGUCACUAAACUGCCCAGAACAAAGAAUGGUCACGACAUGAUUUGGGUGGUCGUUGAUCGAUUCACUAAGAGUGCGCAUUUCAUAGCGGCCAGGGAGAAAUGGUCUAUGGAAAAGCUUGCGAAUUCUUACGUGAAGGAAAUUGUGAGGCUUCACGGUGUUCCGUUAACGAUUGUAUCGGAUCGUGAUAGCCGUUUCACCUCAAGGUUUUGGAAAAGUCUACAAGAGGAAAUGGGUACCAAGUUAUGUUUAAGCACAGCUUACCAUCCGCAGACUGAUGGUCAGAGUGAAAGAACAAUACAAACACUUGAAGAUAUGCUGAGAGCAUGUACCUUGGAAUUCCUAGGUAAUUGGGAUGAACAUUUACCGUUGGUAGAAUUUUCCUAUAAUAAUAGUUUUCACUCGAGCAUUAAGAUGGCACCUUAUCAAGCUUUGUAUGGACAGAAGUGUCGUACGCCGUCUUGUUGGCUUGAGGCUGGGGAAAAGCAGUUUAUGGGACCGGAGAUGGUUCAUCAAACUGCUGAAAAGUUGAAAAUAAUUAGGGAAAGAAUGUUAGCAGCUCAAGAUCGUCAAAAGAGCUAUGCUGACAAGAAGCGAAGACCGAUGACUUUUGAGGUUGGAGAUUCGGUUUUGCUUAAAGUCUCGCCGUGGAAGGGACUUAUAAGAUUUGGUAAAAGGGGAAAGUUGAGUCCAAGGUUUAUUGGACCGUUUAAAGUCCUUCAGAGGAUUGGGAAUCAAGCUUACAAGCUCGAAUUACCCGAAGAACUGAAUGGAAUUCACAACACCUUUCAUGUGUGUUAUUUGAGGAAGUUCACGGGAGAAGUUCCCGAUAUAAUUCCAAUUUCUGAAUUGAGAAUUGAUGAGAACAAAAGGUUGAUUGAAGAACCAGAGGCAAUUGUUGACCGAAAGACUAAGAAGUUGCGACGCAAAAUGGUUGGGUUAGUGCUUGUCCGAUGGAAACACACGAAUGGGCCGAAUCUCACCUGGGAGACGGAGAGUGACAUGUUGAGUCGCUAUCCGCAUUUGUUUGUUGAUGUGUGAUUCCGGGGACGGAAUCAUUCUAAGGUGGAGAGAAUUGUAACGCCUGUGUUUCCGGGCUUGCCAUUUUUAGCAAUGUAAUAGUCUAGGUUAACCUUUGUAACCCGUUUUGAAAUAAUAAGAUUGUAUUAUUUGAGUAUUAUGUGUUUUGUGCUUAAUUGCUUAAUUAUGUGGUUUGAUUAAUUAAGAAUAAAAAUAAGCGUCAAAAUUUAAGUGUAAAAUAAACUUAAUAUCUUUGGUUAAUGUUGUAGUAGUUGAAACGAGGUUUCCGAAUAUAUAUAGAACGCCCAAAUCUGACUUCGUAUGAGGAAGUUAUGAUUUAUCGAAGUUCCGGCUUAGCGAUAUACAGCCUGUUUUACUCGAUUUGAGAUCGAGCGGUUGUUAGCCGAAGCAAUCUAAAUGAGAAUCGAAGAUCUCAUUGUUGGUAUUGAAACGAUAAAAAGUUAGGCGAGAACGGACGUCAAACGAAGAAGUUAUGAAUUUAUAACGAAAGUUUCUGUCCCGGCCUAUUAAAAAUAAUUAAUAAAAAUAAAGUCAAAAUUAGCCGACGGAGUCUAAACGAAAGUCGUAGAGCGUGGUCUCACCUUCGCGUGGAUAUAAAGAACGUCGAAAACGGAGUUCGUAUGAAGAAGUUAUGAAUUUCCGAAGUUUAUUAAUCAUUUUGUAUUUAUUUUUAAUUCAAAAUUCGGAAGCAUUAUCCGAAGGAGUCACCGAUCUGAUCCGAGGUACGCCCCGCGUACUCGAGUACGCCCCGCGUACUCCGAGGGAUGUCGACACUCGCACUCGAGCACUUCGGAUACGUAAGCAAUGACGUUUUGGGCAGUACGCCCCGCGUAACGCAGUACGCCCCGCGUACUCCGAGGCUCCAGCCUCCUAUAAAUAGGAUGCGAGGGUUCCGGGUAUUUUUGCCAAUUCCCUCUCGUUUUCGUGUCGAAGCUCUGUGCAAAAACCCCCGAAGCUACCCCGAAGUCCCGGUAUCAUACUCUAGCCCCGAGGCAAGUCCCGAGAUCCUGAAGAUCCCGAAAAGUGCGGUUCCCGAGUCGAAGCUCUGCCCGCGAGAAGUUCGAUUUUCGAGAAGAUCUUCCAGAUCUGCUGUGGAUUACUACUUCUAUAAGCCGUAGUGCUGUCCGAUCAUCUUCUGAUCAAGUGAGUGUGUAGUUAUUUCUUCUAAUACAAUAAUACGAAGUAUUUUAUAUAAAAAUACGUGCUAUGUGUAUAUAUUUUGUUGUUAUAUAUGUGAAUGUAUACCCACUCUCUUCUAUCUUAUAGAUCUGAUUAUUUCUCAAUGAAAUACGUGUUAUGUGUGUGUGCCUCAUCUGUUAUGUGAAAAAUGUUUUGAUUGAGCAUGCUAUACAGGUUUUGAAACUACGUAUAAAAAUGUAUAUUUUAUCUACUAAUAUGUUGGGUAGAAUAUGGGUAGAUAGUUGGUGUGUAAUAAACAGAUGAGAGGCCUCGAUGUUGUUUUGAUCCAGUCAUCUAGCGGAAUUUAGAUGACGACCACGGACUUUUCUAGACAGUCCAGUGGAACGCUAGCAGGCUCAUAACCUGUAGGUGUUAAUGAACUUGGGUGUUCAUUCGCUGUAUUCCAUCCCCCCCAUGGUUGCCUUAUUUGACUUAUAUUGCUGAGGAACCCCCGAAGCAUGUGUAGUCGCCCCGAUGAAAUAUUCUUUGACUAGGUCCCUUGUGUUAGUUAUUUUAGGGACAUAAAGUGAGAAUAACGGGAAUGGGUAACUGGGUUAUUGUUGGAUGAUAAUAAUUAAUUAAAUUAUUUAUUGUGGGUUGAAAACCCUAUAUGCUCACCAGGCUCCCAAGCCUGACCCACUCAGUUGAUUUAUUUUACAGGAAGUGGCGCAAGAGCUUAAGAUGGGCGAACAUCAAGUUGUUUUGUUUACAAGUCUGUAUAUGUAUAUAUUUGUUGAAAGACUUGUAAUGCUAUCGUUUAUGCUUUAUGAUCUGUAUCGGAACAUGACAUCCCGACUUUUGAUUAUGAAAUGAAAUCAUAUUUCUUUAUGAAAUGUUUUGAUAAAUAUCUAUUUUAUCAUGUUUUGUUUUUGGGAACAAAUUCCGCAUCUCUUUUAAAAAUUAAAAGGAUUUACUCUGAAAAUUAUUUUAAAAAGCAUAAAUGAAAUCGGUCUUUUCUGGCCGAGAUUUUGGGGAUGUCACAAGUAAGUAGCUCGUCUCUCUGAUAAUAUGUAUUAUGUUGGUCAUAGAUGAUUCUUGAAUAUGAACCAUAGCUAGAGGGAUAGCCUAUUGUUUGAUAGUCCACCUAACACAAGACCGCGUCUUAGACAAUUCAGUAAUGUAACUAUAUUAAAGUAAGUAGCUCGUCUCUCUGAUAAUAUUCCAGGGGAAUAUCCUAAUCAUGGGGCUAAAAAAGAAAGCAUGAACAUGAAAGCAAAAAGGCAGAGUUGAAUCGGAUGAAACAAAGUAUCUUAUUUGAGCUUGAGUAUUGGUCUUCCCUCCACCUAAAACAUAAUUUUGAUGUUCUACAUGUUUUGAAAAAUAUGAAUGAGAGUGUGUAUAAUACUACACUGAUGAACGAUAAAAGAAAAUACAUAAAAGAAGUAAGAAUUGACUUGAAAAAUACGGUCAUUCGACCAGAUCAAUGGCCAAAAGAGAAAGUCAAGAAGAAGAAGACAGUACACCAUUCUAUGGUCCCUUGGUUGAUGCAUCUCUCAUUUGGACUCCUUCAACCCAUAACAUUUUCAACUCAGCCACCAAAGGCCUCAAGUAAACAUCAAUGUCCUUUGUAGGUGAUCUAGGGCCAGGAAUCAACAAAGUUAGCAUGAAAGAAGAGUCCUUCAUACAUAUCCAUGGUGGUGUAUUGUAGUUAGUAAAUAUAACCAUCCAAAUAAUAUAAGUAUUAUUAAAGUUGUUGAACGGAUUAAAGCCAUCAGCAGCUGAACCUAGACGAAUAUUUCUAUAUUCUUUAGCAAACUCUCGAUAUCUCUUAUCAAAUUAUUUCCAUGACUUCUCGUCAACCGGAUGACGCAUCUUACCAUCCAUUGAGCAUCCAGUAUUAUGACAACUAAUAUAUUUACCAGUGAAUCUGGAACUAUACAUUCGUCGAAGCCUUGAGUCAAAGGAAACUACCACAAUGCUUUUUGUGGUACUCUCUUCCCAUUUUGUUGUUGUGUCCACCCAUUUGCUUGCAUUACAAAUUCGGGCAAUUUUACAUGGAAUCAUUCUCCUUCCAAAACGAAGCACAAUCAUAUUUACAAGUAUGGAUGGAUUGAUAUCAAACCCUAUCUUUCUCAACUUAUUCUUAGCUUCAUAGUGUGAAGUUGCUCUUCGGGAAUGAAACUCUUAGUAACUCUACAAGUUGGUUAAAAAAAAUAUUUGUCCAUUUAUUUAUCACUUUAGUAUGCAACAACUUUGCCAGAAAGUUUAUGUAACGUCCCAAAAAUUAAGACUAAAAGUUUUUAAUUUUAAAUUAAUUAAAACCAUUAUCCAAACAACAUCUUAGAAAUCAUAGUGCAUCAAAGUGUAUCAAUAACAUCCAUGUACAUCAGCAAGAUAUAAAAAUGCAGAACGACGUGGUGGGUGCAUUGCAAUCAUCCCGUGUAACGCCCGUAAACUCGGGCUAGUCAAUUUAGAGACAAUGUGCGUCAAAAAUGACUUUUUGAUGGGAGAUUGUUUACAAGAAACAAUCUUAACCAAGUUAUAUUAUAUGUCACAAAGGUUCCUUAUAUAUAAAGAACGCCAAAAUCCGAGUUAUAACGAAGAAGUUACGACCUUUCGAAGUUCUACGACAAAACCAACACGGCACCGUGUAACGUAAAAAGUGAAAUCUUGAUAAAUUACUUUUUAGCCUUAGGGAUCUAAAUGAAAGUUGUUUUAUACAUUAAAUUGAGAGCAUGCAUAAAAAGAACGUCAAAAUCUGACUUUGUAUGAGGAAGUGAUGAUUUUUCUAAGAUUUCGCACAGAGUAUACAACCUGGAAUUCGAAUGUCAGAUCGAGUGAUUUUUAGCCAACACAACCUAAAUUAUAAUUGAAUAUCUCAUUAAUAGGAGUUCAACGAUAAAAAGACAGUUAAAAACGGAGUCUGUAUGCAGAAGUUAUGAAUUUUACACGGUCGUUAACAAAAUAAUAUUUUCAUACUGUUAUAUUUAAAAUUGGUUGAGAAUUAGCCGAUUCAAUCUAAAGGAAAGUUGUAGAUCUUGUCAAUACCUAUGUGUGGAUAUAAAGAACGUAAAAAACGGAGCUCGUAUGCGAAAGUUAUGAAUUUUUUAAAAUUUGUUGUUUUACCUGCGUCCAGCGCCACGUGUCAGCACCAGGCGAAGCCUUAGUGCCUACACAAGGCCACGACGUGGAUUAUAAGUCUAUGAUGUUGAUUUCCCCAGAUAACCUAUAAAUAGAGGUGGAAAUAAUCCAUUUCCUUCACACCUUCACCCUUCUUUCUGUCUCAACACUCCCAAUCUCUCCCUCCUAAUCCCUAGCAACUUCUAAGUGCUAGAGGCGAGUCCCGGAGCGCCAAAAGGGUCCGAGAAGAAGAGUUUUCGUCUCAAAAUUUCCGCCCCCUCAGAGCCCGGUUCCUAGCCAAACCCCCAGGAAGUGAGUUAUGCUUACACUACUUUAAGUAUACUUAUGUUUAAGUUUAUUAUCGUUAUUAUGAACUUAUAAACAAGAUUUAUCAGUGAUUCCAAGUCGUUAUACUAAUUGAUCUACUUACGGGGAUGAUAUAUAGGUUGUGAUUUAGUGAGGUGUUUAAAGUGGGAUUUCAAAACAGUAUACUUCGUAUACGAAACGGAACUUACCUCCGAUAUGAUCCUACAUGGUUGUUCCUUACUUGAUAGAUCAUGAAAGUAGACUUUGAGUUAAUGAUGAAUCUAGACUAAUAAUUAGUCGUGCGUAAAGAUUAGACUAAAACUUAGCGAUAAUAAUGCUAGGUUUCAUCGAAGGAAAAUAGAAUCAUGAGAAGCAAAGUGCUUCCCGAGUUUGGAAUUAUCACUUUGAUAAGUGAGUGCAUAGUUACUUUCAUCUUACACAUAGAUAUGAAGUAUAUUAUAUAAAUUACAUGCUAUGUGUUCAUAUUAUAUGUUUACUUUAUAUCUAUGCUAGAUGAAUGAUCCUAUACAUGUUUUGAAUGAUUUAAACUGUAUAUAUAUUUUUUGUAUCUAUAAAAUCUAUUGGGUAAAACAUGGGUAGAUGAAUGAUAAGGGAUGAAAGUUGAUAUAGAGGAACAUUGGCAGUUAUAGACAUAGUGUCCUAUAGGUGAACAUUGACAACAAUGGACUUAGUGCCCUAUAGAUGAGCAUUGGCAGCCGUGCCACCACCUGUAGAUGUUUUGAUCUACGAUGUACUCUAAACAUCAUAGCAGCUGCGCUCAAAGGGUAGUAUCGGCAGCUGCGUGUAACGCAUGUGUUUCUAGGCUUGUCAUUAAUAUUGAUGUAAUAGUGUAGGUUAACCAUUGUAACCUGUUUCGAAAUAAUAGAAGUGUAUUAUUUGAGUAUUAUGUGUUUUGUACUUAAUUGUGUGUCUUAAUUAAAUUAAGUAUGAAAAUAAGCAUCAAAAUUAAAUGUUACAUAAAGCUGAUAUCUAUGGAUAAUUUUGUAGUAGUUGAAACGAGGUUUCUGAAUAUAUAUAGAAUGCUGAAAUCCGAGUUAUAACGAAGAAGUUAUGAUCUGUCGAAGUUUCGCGACAUAAAUCGGCACGACGAUGAAUGACGUAAAAAGUGAAUUUAUGUUAGAUUUAUCUUUAGUCCUAGUGAUCUAAACGAAAGUUGUAGAGUUCGUUAAACCGAUAGCGUGCAUAAAAAGAUCGACCAAAUCUGACUUCGUAUGAGUAAGUUAUGAUUUUCCGAAGUUUCGACUUAGCAGUGUGCAGCCCGAAUACUCGAUUUGAGAUCGAGCGGUUUUUAGUCGAAACAAUCUAAACGAGAAUCGAAGAUCUCGUCAAUGGUAGAGCAACGGUAAAAAGAUAAAUGAAAACGGACGUCAGAUGAAGAAGUUAUGAAUUUAUAACAGAGUUUUCCUAUCCCGGCCUACUAAAAAUAAAUAAUAAUAAAAUAAAUUCAAAAUCAGCCGACAGAGUCUAAACGAAAGUUGUAGAGUGUAGUCUCACCUACGCAUGGAUAUAAAGAACGUCGAAAACGGAAUUCAUAUGAAGAAGAUAUGAAUUUCUGAAGGAUUUAUAUGAUUAAUAUUUAUUAAUUAAUCUUUAAUUCGAAUGUAUAUCCGAAGGAGUCACCGACCUGAUCCACACUAUGCCCAGCGUACACCGAAGCGUGACCCACCUCGCACUCGAGUGCUCCGAUGACACAUGCAGUGACGAAUCCGAAGCGUACGCCCCGCGUACUGAGCAUUACGCCUAGCGUAAUGCGAGGCUUCAGCCACUAUAAAAGGGCAUGCGAGGGCAGCCAAUCCUUUUGCUCAAUUUCUUUUCUCUCUCUCUUGUUUUCCAUCGUUUUGCGUUCAACUUAUACCCCGAAUCCCCAGUAUCAUUCCCGAGCCCCGAAGCAAGUCCCGAAGCCCCGAAGAUCCCGAGGAGUAGAGUUCCCGAGCCGAAGCUCUACCCGCGAGAAGCCAAUUUUUGUGAAGAUCUUCCAGAUCUAUCAAAGAAUACUACUUCUACAAGUCGUAGUGCUAUCUGUUCAUCUUCUAAUCAAGUGAGUGUGUUGUUACUUUCUUCUAACGCAUAAUUACGAAGUAUUUUAUAUGAAAUACGUGUUAUGUCUAUAUUUUGUGUUGGAUAAGGUGUCUAAGUCCAUAACUAUUUCUGGUAUGUACUUGACCCGACCCGGCAUGGUCCAUUUGGGUUGCAUGGCAUCAUCCAUUUGGAUAGACUAUAUGAGAGAAUUAACACUUGUGGUUUAUUAAUAUAUUAUAAGUUCAAAUAUAUUAAUAGUAUUAUUUAAUUAGUAUUGAUCAAGAAUUAAUCUAGAAUUAAUUAAGUGAUCAAAUGGUGACUAAUUAAAUAUAUGAGUUGAUUAUGUAAAUCCUCCAUAACUUAUAUAGUGGACUAAAGGGCUCCAUUGAUAAUCAAGUUGGGUUUGUUGGAUUAUUGUCUAAGUCCAUAAACUAUUUUGGUAUGUACUUGACCCGAUGGUGUAUGGUCAUUUUGGGUUGCCUUCACCAAAGCAACUUGAUAGGAUGAAUUAUAAAGAGAAAGGAUUAAAUAUGAUUUAUUAAUAUAUUAUGAUAAUACUAUAUUAAAGGAGAAAUCAUAUUGUUUAAUUAAUAUUAGUCAAGAAUUAAUUGAUAAUUAAUUUUGUGACUAAAAGAGAUUAAUUAAACUUAAGGGACUAGAACUGUCAAUUGUAUGAUAGUUGAAUAUUGAGCUAAUGGACUCCAUAUUAAAGGAGUGGAUGAAUUCUAUGGGGAAACCCAUUAGAAAUCGUCCUAGGCCUUUAAGGAAGGAGCCCAUGGGUUACUUAGGGCUUAAGCAUCCAAAUUAGGGUUUCCUUGUUAGAUAACCCUAAUAGCCUCACUAUUUAAGGACCCUUUGGGCACCAAAAACGUAGGCAACUGAAUCCUAGGGGUUUCUACACGUUUUUGGGUGUUUCUUCUCUUCUCCUAUUCAUCCUCUUGCUCUUGGUGUUUGUGAACCAUUAGAGGAGUGACAUUUGUGACUCUAAGCUUUCUAAAGUCAUUACAAAGGAGGAUUUGAGAUUGUUAUUGCUACAUAACAAUCAAGGUAUGAUCUAAACCCUAAUUCAUAUCUUAUACUGAUUAUCAUAUACUAGAUCCAAGCAUUAGGGUUUGUAUGAGCACAUAGGAUGUUCUUAUAGCUAAAACCCAUCAGUGGUAUCAGAGCCUUGAUUGGUUUCUAUUGUAUUGAUGCCUUGUUAAUUUGUUCAUGCUUGAAAAAUUCGAUUUUGUGAGUCUGCCUAAUGAACUCGGCGAGUCCCAUUGUGGACUCGGCGAGUAGGCCCCUACUCGGCGGGUCCAUAGGGGUACUCGGCGAGUUCGAGCGUCAGAAAGAGGGGACUUCGAGAUUUCUUGCUGAUUUACUCAUGGAUACUUGCCUUAUCUGUUUUAGAUCAUUAAAAUCCGAUUUUAAACAUAUUUAUGAGUAUAUCCUUGAUUAAACAAAAGAUAAUUACCAAUUGAUUAGAUAAUAACUUCCUUAUAUGAUAAAGUUUGAUUAUUUGUAUUAAUUGGGUAACUUAUUUUGCAAGAAAUUGAAAUUAGGUCAAAUAUAGAUAAUGAUGAGAUUAAUUGUUUAAUUUAUAUUAUUUGUUAUUUGAUCCUUGUGUUAUGAAAAGUUUCAAUUUUCCCCUUUAGGUUUUAUAGUUUAAAUUUGAACUCAAAAGUUUNUAGGGUUUCAUGUACACCACAGGAACGAUGUUUCAUAAACUUGACGAGUUCCAUAGACUCGAUGAGUUAAGUGUCCUGGUGCCGGGAUUUUCGAUUUUCUGGCCAAAUUUUAAUGAGGAUAACUGUGAAAACUCGUUUUUCUUUCCUAAAUUCAAAUCUUUAAGAUCGGUAUGGAUAUCCUUAUCAGAUUUGGUGGAUUUAGUUAAAUAUGGAUGAUAUAGGAUUAUUUUGAUUCAAAUAUUUAACCUAGUAAGUUUGAAAAGUUUCAAAUUACACCCUUUAGGUUUUAUAGUUUAAAUUUGAACUUAAAAGUUUUAGUUUUGAAAUUUAAAUAGUUAAACCCUAAUAUUUUGAAAAGUUUUAAAAUUUGUCCUUAAAUUUUGGAAUUUAAAAUUUAAUUAAAAGGUAUUACUUUUGCAAUAUUAAUUUCUAAAACCCUAGUGUUUUGAAAAGUUCAUAUUACACCCUUAUGGUUUUAUUAAAUUAAUUAAGUGCUUAAUUAAGAGAGAGAAUUAAUAAAUCCAUAACAAUAUGGUUUAAGAUUAAUCAAAUUAAAAGUGUAAUUUAUUAAUAGAUUAAACCACCUAAUAUUUUUAAAGUGUAAAAUACACCAUUAUACUAUAUAUAAAAUUAAAAGUCUAAUAUAUUAUAUAUGUAUAAGUAAAGAGUCUGUCUUAUCGUUAGUAAGCCUUAUUCACGAAGUUGGUCUUUAAGGGGUGUUUAAGGAAGCGGCAUGUAAAAUGACCGUCAUUGGAUAUCCACUCUUACCCACCGCACCAUUAACUAGUGGAGGGUCAUUAGCCGAAUGGGUAGGAUAGGACAUAACCUUCCAUUAUAAGUAUAAUGAAAUACGAAGUAACUAAACGUUUAUAUAAAUUCUCAAAUCUUAGUUACUGUAGGAAAAAUGUGAAUUUGGUGCUAAUCCAUGAAAUUGCACAUUGCACCUUGUUGGUCGUUAGUGGAGCGUGUGUGGUUAACAGAACACUAAUAUGGGACCAAUGAAGGAUGGCAAUGGGUUUCUCGUAAUAUUAUCAUUGAUCAAUGGAGCGUGUGUGGUUAACCGGCACAUUGAUUGGGUGGUGAUCGACAUCGAGAGUAUCAAGCUAAUUUGCAUGGUUAUUCACACCUUGUUUGUGAUCCUCGGCGUCCCAGUCACAAACUUGAAAGGCAUAAUCGAGAUUAAACAUGCCAUUGAAAAGUUUAAUGAAUCUCAAAAGAUCUAGGGCUUUCAAUUCAUUAAUAACCUAAUUUUCAUUUUUGUUUUUCAUGGUGGAAAUUGGUAAAUCGUCAUUUACCUACCUUCAAAUAUUUUGCGACUGGAUUACGGCAUCCCUCUUCCGAAUUGUAGAAUAUUGUGUUGGAUCCUAGCCUUAAUAUUCCCUUUGGGUGUUAUAUUAAGGAUUGAAUCAACUAACUUGAACUUCUCCCAUUUUGUAGAUGUCUAAAUCUAACAACUAUGGUAUUCCACAAUCCUUUGGAAAAAGUCUUCCACAUGAAGAUGAUGUUCCACGAUUCGAUCGAGGAACAAGAGAUCAUGCUUCACUUCAUCCUCCUCCUCCCGUUGUUCUCCCUAACCCACAAGAUCGAAGAAUUGAAAGGUUCAAUGUCACUAAAGCCCUAUUGGAAAUGAAACAUGAAGAUAAUGUUGGGUGCGUCAUUCCCCGAUAAGUUGGCUGUGAACUGGGUUCUGCAGUCGCUCCCUGAAUCAUAUAAUGAGUUCAAGAGAAUGUAUUAUAUGAUGGAUCAUGACGAUAACCUCAUUGACCUAACUUACAUGCUCAUUGCUGCUGAAUCAGAAAUAAUUUGGCAAAGCAAUGGAGCGGUUUUGUUGGGAAAGUCAACCAACCAUGCUUUCGAGGACGUUCUAGGAGAACCGACCUGCGUUUGCUGCCAAGAGAAAGGGCGUUGGAUACAAGUUUGCCCUAAGAGCCUGAAGAAUCCAAAAGAUGGGAGAGUCAAAGAGUAUGGUUGUGCUUCAGGUAAAAAUCCACUAUCUAACUCCAUUAAGUUCUUAUUCGUUGAUUCUUAAUACAUGAUGUGAUAAGAUUGCAUUUGAAUGUUUUGCAGGAUCAGUGAAAAGAGAGGAAGCUUGAUGGAAAAGCAAGAUAAGUCUAAUCACAAAGAAAUGGAUCUCGAUCGCAUGGACUUGAAGAUUAGAUUUUGAGCUUAGAAAGUUAUGAUAGAGUUGUUAGGAAUAUUAGACUACAUAGUUUUUCAGUUAAUUUUGCAUUGUAAGGAAAAAUGUUUUCCGCUGCUUUUAUGAAUAAAAUAAAUUUUGAUUUGACUCAUUUAUUUAUUUAUUUCCUUGCAAUGAAAUCGUUAUGAAAAAUUGAUGUUUGCAUAUUUCUACAACGAAUGGAUGUGAUUCUUAAUUAUGUUAAUUAUGGAAAGGUCAAGAAUUUACCAAAUAGGAAAAGUUUCUCAUCGCCCAAGUUUCAAUUGGAUAGAGACUUGGGUCAUGCAACUUGGUUGCACGAUGAAUGAGAAAUUUCAUAUGUGGAAAUAAGACUAAUUCGUUGACAAAGUGUCAAGUGAAGAACUAGGAGAUCGAGUACACAAAGUUGUGUGUUGAUCAAGUCCACCGCAAGAGUAACGAAGAUAUUCGUCAUGAUUUACUAGAGGUUUAGUAAAAAUGAUUAUACUUAUAAGAUUAAGUGUAAUUCUGAAUUGAUUGAAAAAGGUUUAAAUCAAUAGCAUAACGAAUAAGAAGAAUCAAGUAGACAGAAAGAUAAAAGUCUCUCUAUUCUAAGAAGAAGGGAGAGUAUCUUUAUGCUUUAUGAUAUGUCUUAAUGAUUAAGAACCAUAUCUCAAUUGAUCCUCUAAGUAAGUCUUAGUACAAUUGUAUGUCUGAGAAGAGGAAUCAAGAAUUAAAGAAAUGGUUAAAAUCAAGAAGUCAAUCGUAUUUCGUUCCAAACAAGUCUUAGAGUUAAGAUUGUGACAUAGAGUGACAAGUAUUAGGAAGGUUUAUGACAAUCAUCAAAUGUAGAAUUUGGAAAAGGGUUUUCUUAUUCUUGCACAUUUGAAAUUCGUAAGUUGUGAUGUCUUGGAUUAGACAAAGACCAACGAGGACCAAUUUGUGAAGUGUUUUGUCUUGAUAAAAGCUACACUAACUCUUGAAUAUUUGGUUGUCGAGAAAUGUUUAUUGACAAGAGAAUCUUAUAUGUCAAGGAGUCAGUGGGAGUCUUAAUGGUCUUGAAAAGGUUUCAAUAACAAAUCAAAAUAAACCUUAUCAAUCAUCACUAGCACACGAGUUGAGGUUUACAACCUAUCGUGUUGACAUUAUCUUGUUUCUGUGCCGUUCCAAUCGAGUUAAUUAUGCAUGUGAGUUCUAUGAGUUCUCAUUUGAAUGCAUAAAAGGCAAGGACCUUGAUCAAUGGAAAGUACAUUGAUAGGAAAGGGUGAGCUGCUUAACUACUUGGAAGACAUGGUGGGCAGCCGUGUUACCAUAAGGCAAGAAAUCAAGAUUAAGAGUUCGGUCCAUAUAAGUUUGAAUUUGUCAUAAACUUUGGUUUUAACAAAUUCACAUGGAUAGGAACACAUACACUAUUAAAAUCUAAGUGUCAUAAGAUUCCCUCCUUCAUGGAAAUGACUGUGAGGUAAUGCUUUCACUAAAAGAGAUUUUAAGAAGAUAGUAAUUGUGAAAAUUGGAUUCUCGAAUUCGAUUAUGGUUACAGUAUCCCUUUCCAUGAUUCGAAUUGUAAGAUUUGGCAAUUAGUCUGAAUUGUUUAGACACACAUAUGAGCUAUCUAAGGGAAAGGUGUAUAAGCUUAGAUAAAGGAUUAUCAAAGCAUUAGUUAUUAGAAACAUGAACUUAAGAAAUUCAAUAGGUAUUGUUCUUCUGAAAGUUAAGUUGUUUCUAAAUACAUGUCAAAGCUAGUGGGAGCAUAAGUGUUAUGUUUAUAAUAAUCAUCAUGAUAGUGGGAGCAUAAAUGUUAUGAUUAUGUGAUUAUUAAGGCAAGUAUUGCAAGUUAGCAAUAUUAAUUAUAGAAAACAAGAGUUAUACUUUGCAAAGUCACAAUGGUUAAAAGGUUGUUUUGCUAUAAUUAAGGGAGAGAAUAUUAUGCUUCAUUUCAAAACUAAAGGCUUAGGUUGUGGAAUGUUAAUUAUUUUAGUCAAGGAUACAUAGUAUUCUUAAAUUUCGAUUAUGAUUACGACAUUUCUCUUCAUAGUUCGAAUUGUGAGAACAUAGCACAUAAAAUAUUAUGGCAGAAGACUGAUAAAGUAUCAAAUCUUUAUGCAUCGUGUCCCAUGCGCUUCGGGUAUAGGAUCGAUUGCAAAUGCUAUAAUAUUUGACCAUUCCAAAAUUUUCCAAAUGUCUAGCGCAUUUAGAGGGAAAAGGACAAGAAUAGGUUUUGACUAAGAUAAUUAAACAACUAUCAAAGGACAAUCCAAAGUUCGCCAAGGAUUGGUCACUUAUGAGUAGUUGGAAGUAUAGUAUUGAAUAGACCAUAUCGACAUUAUUAUGAAUAGAAAAGAUUCUAUUAAGAAUGAGUUGUCAUAUGGAAAAUAUGGAAACGUUUCCAUAUUGGGAGUCGGAUAUUGAGAAUCUAUGUCUAGAUUAGAAAUUUUAUGCAAAAGGAUGUUCAAAGGAAUGUCCUUUGAGUGAGAGACAUCACAUCUAAGGAAUUGUCUUGUAACAAUCUCCAAUAGACAGCUUUGUAAUUCAUUGGCAAUAGUCAUUGUGACUUUGGUGCAGUGACAUUAUGAAAGGAUGAUUGCAUAAAAUAUUAGAAUCUAACAUAUUCCAUAAGUGGCAAGAAUUUGAUAUUCUUUCACUUGUGAAAAGGAUUGGGAGUUAUGAAAUGAUUAUGAUUGGAAAUGUGUUCAUUUGAUCUAUUUCACAAAGUAAGAACCAUAGAUAAACACUGUGUGCAUGCUAAGAGCAUGGGACAAGUGUUGUAAUAAUUUAAGUAAGAAGUUUAUUACCCGAAACAAGAAAUAAUGAGUAAUCGAUAUGGUGAUAAUAAAAGGUGUUUUAUUUAUACUCAAGGUUUGAGGCCAUAUGGGACUAGUAUUAUUCUUGUGUUUCACUUUGCAUGUUUUGACUUCCUAAAUAAUUUAAAUUGGUUUAGAACAGUUAAAUUAUUCGAACGGGCCCUAGUCGUUCAUAUGUUGGAAGUAGGUAUGAAUGAAGACUGUCAUGAAUUGGUGUGUGGAUUGUCUAAAGAGCAUUAGACAUAAGCAAAUGUUUGCUGCAACGUUCAUGAGUGCUUAUAAAUAUGAUUUGAGCAUUGCAUUAAACCCACGCUCACUUGGAUCACUUCAUGGAUUUUAUCACGAGUGAUUGGUGAGACGAUAAUAUCUUAUAUUCUUGAAACCGAGAUGUGUGAGUUGUAUCUUGCGAGUUGGUUGCACAUUGAUAAUACGUAAACGCACCAGUAACUUGGUGUUAUAAAACAUAUUGUUGUGUGUGAUUCGGUGAGUAAGUGCAAUCGAACAUUGAGUCAAAGUUUAUCCGUUCCUUUUAUCAAAAGUAGGAUAAAAACGAUUUCUGUGGGCCCCUCGAUUAUUUAGUGAUGGCACCUAAGCGCUUGGCCAAGCCGGGACUAAAUUGAUGUGUUCAAUUGUAGUCUAUUGUUAGUCGUCAUAAAUCUGAAUUCGGGAAACAACACAUAGACAGAGAGAAUGUUUUAGAUCCAUGUCUCAGUCUAUACGAUAUCUAGAAUGGAGGAAUAUAUGAUCCCUUAUCUAAAGGAUACGCGAAUAUGAUAAGAUCAGAGUUGACAGCGGCUUUAGAAAGCUACGAUUGCAGAUCAGGAUCUGAAGUCAUACGCAUAAUAGUUAUUAGACUUAUCCAAGUGGGAGACUGUUGGAUUAGUGUCUAAGUCCAUAAACUAUUUUGGUAUGUACUUGACCCGAUGGUGUAUGGUCCUUUUGGGUUGUCUUCACCAAAGCAACUUGAUAGGAUGAAUUAUAGAGAGAAAGGAUUAAAUAUGAUUUAUUAAUAUAAUAUGAGAAUAAUAUAUUAAAGGAGAAAUCAUAUUGUUUCAUUAAUAUUAGUCAAGAAUUAAUUGAUAAUUAAUUUUAUGACUAAAAGAGAUUAAUUAAACUUAAGGGACUAGAACUGUCAAUUGUAUGAUAGGUGAAUAUUGAGCUAAUGGACUCCAUAUUAAAGGAGUAGACAAAUUCUAUGGGGAAACCCAUUAGAAAUCGUCCUAGGCCUUUAAGGAAGGAGCCCAUGGGUUGCUUAGGGCUUAAGCAUCCAAAUUAGGUUUUCCUUGUUAGAUAACCCUAAUAGCCUCACUAUUUAAGGACCCCUUGGGCACCAAAAACGUGGGCAACUGACUCCUAGGGGUUUCUACACAUUUUUGGGUGUUUCUUCUCUUCUCCUAUUCAUCCUCUUGCUCUUGGUGUUUGUGAACCAUUAGAGGAGUGACAUUUGUGACUCUAAGCUUUCUAAAGUCAUUAUAAAGGAGGAUUUGAGAUUGUUAUUGCUACAUAACAAUCAAGGUAUGAUGUAAACCCUAAUUCAUAUGUUAUAUUGAUUAUCAUAUACUAGAUAUAGGGUUUAUAGUCUUGGAUGAGUUGCAUGUACAAUAGAGAAACCUAGAUCCAAGCAUUAGGGUUUUUAUGAGCACAUAGGAUGUUUUUAUAGCUAAAACCCAUCAGGGUUAAACCCAUUGGAUGCUCCAUGGAGGCUCCAUGGGAGUUACAAACCCAUGGGUAAUGGAAAUGAAGAGUCAUGUCACAUUAGGGUUUACAUGGCGUAACCCUAGAUGUGACACACUAUAUAAAGAACAUCAUACUCCCUAAAAUCGGCUACACAUAGUGACAAGAGGGCUUGCCUGAUUUUUUGAGUGUUACACGUUCUCUCAAAGUUGUUCCAAAGCAUUUGGUGUUGUAUGAAGCAUUUGAGGAAUCACACUUAGGGUGCUAGGCUCUCAAGGUUUCAAGGAAUCAUAACAACAACAAGGUAUGUGUUUCUAGCUAUCUUUUAUAUUAUAAAGUUCCCCAUGUAUGCUAGAUAGGUUUAUGAACCUUGGAAAAAAGUAAUUUGCAUGUAUCUUAUACAAACAUAGAUCCAAGGUUCUCUAGGGUUGCAUGUACACUUAGGAGUGUUAGAAUUGCUCAAAACCCUUCGAUGGUAUCAGAGACUAGGCUUGCUUGUUUGAUAUUUGAUGCAAAAUAGUGAAAAAAGUCGAUUUUUUGUUGUCUGCCUGCUGAAAUCGCCAAGUCCAUGGGGGGACUUGCCGAGUUCAUGUGUAAAAUCAUCCUACUCGUCGAGUAGGUUCAUGCACUCGACGAGUAGGAGCCUCAGAAUGCAGUUUUUUGACUUUUGCUGCUGGAAAUGGACUAGAAACGUUACCCUAAACUGUUUGGGUGUUAUUAAACAUGUUUUAGAUGGUGUAAUGGUUGUUCUAAUCCAUUUAUAAUGACUAAUAUCAAAAUUCCAUGAUUUUAUGUUUUCUUGAAAAUUUGAUAUUCAUAUUCAUGUUCUUAUGAGUUUAGAUGAUCAUAGGAAUUAUGUGUAACUUCUUGAUAGUUUUAAUUCUUAAUCAUUAUGUGUUUUAAUGGAAUCCAUAAUUUGUCCUCAAGUUAUGAAUUACCAAAAGUUUUAUCUUUGAAUGUCCAUUGAAGAAACACAUAGGUUACAUAAAAUGAAGAUUUACUCAUUUUAAUGAACCAAUUAAUCUCAUAAGUUAUGGAUUGAAGAGUUUUGUUAAGUUACAAAACUUUCCCUCAAAUUUUGGAACUUGUAAAGUCACCUAAUUAACUUUAGUUCCAACCCCUAGAAUUUAAAAUGUUAAAAUUCAACACUUAUACUUUAUAAUAUUAUAAGUUUAAUAUAUAUAUAUAUAUAUAUAUAUAUNNNNNNNNNNNNNNNNNNNNNNNNNNNNNNNNNNNNNNNNNNNNNNNNNNNNNNNNNNNNNNNNNNNNNNNNNNNNNNNNNNNNNNNNNNNNNNNNNNNNNNNNNNNNNNNNNNNNNNNNNNNNNNNNNNNNNNNNNNNNNNNNNNNNNNNNNNNNNNNNNNNNNNNNNNNNNNNNNNNNNNNNNNNNNNNNNNNNNNNNNNNNNNNNNNNNNNNNNNNNNNNNNNNNNNNNNNNNNNNNNNNNNNNNNNNNNNNNNNNNNNNNNNNNNNNNNNNNNNNNNNNNNNNNNNNNNNNNNNNNNNNNNNNNNNNNNNNNNNNNNNNNNNNNNNNNNNNNNNNNNNNNNNNNNNNNNNNNNNNNNNNNNNNNNNNNNNNNNNNNNNNNNNNNNNNNNNNNNNNNNNNNNNNNNNNNNNNNNNNNNNNNNNNNNNNNNNNNNNNNNNNNNNNNNNNNNNNNNNNNNNNNNNNNNNNNNNNNNNNNNNNNNNNNNNNNNNNNNNNNNNNNNNNNNNNNNNNNNNNNNNNNNNNNNNNNNNNNNNNNNNNNNNNNNNNNNNNNNNNNNNNNNNNNNNNNNNNNNNNNNNNNNNNNNNNNNNNNNNNNNNNNNNNNNNNNNNNNNNNNNNNNNNNNNNNNNNNNNNNNNNNNNNNNNNNNNNNNNNNNNNNNNNNNNNNNNNNNNNNNNNNNNNNNNNNNNNNNNNNNNNNNNNNNNNNNNNNNNNNNNNNNNNNNNNNNNNNNNNNNNNNNNNNNNNNNNNNNNNNNNNNNNNNNNNNNNNNNNNNNNNNNNNNNNNNNNNNNNNNNNNNNNNNNNNNNNNNNNNNNNNNNNNNNNNNNNNNNNNNNNNNNNNNNNNNNNNNNNNNNNNNNNNNNNNNNNNNNNNNNNNNNNNNNNNNNNNNNNNNNNNNNNNNNNNNNNNNNNNNNNNNNNNNNNNNNNNNNNNNNNNNNNNNNNNNNNNNNNNNNNNNNNNNNNNNNNNNNNNNNNNNNNNNNNNNNNNNNNNNNNNNNNNNNNNNNNNNNNNNNNNNNNNNNNNNNNNNNNNNNCUCCUGGAAGAAUCGCGGGGCCACCCCGACUCAACUCGCCGAGUCUGAAGAACAACUCGACGAGUCCCAGUUAAUCUUCAAGCUACUCGCCGAGUCUGUUCAUCGGACUCGGCGAGUCCAUGCCAUGCAACCGCUCAAACUGCUUUCUAAGGUCAGAACUGCUCCGACCAUUCAUAGGUCUGGCCUUCCUAGACUGAUUCAUCACGUAAGGUCCUCAUUUCGGUGCUCAUAAUACACCCCAUGACUCAUAAUUUACAUUUUGACCUAAGGCAUAAGGAUUCCAAUCCAAAACCUCCAUUGAUUCCUGAAAUGCUCAGGCAUGGGACAUUCUGGACUUCCAAAGAUCUCAAUACAGGGUUCCAAUCGUUUGGGGGACUAAAGUAACACUCAAUCUAGCCACAAAAGGGUUCAAUAAAUCCUAAAUCCAUAUACACAUCAACAUAGAAGAAUGUAACUCGAAAUAUUACCUGAAUAACGUGCUCUCUGUGUCCCCAAUCCACAGAACGUGGCUCUUCCUGUUGUUCCCUUAACCAAGCCUCUUCUUCCUUGCAAAACCACACUUCCAAAAUCAACAAUGGUCUUCAACCUUGCUCCAGACGCUCACAAUCGAAUUAGGGUUUCUCUCAGAGGACUAGGGUGAACAAUGACGGCCAUAAAGUCCCUCAUAUACGUCCCAAACCUGAACGGUUAGGGUUUUCGCUAAAUAGCGCAGACUCGCCGAGUCCAUAUCCGGACUCGUCGAGUCCAGUCGCGAACCCGCAACCAGAUCCGCGAUCCUACUCGGCGAGUCUAGGCUCCAACUCGCCGAGUCCCCUCUUAAAACACCCAAAAUCAUAAAUAUAACAAUACCUGAAAUUCCAGGCUGUUACAGUAAUCGGGUUAUUGUUGGUUGGUAAAAGUAAAUACAAUUAUUUAUUGCGGGUUGAAAACACUAUAUGCUCACCAGGCUCCCAAGCCUGACCCACUCAGUUUAUUUGUAUUACAGGUAGUGGCGCGAGGGCAUAAGAUGGACGAAUCAUCAAGUUAUUUUGUUUAUUAGACCAGUUGUUAUAUGUAACUAUUGUAUGGUCUAUCUUUUGUUGUUUAUGCUUUUGUGUCUGUAUCGGAACAUGACAUCUCGAGUUUUGAUUUUAUAGUGAAAAUACAUUUCUUUAUGAAAUGCUUUGGUAAAUAUUAUUUUAUCAUACUUUGUUUUUGGGAACAAAUUUCGCAACUCUUUUAAAUCAAAAGGAUUUACUCUUAAAUUAUUUUAAAAAGCAUAAAUGAAACUGGUCUUUUAUGGCCGUGAUUUUGGGGAUGUCACAGUGGGUAUCAGAGCAUUAGUUUAAGCGAACUAGGAAUUUGUAAGAUUUCUAGACUUAAACUUAGAAUGCUAAGUGGAGAUUGUGAGAAGUGUGUCUGUUAUAUUAUGGACACGAGCACUAGUAUAUUUUAGGAAGUUGCCUAAAAUGCUCUUAGGUGCUAAAUGUUAUAUGUUGCCAUAUAUGAUAUUAUUUGUUUGGAUCUAUGGUCUGUUGCCGACCGGAUCAUGAAACCUUAUGUGUGUAGGAUUCUAAGCAUACGUCUACGACAUUAGAACUAGCAUGUAAACGUUUCGGAGUGAUAUGGAAGAUCGUAAUAUCUAUCAUGAAUAAAGAUCUAAAUUUCACCUUAUUCGGUGUAUUGAUCAAGAAUGGCAAGAACAAGAAGCAGUGAUGGAAAUGCAAACAAGAACAGGAAUCAACCGCCUCUAAUUGAACAAGUAAUUGUUGAAACUGCUGCACCAGAGCAAAUCACUCUGGCUGGGGUGCAAGCCAUGAUUCGGGCUAUGUUAGCCGAACAAAAGGAAGAAAUGCGACAGAUGUUGCAUGAAAAUAGGGACGAACCAAUCAUACCCAUUGAGGAACCCAAACUGAUUCCCGAACAAUCGGAGGAAGGAAACAAUAGUCGCGUUGUGAGUCAAGUUGGGAGUCAAGGAGAACGAAGGAACGACCCGGAAAGGGGAAACAAAAAGGAUGGGAGAAUGUAUAAGAAUUUCUUGGGCGCCAAGCCGCCAAGUCUUUCUGGGAACCUAAAGCCCAUUGAGAUUAUGGAUUAGAUCUCCGAAAUGAAGAUGGUAUUUGAAAGUUGCGACUGUAUCAACAAACAGAAGACUGUCUUUGCAGUUAGACAACUGAAGACCGGAGUCUUGAGCUGGUGGAAGUUGUUGGCAGAUAUUAUGUCAUGAGGAGAAGCCCUGAAAAUGUCAUGAGAGGAGUUCUUAGAACAACUAAGGGCGCAGUAGUGUUCAGAGAUAGAUCUGAUUGAUCUGAACAAUGAGUUCCAAAACUUAAAGAAGGGGAGGAUGAGCAUAAAUGACUAUGCUAUCGCAUUCACUGAUAAAAUGAGGUUAUUUCCAUACCUAGUGCGAAUGAAACUCUCCAAGAUUGAGAGGUUCGCUAAUGGACUACCUUCCGACUUUUGCCCGAUAGUCAAGAUGGCAACUACUCUAAAAAUAGUUGUUUGUGCGGCUAAGAAUGUGGAGACCCAGCAGAAGGAAAAGGGUCUGGAAAGAAUAGAGGUUGGUGAGAAAAGGAAGUUGGAUGGACCUUUAGGGUCCAACAAGAAAAUCAAGUUUUCGAAGUCUAGUUCGAGAGGAGGAGGAGGAAGAGAAGCCAAAUGGUACGACAAAUGUAAGAAGAAGCAUCAUGGAAAAUGUGAAGUAGUAGCCACAUGUUUUAAAUGUGGAAAGCCAGGGCACUAUGCCAAUGAAUGCACUCUCACCAAGAAAGUUUGUUAUGGCUAUGGUGAGGAGGGGCACAUCUCGAGAGAUUGUUCGAAGAAGAAGGAGGCAUCAAAACCCAAUAUUCCCCCAAAGCCGAAGGCGAGAGCAUUCCAGAUGACACUGGAAGCUGCAAAAUAUGAAGCUGAUGUCGCUUCAGGUACCUUUCUCGUAAACAAAUUGCAUGCCCAAAUUUUAUUUGAUUCUGGAGCCAACUACUCCUUUAUUUCGCAUGAAUUUGGUAGAAACUAGCUUCUCCUGUCGAUAGACUAGAUAAUGCUUUAUUAGUCGAAGUUGCUAGUAGCAAAUUUCUACCUAUUAGCCAUCGUAUGAAAAACAUCUUAAUUCACUUGAAUGGGAAUAAGUUCCAUGAGGAAUUAUUGCCUAUCGAACUAAACAAUUUCGACAUCGUGCUGGGAAUGGAUUGGCUUAGCGCCAAUGACGCCGAAAUAUUGUGCAAGAAGAAGAUUGUAAAGGUAAAUCCGCCAGGNGCAAGAAGAAGAUAGUAAAAGUAAACCCACCAGUGAAAGAGUCAUUUAUGGUGUAUGGGGACAAACGCAGAGUAAAUUCUAGAAUCAUUUAUCUAAUGAAAGCCAGAAAGUGUUUGGCCAAAGGAUGUACAUCAUAUUUGGCAUUUGUGAUAGAUUCUAAGAAGGAGAAAAAGGUGAUGCAAAGCAUUCCUAUCGUAUGUGAUUAUCGGGAAGUAUUUCCCAAAGAUCUUCCCGGAUUACCGCCUGAUAGAAAUUUGGAGUUCAUAAUAGACUUGUUACCAGGGACGACGCCUAUAGCAAAAGCACCUAAUCGAUUAGCACCAUCAGAGAUGAAGGAGCUAAUGAUGCAACUUCAGGAGUUAUUGGGCAAAGGUUUAAUUAGACCUAGUUUAUCACCCUGGGGAGCUCCGAUGUUAUUCGUGAAGAAGAAAGAUGGAAGUAUGAGAAUGUGCAUCGAUUAUAGAGAGCUGAACAAGGCAACAAUAAAGAAUAGAUAUCCGUUGCUGAGGAUUGAUGACUUGUUCGAUCAACUACAAGGUUCAAGUUAUUUUUCAAAGAUCGACCAAAGGUCAAGAUAUCAUCAGCUGAAGGUGAAAGAGCAGAUAUAGAGAAGACUGCAUUCAGAACACGAUAUGGACACUAAGAGUUUUUGGUUAUAUCAUUUGGACUAACCAAUGCUCCAGCAUCAUUCAUGGAUUUAAUGAUCAUGGUUUGUAAUCCGUUCCUAGAUAAAUCUGUGAUAGUGUUCAUAGAUGACAUUCUGAUUUAUUUGAAAAGCGAAGAGGAGCAUGGCAUACACUUGCGAGAAGUGUUAGAAGUCUUGAAGAAGGAGAAGUUGUAUACAAAUUUCUCCAAAUGUGAUUUCUGGAUUCGAGAAGUCCAAUUCUUGGGUCACGUGAUCAACUAAAAAGGGAUAAUGGUUGAUCCAGCAAAGAUUGAAGCUGUAAUGAAGUGGGAACAACCGAAAAGUCCCACGGAGAUCCGAAGCUUUUUAGGAUUAGCCAGAUAUUACCGAAGGUUUAUCCAAGGCUUUUCUACGAUCGCUACUCCAUUAACAGCGUUCACCCACAAAGGAGUUACUUAUGCUUGGAAUGAUAAGCAUAAAGAAGAAUUCGAGAGGCUAAAGAAGAAGCUAUAUGAGGCAGCGAUUCUUUCUCUACCCGAUGGAGUUGAAGACUUCGCUGUUUAUAGCAAUGCGUCUGGUGUUGGCUUGGGUUGUGUUUUAACCCAAAGGGAAAAGGUGAUCGCAUAUGCAUCUCGACAGUUGAAGGAGCAUGAAAAGAACUACCCGACUCAUGAUUUGGAGUUGGAAACGGUAGUUUUCGCUCUGAGAAUAUGGAGGCAUUACCUCUAUGGCACGAAGUGCAACUUUUCACUGAUCAUAAGAGUCUCCAAUAUCUCUUUAGUCAGAAAUAAUUAAAUAUGAGGCAAUGAAGUUGGCUUGAAUUACUUAAGGAUGUACGACUGCGAGAUACUUUACCACCCUGGUAAGGCUAAUGUUGUUGCUGAUGUUCUCAGUCGGGAAGUCAAUCUUGAAAGAAAAAGGCCAAGAGCGUUGAGAAUAGAAGUUGUCUCAACAAUUGUGGAGAGUAUAAAGAAAGCUAAAGAGGAAGCUUUUGUGAAGAAUGAUCGAAAAGAAGAACUUUAGGGAAAAAUGUUGGUGUUCGGUAUAAACAGUCAUGGACUGAAGGUGUUCCAAGAUCGGAUUUGGAUACCUAAGACAAGAGGAGUCAGAGAUCUUAUGAUGGAAGAAGCUCAUAAGUCCAUGUACUCAAUUCAUCCCGGUAGUACUAAAAUGUAUAGGGACCUAAAACCCUACUACUGGCGGCCGACGAUGAAGCUUGAUGUUGAAAAGUAUGUAGCCGUGUGUGUGACUUGUGUGAGAGUCAAGACACAACAUCAGAAACCGUAUGGGAGUUUAGAACCUUUGCCUGUGCCUAUGGGUAAGUGGGAAGACAUUGCUAUGGAUUUUAUCACUAAACUGCCCAGAACGAAAAGUGGUCACAACAUGAUUUGGGUGAUCGUUGAUCGAUUCACUAAGAGUGCGCAUUUCAUAGCAUCCAAUGAGAAAUGGUCUAUGGAAAAGCGUGCGAAUUCUUUUGUGAAGGAAGUUGUGAGGCUUCACGGUGUUCCGUUAACGAUUGUGUCAUAUCGUGAUAGCCAUUUCACCUCGCGAUUUUGGAGAAGUCUACAAGAGGAAUUGGGUAGCAAGUUGUGUUUGAGUACAUCUUACCAUCCACAGACUGAUGGUCAGAGCGAACGGACGAUACAAACACUUGAAGAUAUGCUGAGAGCAUCUACCCUAGAAUUCCAAGGUACUUGGGAUGAACAUUUACCUUUGAUGAAAUUUUCCUACAAUAAUAGUUUCCACUAGAGCCUAAAGAUGGCACCUUGUCAAGCUUUGUAUGGACAGAAGUUUCGUACGCCGUCUUAUUGGCUUGAGGCUGGAGAAAAGAAGUUUAUGGGACCCGAGAUGGUUCAUCAAAUUGCUGAAAACCUGAAAAUAAUUUAGGAAAGAAUGUUAGUAGCUCAGGAUCGUCAAAAGUGCUAUGCUGACAAAUAGCGAAGACCGAUGACUUUUGAAGUUGGAAAUUCGGUUUUGCUUAAAGUCUCGCCAUGGAAGGGACUUAUAAGAUUUUGUAAAUGGGCAAAGUUUAGUCCAAGGUUUAUUGGACCUUUUAAAGUUCUUGAGAGGAUUGAGAACCAAGCUUACAAGAAUGAAUUGCCAGAAGAACUGCAUGGUAUUCAUAACACUUUCCAUGUGUGUUAUUUGAGGAAGUUUACUAGAGAACUUCCCGACAUGAUUCCACUUUCGGAGUUGAGAAUCAAUGAGAACAAAAGGUUGAUUGAAGAACCAGAGGCAAUCGUUCACUGAAAGACUAAGAAGUUGGGACGCAAGAUGGUCGAGUUUGUGCUUGUCCGAUGGAAACACACGAAUAGGCCAAAUCUCACCUGGGAGACGGAGAGUGACAUGAUCAGUCACUACCCGCAUUUGUUUGUUGAUGUGUGAUUCCGAGGACGGAAUCAUUCUAAGGUGGAGAGAAAUGUAACACCUGUGUUUCUGGGCUUGUCAUUAAUAUUGAUGUAAUAGUCCAGGUUAACCAUUGUAACCCGUUUCGAAAUAAUAGAAGUGUAUUAUUUGAGUAUUAUGUGUUUUGUGCUUAAUUGUGUGUCUCAAUUGAGUUAAGUAUGAAAAUAAGCGUCAAAAUUAAAUGUUAGAUAAAGCCGAUAUUUAUGUAUAAUGCUCUAGUAGUUGAAACGAGGUUUCCGAAUAUACAUAGAAUGCCGAAAUCCGAGUUAUAAGGAAGAAGUUAUGAUAUGUCGAAGUUUCGCGACAGAAACCGGCACGACGCUGAAUGACGUAAAAAGUGAAUUUACGUUAGAGUGAUACUUAGCCCUAGUGAUCUAAACGAAUGUUGUAGAUUUCGUUAAAUUGAGAGCGUGCAUAAAAAAAUCGCCCAAAUCUGACUUCGUAUGAGGAAGUUAUGAUUUUCCGAAGUUUCAACUUAUCAGUGUGCAGCCCGAAUACUCGAUUUGAGAUCAAGCGGUUUUUAGCCGAAACAAUCUAAACGAGAAUUGAAGAUCUCGUUAAUGGUAGUGCAAUGGUAAAAAGACAGAUGAAAACGGACGUCGGAUGAAGAAGUUAUGAAUUUAUAACGGGGUUUUUCUGUCCCGGCCUACUAAAAAUAAAUAAUAAAAAAAUAAUAUCAAAAUCAGCCGACGGAGUCUAAACGAAAGUUGUAGAGCGUAGUCUCACCUACGCGUGGAUAUAAAGAAAGUCGAAACGGAGUUCAUAUGAAGAAGAUAUGAAUUUCCGAAGUUUUUAAAUGAUUAACAUUUAUUAAUUAAUCUUUAAUUCGGAUGUAUAUCCGAAGGAGACACCGAUCUAGUCCGCACUACGCCCAGCGUAGUUGAGUACGACCAGCGUACACCGAAGUGUGACCCGCCUUACACUCAAGAGCUCCGAUAACGCAUGCAGUGACGAAUCCGAAGUGUACACCCCGCGUACUGAGCAUUACGCCCAGCGUAAUGUGAGGCUUCAGCCUCUAUAAAAGGGCUUGCGAGGGCAGCCAAUGCUUUUGCUCAAUUUAUUUUCUCUCUCUCCCGUUUUGCAUCGUUUUGCAUACAAAUUAUACCCCGAAACCCCGAUAUCAUUCCCGAGCCCCGAAGCAUGUCCUGAAGCCCCGAAGAUCCCGAGGAGUAGUGUUCCCGAGCCGAAGCUCUGCCUGCAAGAAGCCAAUUUUUUUGAAGAUCUUCCAGAUCUACCGAAGAAUACUACUUCUACAAGUCGUAGUGUUGUCCGAUCAUCUUCUGAUCAAGUGAGUAUGUAGUUACUUUCAUCUAAUGCAUAAUUACGAAGUAUUUUAUACGAAAUACGUGUUAUGUGUAUAUUUGUUGUUAUAUGUGUGAAUGUAUAUUCACUUUCUUCUAUCUCGUACAUAUGACUAAUUCUCUAUGAAAUAUGUGUUAUGUGUAUCUGUCUCAUCUGUUGUUUGGAAUAUGUAUUGAAUGAGAAUGUUAUACAGGUUUUAAACUAAGUAUAAAAAUAUAUAUUUUUAUCUACUAAUAUGUUGGGUAGACCAUGGGUAGAUGGUUGAUGUGUGAUAAACAGAUGAGAGGCCUCGAUGUUGCUGUUGAUCUAGUUAUUCAGCGGACUAUGGAUAAUGACCACAGACUCUUUCGAGACAGUCAUGUGGAACGCUGUGACAUCCUCAAAAUCACGGCCAAAAAAGACCGUUUUAAUUUAUGCUUUUAAAAUAAUUUGAGAGUAAAUCCUUUGAUUUAAAAGAGUUGCGGAAUUUGUUCCCAAAACAAAAUAUGAUAAAAUAAAGUUUUUCAAAGCAUUUCAUCAAGAGAUGCAUCUUCAUUAUAUAACAAUAUUCGGGAUGUCAUGUUCCCAUAAACAGACCAAAAAUAUAAACAACAAAAGAUAGAUCAUACAACAGUUACAUAUAACAAUUGGUCUAGUAUCAAAAGAUCUUGAUAAGUCAUCCAACUUAUGCUCUCGCGCCACUACCUAUAAUACAAAUAAACUGAGUGGGUCAGGCUUGGGAGCCUGGUGAGCAUAUAGGGUUUUCAACCCGAAAUAAAUAAUUAUAUUUAAUUUCACCAACCAACAAUAACCCAAUUACCCAUUCCCGUUAUCCUCACUUUACGUCCCUAAAACAACAUCUAUCUCAAGGGAUCUAAUAUAGGAUUUUCAUCGGGACAGACACUGCACAGGGGUUACCUCAAUAGUAGAUGUCCUAAAGGCAACCAUGAGGGGGAUAGAGUACACCGGUGAACACAUCGUUCACAACACCUAGCUAGCGUUCCACAGGACUGUCUAGAAAGAGUCUGUGGUUGUUAUCCAUACUCCGCUGAAUAACUAGAUCAACAACAACAACAUCGAGGCCUCUCAUUUGUUUAUCACACAUCAACUAUCUACCCAUGUUCUACCCAACAUAUUAGUAGAUAAAAAUAUAUAUUUUUAUACAUAGUUUAAAACAUGUAUAGCAUUCUCAUUCAAUACAUAUUCCAAUCAACAGAUGAGACACAUACACAUAGCACGUAUUUCCUAGAGAAUAAAUUAUAUCUCUGAGAUAGAAGAAAGUGAAUAUACAUUCACACAUAUAACAAAAAAUAUACACAUAACACGUAUUUUGUAUAAAAUACUUCAUAAUUAUGCAUUAGAAGAAAGUAACUACACACUCACUUGAUCAGAAGAUGAUCGGACAACACUACAGCUCUAAGAGUAGUAUUCUUCGGUGAAACUGGGUUCACUUCACUCACCAGGCUUCUUGCGGGCAGAGCUUCAGCUCGGAAACUCUUUUCUUCGAGGGAUCUUCGAGCUUCAGGACUUGCUUCGGUUGUCGGGAUGAUACCGGGGCUUCGGGGGUACUUUUUCACGUAAAUCGAGGUAAUAUGAGUGAGAGAGAAGAGAUUUGGCAACCACAAACGGUUGCCCCUUCAAAUCUAUUUAUAGGGCUAUUUUCUCAUUUUCCACGUCGUGGGCACUUCUUCCACGUCGUGAGCUUGGUCGUCAUUGCAUGCGUCAUCGUCCACUUGCUCUGCCAGGCUCCAGAAGGCGUCAGAAGCCAUGCCACGUCGUGGUCUCUGACGGUUUUGGUGUUUCGCACCCCGAACUUCAGAAAUCCAUAACUUUCGCAUACUUACUCCGUUUUCGACGUUCUUUAUAUCGACGUGUAGGUAAAAACAAGAUCUACAACUUUCAUUUAGACUUUGUAUGCUAAUUUUGACUUUAUUUUUAAUAUAUUAAUAAUAUACUAUUGUUAGUAGGCCGGGACAGGAAAACCCCGUUAGAAAUUCAUAACUCCUUCAUCUGACGUCCAUUUUCGACUGUCUUUUCACCGUUGGAGUACAAUCGAUGAGAUCUUUGAUUCUCGUUUAGAUUGUUUCGUCUAAAUAUCGCUCGAUCUCGUAUUCGAACUUCGGGCUAUACACUGCUAAACAAAAACUUCGAAAAAUCAUAACUUCCUCAUACGAAGUCAGAUUUGGGCCUUCUUUUUAUGCACGCUCUCAGUUUAACGAACUCUACAACAUUACUUUAGAUCGCUAAGUCCAAAUAUUUUUCUAAUGUAAACUCACUAUUUACGUCUCGCUGUGUCGUACCGGUUCUGUCGCGAAACUUCGACAAGUCAUAACUUCUUCGUUAUAACUCGGAUUUCGGCAUUCUUUAUAUAUUCAGAAACCUCGUUUCAACUACUACAACAUUAUCCAUAGAUAUUGGGUUGAUCUAACAUUUCAUUUUGACGUUUAUUUUUAUUCUUAAUUAAAUUAAGACAUACAAUUAAGCACAAAAACACAUAAUACUCAAAUAAUACACUUCUAUUAUUUCAAAACGGGUUACAAAGGUUAACCUAGACUAUUAUAUCAACAUUAAUGACAACCCCAGAAACACCGUCAUUACAAUUCUCUCCACCUUAGAAUGAUUCCGUCCCCGGAAUCACACAUCAACAAACAAAUGUGGGUAGCGACUCAUCAUGUCACUCUCCGUCUCCCAAGUGAGAUUUGGCCCAUUCGUGUGUUUCCAUCGGACAAGCACAAACUCAACCACAUUGCGUCGCAACUUCUUAGUCUUUCGGUCAAAGAUUGCCUCUGGUUCUUCAAUCAAUCUUUUGUUCUCAUCGAUUCUCAACUCCAAAAGUGGAAUCAUGUCGGGAACUUCUCUCGUGAACUUCAUCAAAUAACACACAUGGAAAUUUUUAUGAAUUCCAUUCAGUUCUUCUGGUAGUUCGAGCUUGUAAGCUUGGUUCCCAAUCCUCUAAAGAACUUUAAACGGUCCAAUAAACCUUGGACUCAACCUUCCCCUUUUACCAAAUCUUAUAAGUCCCUUCGACGGCGAGACUUUAAGCAAAACCGAAUCUCCAACUUCAAAAGUCAUCGGUCUUCGCUUGUUGUCAGCAUAGCUCUUUUGACGAUCUUGAGCUGCUAACAUUCUCUCCCUAAUUAUUUUCAACUUUUCAGCAGUUUGAUGGACUAUCUCUAGUCCCAUAAACUGCUUUUCUCCAGCCUCAAGCCAACAAGACGGCGUACGACACUUCUUUCCAUACAAAGCUUGAUAAGGUGUCAUCUUUAUGCUCGAGUGGAAACUAUUAUUGUAGGAAAAUUCUACAAAAGGUAAAUGUUCAUUCCAAUUACCUUAGAAUUCCAGGGUACAUGCUCUCAUCAUAUCUUCAAGUGUUUGUAUUGUUCGUUCGCUCUGAGCAUCAGUCUGUGGAUGGUAAGUUGUACUCAAACACAACUUGGUACCCAAUUCCUCUUGUAGACUUCUCCAAAAUCGCGAGGUAAAGCGGCUGUCACGAUCUGACAAAAUCGUUAACGGAACACCGUGAAGCCUCACAACUUCCUUCACAUAAGAAUUCGCACGCUUUUCCAUAGACCAUUUCUCAUUGGAUGCUAUGAAAUACGCACUCUUAGUGAAUCGAUCAACGACCACCCAAAUCAUGUCGUGACCACUUUUCAUUUUGGGCAGUUUAGUGAUAAAAUCCAUAGCAAUGUCUUCCCAAAUACCCAUAGGCACAGGCAAAGGUUCUAAACUCCCGUAUGGUUUCUAAUGUUGUGUCUUGACUCUCGCACAAGUCACACACUUGGAAACAUACUUUGCAACAUUAAGCUUCAUCGUCGGCCAACAGUUGUAGGGUUUCAGGUCCCUAUACAUCUUAGUGUCGCCGGGAUGAAUUAAGUACAUGGUUUUGUAAGCUUCUUCCAUCAGAAUUUCUCUGACUCCUCUUGUCUUAGGUAUCUAAAUCCGAUCUUGGAACACCUUCAGUGCAUGACUGUUUACACCGAACACUAACGUUUUGCCCAAACAUUCUCCCUUUCGGUCAUUCUUCUCAGAAGCUUCCUCUUGAACUUUCUUUAUACUUUCCAUUAUUGUCGAGACAACUUCAAUUCUCAACGCUCUUGGCCUCUUCCUUUCAAGAUUGACUUUCCGACUGAGAGCAUUAGCAACAACAUUUGCUUUGCUGGGGUGGUAAAGUAUCUCACAGUCAUAGUCCUUAAGUAACUCUAGCCAGCGUCGUUGCCUCAUAUUCAAUUCCUUCUGAUUAAAGAGAUAUUGGAGACUCUUAUGAUCAGUGAAAAGUUGGCACUUCGUGCCAUAGAGGUAAUGUCUCCAUAUCUUUAGAGAGAAAACUACCGCCGCCAACUCCAAGUCAUGAGUCGGGUAGUUCUUUUCAUGCUCUUUCAACUGUCGAAAUGCAUAUGCGAACACCUUUUCCCUUUGGUUCAAAAUACAACCCAACCCAACACCUGACGCGUCGCUAUAAAAACAAAGUCUUCAACUCCAUCGAGUAGAGAAUGUAUCGGUGCCUCGCAUAGUUUCUUCUUUAGCUUCUCGAAUGCUUCUUUAUGCUUAUCACUCCAAGCAUAAGUAGCUCCUUUGUGGGUCAAAGCUGUUAAUGGAGUAGCGAUCAAAGAAAAGCCUUGGAUAAACCUUCGGUAAUAUCCGACUAAUCCCAAAAAGCUUCAGAUCUCCGUGGGACUUUUCAGUUGUUCCCAGUUCAUUACAGCUUCAAUCUUUGCUGGAUCAACCAUUAUUCCUUCUUGGUUGAUCACAUGACCCAAGAAUUGGACUUCUCGAAUCCAAAAAUCACAUUUGAAGAACUUAGCAUAUAGCUUCUCCUUAUUCUAGACUUCUAACACUUCUCGCAAGUAUCUACCAUGCGCCUCUUGGCUUUUCGAAUAAAUCAGAAUGUCAUCUACAAACACUAUCACUGAUUUAUCAAGGAACGGAUUAGAAACCCUGAUCGUUAAAUCUACGAAUGUUGUUGGAGAAUUGGUUAGUCCAAACGACAUAACCAAAAACUCAUAGUGUCCGUAUCGUGUUCUGAAUGCAGUCUUCUCUAUAUCCUGCUCUCUUACUUUCAGGUGAUGAUAUCCUGACCUAAGAUCGAUCUUUGAGAAAUAGCUCGAACCUUGUAGUUGAUCAAACAGGUCAUCAAUCCUCGGCAACAUAUAUCUAUUCUUUAUUGUUGCCUUUUUCAGAUCUCUGUAAACGAUGCACAUUCUCAUACUUCCAUCUUUCUUCUUUACGAAUAACACCGGAGCUCCCCAGGGUGAUGAACUAGGUCUAAUGAAACCUUUGUCCAAUAACUCCUGAAGUUGCAUCAUCAGCUCCUUCAUCUCCGUCGGUGCUAAUCGGUAAGGUGCUUUUGCNNNNNNNNNNNNNNNNNNNNNNNNNNNNNNNNNNNNNNNNNNNNNNNNNNNNNNNNNNNNNNNNNNNNNNNNNNNNNNNNNNNNNNNNNNNNNNNNNNNNNNNNNNNNNNNNNNNNNNNNNNNNNNNNNNNNNNNNNNNNNNNNNNNNNNNNNNNNNNNNNNNNNNNNNNNNNNNNNNNNNNNNNNNNNNNNNNNNNNNNNNNNNNNNNNNNNNNNNNNNNNNNNNNNNNNNNNNNNNNNNNNNNNNNNNNNNNNUCUUUCCCAGGUGGGUUUACUUUGACUAUCUUCUUCUUGCACAAUAUCUCAGCAUCAUUGGCGCUAAGCCAAUCCAUUCCAAGCACGAUGUCAAAACCUUUAAGUUCAAUAGGCAAUAAUUUCUCGUGAAACUUAUUCUCAUUCAAAUCAAUUAAGAUGUUUUUCAUACGAUGACUAACAGGUACAAACUUGCCACUAGCAACUUCGACUAAUAAAGCAUUAUCUAGUCUAUCGACAGGCAAAGCUAGUUUUCUACCAAAUUCAUGUGAAAUAAAGGAGUAGUUGGCUCAAGACUCAAAUAAAAUUUGGGCAGGCAAUUCGUUAACGAGAAAGGUACCUGAAGCGACAUCAGCUUCAUCUUUAGCAGCUUCCAGUGUCAUCUGGAAGGCUCUCGCCUUCGGCUUUGGCGGAAUGUUGGGUCUUGCUGCCUCCUUUUUGGGGCAGUCCCUAGACACGUGUCCCUCCUCACCACAACCAUAACAAACUUUCUUGGUGAGAGUGCAUUCGUUGGCAUAGUGCCCUGGCUUUCCACAUUUAAAACAUGUGGCCACUACCUCACAUUUUCCAUGAUGCUUCUUCUUACAUUUGUCGCACCAUUUUGCUUCGCCUCCUCCUCCUCUCGAACUAGACUUCGAGAACUUUUUUUUCUUGUUGGACCUGAAGGUCCUUCGAACUUCCUCUUUUCACCAACCUCUAUCCUUUCCAGACCCUUUUCCUUCUGUUGGGCCUCCACAUUCUUAGCUGCUCGAACAACUUUUUUCAGAGUGGUUGCCAUCUUGACUGUCGGACCUAAUUCGGUAGGUAGUCCAUUAGCAAACCUCUCAAUCUUGGAGAGUUCCGUUGGCACCAGGUACGAAAAUAACUUUAUUUUCUCAGUGAAUGCAGUAGGAUAGUCGUCUACGCUCAUUCUCCCCUUCUUCAAGUUUUGGAAAUCAUUGUUCAAAUCAAUCAGAUCUAUCUUUGAACAGUACUGCACCCUUAGUUGUUCCAAGAAAUCCUCCCAUGACAUUUUCAGGGCUUCUCCUCAUUGCAUAGUAUCUGCCAACAGCUUCCAAAAACUCAAGACACCAGUCUUCAGUUGUCUAAAUGCAAAGACAGUCUUCUUUUUGUUGCUACAGUCGCAACUUUCAAAUACCAUCUCCAUUUCGGAGAUCCAAUCCAUAAUCUCAACAGGCUUCAGGCUUCCAGAAAGACUUGGCGGCUUGGCGCCCAAGAAAUUCUUGUACAUUCGCCCAUCCUUGUUGUUUCUCCUUUCCGGGUCGUUCCUUCGUUCUCCUUGAGUCCCAACUUGACUCAUAAUGCGACUAUUGUUUCCGUCCUCCGAUUGUUUGGGAAUCAGUUCAGGUUCCUCAAUAGGUAUGAUUGGUUCAUCCCUAUUUUCAUGUAACAUUUGUUGCAUUUCUUCCCUUUAUUCGGCUAACAUAGCCUGAACCAUGGCUUGCACCCCAGCCAUUGUUAUUGGUUCUGGUGCUGCUGCUACAACAGGUAUUUGCUCAAUCACUGGUGGUUGAUUCCUGUUUUCAUCUGCAUUUCCAACGCCACUCCUGGUUCUUACCAUUUUUUAUCUACACACCGAAUAAGGUGAAAUUCGAUCCUCAUCCAUGAUAGAUAAUUAAAUCAUCCUUAUCACUCCGAAACAUUUACAUGUUAGUUCUAAUACCGACGUCAUACGCUUAGAAUCUUACACACAUAAGGUUUCAAGAUCCGGUCGGCAGUAUACCAUAGAUCCGAACAAAUAAUAUCAUAUAUGGCAACAUAUAACAUUUAGCACAUAAAAGCAUUUUAGGCAGCUUCCUAAAAUAUACUAGUGCUCGUGUCUAUAAUAUAAUAGACACACAUCUCACAAUCUCCACUUAGCAUUCUAAUUUUAAGUCUAGAAAUCCUACAAAUUCCUAGUUCGCUUAAACUAAUGCUCUGAUACCAACUGUGACAUCCCCAAAAUCACGGCCAGAAAAGACCGUCUUAAUUUAUGCUUUUACACUAAUUUCAGAGUAAAUCCUUUGAUUUAAAAGAGUUGCGGAAUUUGUUUCCAAAACAAAAUAUGAUAAAAUAAAGUUUAUCAAAGCAUUUCAUUAAGAGAUACAUUUUCAUUAUAUAACAAUGUUCGGGAUGUCAUGUUCAGAUAAACAGACCAAAAGCAUAAACAACAAAAGAUAGACCAUACAACAGUUACAUAUAACAAAUGGUCUAAUAUCAAAAGAUCUUGAUAUGUCAUCCAACUUAUGCUAUCACGCCAAUACCUGUAAUACAAAUAAACUGAGUGGGUCUGGCUUGGGAACCUGGUGAGCAUAUAGGGUUUUCAACCUGCAAUAAAUAAUUACAUUUAAUUUCACCAACCAACAAUAACCCGAUUACCCAUUCCCGUUAUCCUCACUUUACGUCCCUAAAACAAUAUCUAUCUCAAGGGACCUAAUCAAGGAUUUUCAGCGGGACGGACAUUACUGCAAAGGGGUUUCCUCAACAGUAGAUGUCCUAAAGGCAACCAUGAGGGGGAUAGAGUACACCGGUGAAUACAUCGUUCACAACACCUACAGGUUAUGAGCCUGCUAGCGUUCCACAGGACUGACUAGAAAGAGUCUGUGGUCGUUAUCCAUACUCCGCUGAAUAACUAGAUCAACAACAACAACAUCGAGGCCUCUCAUCUGUUUAUCACACAUCAACUAUCUACCCAUGUUCUACCCAACAUAUUAGCAUAUAAAAAUAUAUAUUUUUAUACAUAGUUUAAAAACUAUAUAGCAUUCUCAUUCAAUACAUAUUCCAAUCAAUAGAUGAGACAUAUACACAUCGCACGUAUUUCAUAGAGAAUAAAUCAUAUCUAAGAGAUAGAAGAAAGUGAAUAUACAUUCACACAUAUAACAACAAAAUAUACACAUAACACGUAUUCUGUAUAAAAUACUUCAGAAUUAUGCGUUAGAAGAAAGUAACUACACACUCACUUGAUCAGAAGAUGCUCGGACAGCACUACAGCUCUAAGAGUAGUAUUCUUCGGUGAAACUGGGUUCACUUCACUCAUCGGACUUCUUAUGGGCAGAGCUUCGGCUCGGAAACUCUUUUCUUCGCGGGAUCUUCGAGCUUCUGGACUUGCUGCGGGUGUCGGGAUGAUACCGGGGCUUCGGGGGUACUUCUUUGCAUGUAAAUUGAGGUAAGAUGAGUGAGAGAGAAGAGAUUUGGCAACCACAAACGGCUGCCCCUUCAAAUCUAUUUAUAGGGCUGUUUUCUCAUUUUCCAUGUCGUGGGCACUUCUNUUCACAUCGUUACAUCAUCGCAAGUUGGGUCUGGUAGACUCCAGGAGUCGUCAAAAGACAUGCCACGUCGUGACCACUGAUUUCACAUCGUGGUCUCUGACAGUCUUGGAGUUUCGCGCCCCGAACUUCAGAAAUUCAUAACUUUAACAUACGAACUCCGUUUUCGACGUUCUUUAUAUCGACGCGUAGGUAAAAACAAGGUCCACAACUGUUAUUUAGACUUUGUAGGCUUAUUUUGACUUUAUUUUUAAUAUAUUAAUAAUAUACUAUUUUUAGUAGGCCGGGACAGGAAAACUCCGUUAGAAAUUCAUAACUCCUUCAUCUGACGUCUGUUUUCGACUGUCUUUUCACCGUUGGACUACUAUCGAUGAGAUCUUCGAUUCUCGUUUAGGUUGUUUCGGCUAAAUAUCGCUCAAUUUCAUAUUCGAACUUCGGGCUGUACACUGCUAAACCGAAACUUCGAAAAAUCAUAACUUCCUCAUACGAAGUCAGAUUUGCACAUUCUUUUUAUGCAUGCUCUCGGUUUAACGAACUCUACAACAUUCCUUUAGAUCACUAAGUCCAAAUAUUGCUCUAAUGUAAACUCACUAUUUACGUCUCGCUGUUUCGUACCGGUUCUGUCGCGAAACUUUGACAUGUUAUAACUUCUUCUUUAUAACUUGUAUUUCGGCAUUCUUUAUAUAUUCGGAAACCUCGUUUAAACUUCUACAACAUUAUCCAUAGAUAUCGACUUUAUCUAACAUUUCAUUUUGACGCUUAUUUUUAUUCUUAAUUAAAUUAAGACACACAAUUAAGCACAAAACACAUAAUACUCAAAUAAUACACUUCUGUUAUUUCAAAACGGGUUACAAAGAUUAACCUAGACUAUUAUAUCAACAUUAAUGACAAGCCCAUAAACACAGUCAUUACAAACGCUAGCAGGCUCAUAACCUGUAGGUGUUGUGAACGAUGUGUUUACCGGUGUACUCUAUCCCCCUCAUGGUUGCUUUUAGGACAUCUACUGUUGAGGAAACCCUUAGCAGUAAUGUCCGUACCGAUGAAAAUCCUAGAUUAGGUCCCUUGAGAUAGAUGUUGUUUUAGGGACGUAAAGUGAGGAUAACGGGAAUGGGUAAUCGGGUUAUUGUUGGUUGGUAAAAGUAAAUAUAAUAAUUUAUUGCGAGUUGAAAACCCUAUAUGCUCACCAGGCUCCCAAGCCUGACCCACUCAGUUUAUUUGUAUUACUAGUAGUGUCGCGAGGGCAUAAGAUGGAUGAAUCAUCAAGUUAUUUUAUUUAUUAGACCAGUUAUUAUAUGUAACUGUUGUAUGGUCUAUCUUUUGUAGUUUAUGCUUUUGUGUCUGUAUCGGAACAUGACAUCCCGAGUUUUGAUUUUAUAAUGAAAAUACAUUUUGUUAUGAAAUGCUUUGGUAAAUAUUAUUUUAUCAUGCUUUUUUUGGAACAAAUUCUGCAACAAUUUAAAAUCAAAAGGAUUUACUCUGAAAUUAUUUAAAAAAACAUAAAUGAAACUGGUCUUUUCUGACUGUGAUUUUGGGGAUGUCACACUGCGCCUAAUCGAGAACAUCAUAAUCCUGGCAGCUACGCCCAAAGGACAAUAUUAGCACUUGCGCCUAAUAGAGAAUAUUAUAAUUCUGGUAGUUGCGUCUAAAUGAUAAUGUUGGUAGUUGUGCUUAAUAGAUAACGUUGACAACUGUGUCAUUAGGAAAACGGUGGACUGCGUGCCUAUUCCUUAGGAAAAUCCUUAGGAAUGAAUGAGUUAAUGAUAAAUGAUUCUUAGGAUACAUCCUUAAGAAAUAACGAAGAUAAUGGGGAUGGAUAAUUGGGUUAAUUUUUUAAUGAUUAAACAUAAUUAUAUUAUUGUGGGUUGAAAACCCUAUGUACUCACUAGGUUUCCCAAUAUGACCCACUCAAGUUUAUUUGGAUCACAGGUGUCUAUACGAAGCUACUUUACACUGAGAGAUUAAGGAGACGUAAAUCACUAGUGUAAAUGAAUGGAAGGUCUGUUUAUGCUUAUAUUUAUGUAUUAACGAUGACGUCCUAAAGUUUUAAAAAGAAAUGAAAUACAUUUCUUCGAAAAUGCUUUGAUAACACAUUUAUCAUGUUUUUCUGGGAACAAAUUCCGCAACAUUUUUAUAAAAAGGGUACUCUCAUUUUUAAAUAAAGCAUAAACAAAUCGGUCUUUUCUGGCUGUGAAAAUGGGGAUGUCACAAUUGGUAUCAGAGCAUUAGUUUAAGAGAACUAAGAAUAAGGGUUUAUUUCUAGACUUAAACUUAGAAUGCUAAGCGAUGAUUAUGAGUUGAGUGUGUGAUGUUGCGCAUAAAAAAACACAAAGAUAACCAAGAAUGAACCUGUUGAUUCUAAAAGAAUAGCCAGGACAAUCUCUUCAAAACCACGUUGAUUCUACGAAUACUGUGGGAUUGGCUUCAAAAACUGGGUUAACACGCACAAAAUUUGGGAGAAAACUGAAAGUUCAUAAAAUUGAUGAUCGACCAUCCAAAUUACAUAAAAAACAGUUAAAUAAAAAGCAUAAAUUAAAAUGAAACCCUAAAAGUCCAUGGGCGAAAUACAAACCCAAAAAUUAAGGAAAAAUAACAAAAUUGUUCAUAACUCCAUUUAGAAAGCGAUUUCUGGACUCAAAAUGGGUAAGUCCCUUUCGGGGACUUAUCUAGAUGUGCUCCUUGCUCCAAGCUUCGACUUGACUGGUCGUAGGCCCAAAACGGAGACUCGUAGCCAAAGUUAUGGCCAUUUCCGUGAAGCCCCUUUAAUCACACGAUCGUGGGCCUCUAGGAAUGCAAUGGCCCGAUCCUCCACACUAGGGCCCGCAUCUGUGUGUCUAAUAUAUUUUAGGUAGUACACCUGAAUAGACACAGCCACUAUCUUAUUUUGGGAGGAUGCCUAAAAUGCUUUUAUGUGCUAAAUGAUUUGUGAUACUUUAUGAUGCUAUUGUUCGAUCAGAUAUAUGGUAUGUUGCCCACCGGAUCCAGAAACUUUAUGUGUUUAGAUUUCAAAAUGUUUAAUUACAGUAUUAGAACUGGCAUGUAACUUUUCGGAGUGAUAAGAAGAUUUACAUGUGGAUCGUAAAUAAAACCUUUCCUAUCUUAAUUAUCAUCAUUACACAUCAAACGUCUGAUUUGGUGUAUAGAUCAACAUGUUGAGAACUCGAAGCGGAUUAGGAGACGCUAAUGGAAAUGUUGAUCAACGGCCUAUGAUUUAACGUGCACUAAAGGUAGCAGCUACACCAUAGCCAAUCACAAUGGCAAGAGUCCAAGCAAUGAUUCAGGCUAUGAUAGCCAAACAAAGGGAGGAGAUGAGGCAAAUGUUGCUUAAUAGGGAUGAACCUACCAUGCUCAUUGAAUAACUAGAACUAAAUGAUGAACAGUUAGAGAAGGGAAUUACAGUAGAACCGUUGGUCAAGCUGAACUGCCAGUGGUUAGGAGGAAUAACCAAGAGGAAGGGAUCAAGAGAAAUAGAUGCAAGUAUAAGGAUUUCACAACUUGCAAACCAUAGAUUUUCACUGGGAAAGAGGAUCCAAAUCGGAGUUACAGACCGGAUCUCGGAGAUGGAUUUGGCUUUCAUAACAUGUAGAUUCAAAGGAAAGCUAAAAACCAUAUAUGCAGUGCGUCAGUUGAUGGGUGGAGUUGUUCACUAGUGGAACACUUUGGGAAAGAUCAUGAGUCCUAAUGAGCUGCUGCAACUGACGUGGGCAGAGUUCCUAGUGCAUUUCAAACGAAAGUUUUGCUCGGCCCAAAAUCUGUUGGAGCUAGAGAACCAAUUCCUAACAUUGAAGAAGGGCAUCAUGCCUAUUGACGAAUACAGCAAUGCCUUCACCGACAAGAUGGAAUUUUCUUUGCGCAUCGUCCCUGGCGAACUAACUAAAGUCGAUAAGUAUACAAAGGGACUACCAUGGGAAUAUGUUGUGCUAGUACGCCAGGCACCUACCAUCGAGGCGACUAUCUGGGCUGCUAAGUCUGUUGAAGAAAUGAUCAAGAGUAGGGCCACCAACAACGUCGAAGUUGGUGAAAGAGAAAGUUUGAAGGAUCUUCAAUGUCCAAUGAGAGGAGAAAAUGCUCGAAGUCUGGUUCGAAGAAGUUUGAAGGAGGAGGAGGUGAAGCAAGAUGGUGUGAUAAGUGCAAGAAGAAACACUUUGGAAAAUAUGGCAAGAAGGUGACUUGUUUCAAGUGUGGAAAGUCUGGGCAUUAUGCCGAUGAGUGUAUAUUCAACAAAAGGGUGUAUUACGGAUGUAAUGAAGAAGGGAAUUCAAGCUGGACUGCCCAAAGAGGGAAGGAGCUACAAAGCAAAAUGCACCGCCAAAGCCGAAGGCAAAAACAUUCCAUAUGAUCCUUAAUGAAGCAGAUGAUAAUGCAAGGAAUCAAGAAUGAGGACUGAUACCCGAAGAUCAAGUUAUGAAGUAGCCAUGCAGAUAGUAUCAGGAGGUGUAGCCUAUUAGAGGCAUAUUAUAGGUUGAACUUUAACAUCCAUGUAAUCAUUUCAAGAAGUAAUAUAAGCCUUGGUUUUGUUAUCUGGUGCGUUAAGUUGUUAUGUGAUUUUCAAGUAUGGUGACUUGGAAAACUGCGAGACAAUACUUGGGACAAGUAUGAGUAUAUGUGAAUGGUAGUAGAGGCCUAUACUACCAGAAGCACAGGACUCGCACUUGGAUUAGGGAAAGUCACAAGGUUACCAAGGCACUAGUAAUUGAUUCUUUUUUGUUCAUGUUUGUCGUCACCAUCGUUUCGGUAAUGACUAAGAAGAUGAUUGUUAGUCCAACCCUAGUGGUCAUAUCAAAUCGAGUCCGACUAAGAUGAAUAUGUUGCGUGGUUCAAAAAACCAAGGUCGAUGUUGCAUCUGACUUAAGCCAGACGAUUGAAGUGAAAGAUAAUCGAACCGAUCAAUAGAAGUAUCGUAACCUUUGUUAAGGUAAGAAGCUUGUAGCUAGAAGUGCUACAUGCUAGAAUAUGAUUAUAUCACAUUAGAACAUGAAGGAAGGUAUAUUUUGUUCUAUAGUUUGACUCUAAAAGACCUAAGUCUAAGUGUUGCAUCAUACGAUAAGAGGUCAUUACAACAUGACCCAUCGGUUUAUUGUGGUAAUCAAAUAACUUCUCUUAAUAUAAGUAUGUUUAACAAGAAGUAGGAGUCUCUGAUUUGGAUCGAUUUUGUAACUCGAAGGUUACGAUUGGAAGUCCAACAUAGGAUAAAGAACGGGUGCAAGAUUGAGUACCUCCUGCGGUCAAGAAGUCCAAGAGUUUGAUACUCAUUCGAAGGAACAUAAAAGUUACGAUUAUUACCUAAUAUGAAGAGAUAACAUAAGGAUUCAUUAUACAAGCCCUAUUUUGUUGAUUAUUCUGGGACGUAAUCAUCCUAAGGAGGAGAUAACUGUAACGCCCGCAGAUUCAGGCUAGUCAAUUAGAGAUAUUGAGCGUCAAAAAUGACAUUUUUAUGGGAGUUUAUUUAGAAGAAAUAAUCUUAACCUAGUAAUAGUAUAUGUCACAAGGGUUCCGUACAUAUAAAGAACGCCGAAAUCCGAGUUAUAACGAAGAAGUUACGACCCGACGAAGUUCUACAGCAAAACCGGCACGACACCGCGUAACAUAAAAAGUGAAUUUUUGAUAAAUUACUUUUUAGCCUUAGAGAUAUAAAUGAAAGUUAUAAUAUAGGUUAAACCGAUAGCAUGCAUAAAAAGAACGUCAAUAUCUAACUUCGUAUGAGGAAGUUAUGAUUUUUCUAAGAUUUCGCAAAGUAGUAUACAACCCGGAAUUCGAAUUUCAGAUCGAGCGAUUUUUAGCCAACACAACCUAAAUGAAAAUUGAAUAUCUCAUUAAUAGGAGUUCAACGAUAAAAAGACAUUAAAAAUGGAGUUCGAAUGUACAAGUUAUGAAUUUUACACGGUCAUUAACAAUGUAAUCUUCUCAUACUAGUAAAUUUAAAAUCGGUCGAGAGUUAGCUGUUUGAGUCAAAAGGAGAGUUGUAGAUCAUGUCAAUACCUAUGCGUGGAUAUAAAUAAUGUCAAAAAUGGAGCUCGUAUGCAAAAGUUAUGAAUUUUUGAAAAUUGGUUGUUUUACCUGCGUCCAGCACCACGUGUCAGCACCAAGCGAAGCCAUGGUGCCUACGCAAGGCCACGACGUGGAUUGGCUCCAGAUAGCCUAUAAAUAGAGGCGGAAAUCAUCCGUUUUCUUCACACCUUCACCCUUCUUUCUCUCUCAACGCUCCUAAUCUCUCCCUCCCAAUCCCUAGCAACUUCUAAGUGCUCCGAGAAGAAGAUCUUUCGGCUCAGAAGUUCCACCCCCGCAUAGCCCGGUUCCUAGCCAAACCCACGGUAAGUUAGUUAUGAUUACCCUACUUUAAGUAUAACUUAUGUUUGAGUUUAUUAUCAUUAUUAUGAACUUAUAAACAAGAUUUAUCAAUGAUUCCAAGUAGUUAUAUUGAUUGAUCUACUUAUGGGGAUAAUGUCUAGGCUGUGAUUUUGUGAGGUGUUUAAAGUGGGGUUUCCAAAUAGUAUACUUCGUAUACCAAACGAACCCUACCUCUGAUAUGAUCCUACCUGGUUGCUCUUUACAUGAUAGAUCAUGAAAGUAGACUUUGAGUUAAUGAUGAAUCUAGACUAAUAAUUAGUUGCAAUAAAGAUUAGACUAAAACUUAGCGAUAAUAAUGUUAGGUUUCGUCGAAGGAAGAUAGAAUCGUUAGAAGUGAAGCGUUUCUCGACUUUGGAAUUAUCACUUUGAAAAGUGAGUGCAUAGUUACUUUCAUCUUACACAUUGAUAUGAAGUAUUUUAUAUAAAUUACGCGCUAUGUGUGCAUGUUAUCUGUUUACUUGAUAUAUAUGAUAAAUGAACGAUCUUAUACAUGUACUCUAAACAUCCUAGUAGCUGUGCUCAAAGUGUAGUAUCGGUAGCUGUGCCGUCACACCCCCAAACCAGAACGACGGAAACGUUCAGGGGCGGAGGACGUCAUGUAUAGUAUCAUAACAAUGCAUAAUAGUAAAACAAGCAACAACAUCAUCCAUUGAAUUAAUGAUAGAAUUUAUACAUGUGUGUUCUUUGUAAAGUUGUAAGACACCAAAAAUAUAUAAUCAAAAUAAAGACGAGUCUUGAAUACGCUCUGUCUCCUCAAAACCUGGUCAUCGAUACAUGUCUACUGGUGACCUAAGAAUACAAGUUAUUUUGAAAGAGUAGAUCAACAUUUAAGCUGGUGAGUUCAUAAGUAUAUUAGUGUCAAAAAUUUUCAUCUGUUUCAUGAAAAUGUUUGUAAGUAUUUAGAUGUAAAUGUUUGUAUGCUUCCAAGAAAAUCCUAUAUUUUCUACUAAAAUGAAAAGUAGUCUUCUUCCAAGACUCAACUGUUUUGUAUGUUUGUUUUCUCGUAAAAAUUGAUGUAAGAUGUAUGUUUGUACUUGUAAUAGUAUAAAUGUGGGUUUUCCAUAUUUUUUUAAAACUUUCUAUACACGAAAAAUAGUAUGCAUUUCUUACGUGAGAAUAUCACUGUGUGAAUAUGAUGGAAAAAUGACGAUAUUCAGUAGUGUUGUAUAAAAUAUCUACUGAAGCACUAACUACCUUAAAGCAAAUUGUUAAUUAAGGUAAAACGUGAUGAGGUUAUAACCAUGCUUGAUUGACUUGUAUAAAACACAACGAUCAAAAUACAUCGAAAUGGUAUGACAUUUGUCACUUGUAGACCUGUAGGUCCCAUUGUAGCUAGCAACAAGGUUUAGGAUGGUCAAUCCAGUAUAGAUCUAUACACAAACUCACGCUCUCCCUCCAAGAGACUCUGGUUACAAAGCGUGACACAACAAGUAUAUUGAUAUGCCAUGAAGUAGUGGCUCACAUUAAUGUUAUCUUGUUCUAGUUAUAGUAUGUAUGUUCCUUUCUGUUCUAGUUAUAGUAUGUAUGUUCCAAUCUGUUCUAGUUAUAGUAAGUAGUAAUACUCUAAACUAUACCUAUUAUAGUUUACUAGUAUGAUUGUUUGACUGUUACUAAUUUGCAGAAAAGUCUCAAUUACUCACAUAAGCAACUAACUUAAGUAUGUAACUUAAAAAUGGGUUUAAUAUUCAUAUAUGUAUUUAAUAAGCAUAACUAUGAUUUUGCUGACAUUCGAACUAGUGAUCCUACCCUAAGCCCACAACCAAACAAAGAAACAGGAGUUAAGGUAUCUCGCAGUAGUCCUAAGCCCGUUAAAGCAUACUUACACGUAAACAGAUAGACGAAUAUGAUUUGAUAUAAAAGAAGUUUAUAAAAGAUUUAAAAGAGUUUUAACAAGUUUUGAGUAUAAGAAAUCCCUUUGGAUGUUGUUUUCACAUGUAAAUGGUUAACAAAAUUUAAUUGUGUUCUACUUGUUAUCCCCCAUAAAAGCAUUUAAAAGGUAUUUAAAAGUGUAUUGUAGGGGUAUGAACUCAUAUGUAGUGAGUGAUUCGAAUGAAAGAUCGAUAUAGGAUGAUAAGUAUGCCAAGUGAAGUAUCGAGCACAAACGGGUCCUAUUAAGCAUAUAAUAACACAUAUAUGUAUACAAUUAGUAUAUAUAACAACUAAAAUGUAAGGGAAACAACCUUAGGAACUAGGAAACACUUUGAAUGAAGUGUUAGCAUCACAAAUGAUUGGCUGAAAGGUGUUCACGACUAAACAAGGGGUGUUCACGGCCUUAGGAGGGUACAUGUCCAUAGAACGCAUGAUGUGUUCACGGACCAAGGUUGAUCUUAUGAAGGUUUCACGGUCCUAUGAUGCAUCUAUGAAGGGUUCAUGGCCCUAUGAAGGGUUCACGGUCGUGAACUCUUGAAGAUCUUGCAAAUAAGUGUUUGUUUCAUGGGUGGAAUCAAGUGUUUCUAAGGGACAACAAGAUGAUGGAUGAGAUACUUAUGUUUUGGAAGCCUUUAGAAGUGUUCACAGUUGAAGAUAGUUGAGAGAGAAGUGGUGUUCACGGCUAGGGUUUAAAGAAAUGAAGAAAAAUGAGCCAACUCCUUAUAUAUAAGACUUGUUCACGGCCAAGGAUGGGUACACGGCCAUGAACCUAGAUGUGGCCGUGAACUCCUUUUGGUGGUGUUUCCGGCUCGAUUGCAACUCAAUGAACUCAAGCUAACACUUCCUAACUCACAAUCCUUGAGUGUACUAGGCUUAGAAAUUCUCAAACAUACCCUUAACACAACAUAAAGGUAACAGAAACAAGUCUGACUUUAGAUUGAAUUGAUUGACUUUACAAGAUAGAAAUUCCAGGUUGUCGCAUGUGCCUAAUAGAAAACAUCAUAACCCUGGCAGCUACGCCCAAAGGACAAUAUCGACUGUUGUGCCUAAUAGAAAAUAUCAUAAUUCUGGCAGCUGCUCCUAAAUGAUAAUAUUGGCAGCUAUGCUUAAUAGAUAAUGAUGAUAUAUGGUCCAUUAGCAUGGCCUAGACUGCUCUAGCGCGCCAUAUGAUGCGACAUCGGCUCCGACCACCUGCUCUAAGGAGAUGCUUCUGCACCAGAGAUAGAUCUGUGAGGUCACAACAAACAAGACCGUUAGAGCUGCCCCAAAGACUGUGCCCUGGGAGAGAGCUCCGACGGUCAAGUUAGAUCAUUUGGUAGAUCUGAGAUGGAUCUCUUUAGCUAGAGAGGAUCAUCCUUGUGUUGGUGGUGUUGUAUGGUGGUUGACGGCGGCGGGUGCCGGCUGAGCCACCCGGCCAAAGUAUAGGGCGGCGGCUGAGCCAAGGGGAAGAUCCUAAUGGUGGCAGAACCACCUAGGAAAGAGUCCUCCUUCAUGAAGGAGGCACUAUUCUAUUUAUAGGGGGACAACUAGGUCAAGGGGAAUUAGGUCAGGCCUUGGGCCAACCCAAUUCAGGCCCAGCUAGCAAGGAGCUGGGUAAGGCCGCCCGGAGGCGCCGCGCGGGACUUANUGACGGGCGCGUACCAGGAAAGGACGGCAAGGGUGCGCCAGGAAAGGGAGCGUCAGGUCGGGCCUGCAAGAGAUUCCCCAGCAAGGCUGGCAAGGGAGUCCCCAACAAGGUUGUCAAGGGAAUGCCAGGAGAGGCUGGCAGGAGCGCGCCAGGCCAAGAUGGCGCGCUAGAGCAGUGUAGGCCAUGCUAAUGGACCAUAUAUCAUUAGAUAACAUUGACAGCUGUGUCAGUAGGAAAAUGAUGGACUUUAUGCCUAUUCUUUAGGAAAAUCCUUAGGAAUGAAUGAGUGAAUGAUAAAUGAUUCUUAGGAUAGAUCCUUAAGAAAUAACGAAGAUAAUGGGGAUGGAUAAUUGGGUUGAUUGUUUAAUGACUAAACAUAAUUAUACUAUUGUGGGUUGAAAAACAUAUGUACUCACUAGGUUUCUGAACCUGACCCACUCAAGUUUAUUUGUGUGACAGGUGUCGAUACGAAGCUACUUUACACUGAGAGAUUAAGGAGAUGUAGAUCACUAGUUAAAAUGAAUGUAAGGUCUGUUUAUGCUUAUGUUUCUGUAUUGACGAUGACAUUCCAAAGUUUUAAAAGAAAUAAAAUACAUUUCUUCGGAAAUGAUUUGAUAACACAUUUAUCAUGUUUUUCUGGGAACAAAUUUCACAACAUUUUUCUGGCAUCGGGCCUCGCCCGGUAUACAAAUAACAUAUAAGCACAUGCAUAAAAAUCACUUAAACACAUGCAUAAAAAUCACAAUGAUAAAUAGCAUACAAUAUAAUCAUUACGCCCCGCCCGGUAAUCAUAUAAACACAUAACACAUGCAAGAGUAACACAUACAACUAGUAAGGAAACUCACCUCAAGCUGCAAAAUCACUCGGAUAAAAUCUCAAUCUGUUGGUCCGGAAGAUCCUCGCGCUAACCUCAUAAUAUAAAUAUCCAAUUAAUAAUUGGAUCUCGACCCAUAAUAACCAAUCUAAGUUCCUUUUCCAAUAUCCAGGGUAAAAGAUUGUUUUACCCUUUUUCUUACAUGGCCCAAAACCAAGGCCCAAUCCAUUGCUCAAAAGGGCUAAAUUCCAAAAUGGCAUCCAUAGGCCCAAUAAGGCCCAACUUCCAAAUUGGGCUGAAAAUCAUCAUGGACCUAAUCCCAUGAAAGUCCAUAGUCUAUCCAUGACCCAAAGUCAAAAUUCUAAUGACCUAACAAGGCCCAAAUCUUAAAAACCCAAAAUAUGGCCAAAACCCAGGGAAGUCAAACCAAAAGUCAACCUACUGUACGCUUAGCAUACUCCUUCCAGGGCAAGUAUGUGCAUCGUACCAACUGGGUAUGCCCAACGUACUCCCCAGAUUAUCAACCCAACCCAUUAAUAACUUAAUUGGUUAAGCCAACAUGCUAAACUCUCAGAUCUGGUUCUAAAUGGCGACUUACUAUGUAAAGUUGACAACUUUACACCCAUGCAUGAAUUAAUGGGGCCCAACACUAAAAAAGAAGCUUAAUAAGACUCUUAACACUUGCAUGGAAUAAUAUCUUACAUAAAGUUUGCAUUUUUAUGGGCAAAGGACCUCAAAUCAGCGAAGAUCUAACAUCCAUAGCUUCUGGAGUGGACCAUAACUUCAUAUAUGACUUAAAAGACCCAAAAACGCAUAAAUAUCACCAUAAAAUGGAUCUAGCACAAAGGACCAUCCAGAUGAGAGAUUUUUACCUCAAAAGGCUUGCUAAGGUGAAGAUAACUCUAGAUCUACAAGAUUAAGCUACUCCCAAGAAACCUCGAAGUGUUCCUCGUUUUCUUCUUCUUCACCACAAAACACCAACAAACUCACUUUCAAGCUCAAAUCUGACCAAAUACACUUAGGGUUUCGAUAUUGUGACAUAGGGUGAUGGAGGCUGAUCAAUAAAAUGUCCAAAGGUGGUUUAAGAUGUUUAAGUAGGCUGCAAACCCUAAAAAUUAGGGUUUGCCCCUGCUCUACGUAUGUCAUGCAUACUCUACGUACGCCCCACAUACGUGGGUGAAUCUUGCGUCCAGAAAAUAGAUAGUAUGAUAAGCGUACUCAUAGAGUAUGCCCUGUGUACUAGCUAUGGACCAAAAUGAUAAGGAUUUUGCAUUAAGGGGUUAGAAAGAAACUUACCAAAUUACGAAUGUUACAAUUCACUUUAAUCAGAAUUUGUCCUUGAAGUAUGCUGCUCCAAACAACUUUGGGUAGUGCUCUCUCAUCUCGUCCUCCGGCUCCCACGUCCAUUCUGAACCCUUUCGAUGCUGCCACUGAACUUUCACCAAUUCAACAACCUUGUACCUCAAGGCUUCGUCUUCCUGUCAAGAAUUGUUACCGGUCUCUCGAUAUAAUUCAUGCGAUCAUCCACUUAAAUAUCCUCUAAUAGAACCACCACGGAAUCAUCAAUUAAACAUUUUUGUAACUGAGAGACAUGAAAUAUGCUAUGGAUCAUACUAAGAUCCUCGGGAAGAUACAAGCGAUAAGCAACCCGAACCACCCGUGUGAUAAGUCCAUUUUAUGAAUGUACUAAAUUGUCAUAAAUCUGUUGAAUUGAUGUAUAAUUGUCCAAGAAUGGCACUACAUUGCUGAGUUAUUGAACUUCAUAUGCAGGUCAAUAUAUUGUACUAAAAGUGGGUGGAACCUACAAGUAAAACGGAUUGUUAAAGGAAUGAAGAAACGUUGCUGGGAAAAUUGACCAUUCUUCAAUGUUUUGGUCUAAUCUCAAGUUCUGGAGCUCCGAUUGACAUGAGUAUAGAAGUUCUGGAAACUAGACAAGAUUUUCUACAACUUUCGUGUUUUGUGCUUCUGCUAGUUAUGUCGUUUUGACUACCAAAACUUGCACAGAAGAUGAAGGACACCUCCAGACAUCUAAGACGUCCAGGUCAAACAGCCAACAUCUGGUCGUUAUUUCAGAGCAGAAAAGAAGGAAGAACCCCGUCAGCAUCUAACAUGGAAUCUAAGAUGUCCCCUAGGAUGUCUUGGCAUUUUAGGGACGUCCCGUGUUGGAACGGUGUGUUUAGGAAAGUUUAGAAAACAAGGCACGACGUCCUAGAACGCAUCUAAGACGUCUCCUAAGACGUUUGACGUUUUUGGCCAUUUUUUAGUAUAUUUCAAGGACGUACAAAGAUCGCUUGGGCGUUAUACACGACGUCUAAGAUGUCUCCUAGGACGUCCAACGUCCCACAUCGCCCAAUUUCAUUAUUUUUUAUCCCACACUAUAAAUAGGAGCCUAUUUCGUUGGUUAAAAUUCGGAUUCAAAGCAAGAUUCGAUUCAAUUCAUCAUCAAGCUAUAAGUGAAGAUCAUUUCAUUGGUUAAUUUUCAUCAAUUCUUUAUUUUCCAGAAUUAUUUCUUCUUCCCCAAGGUUUAUUUGUUCUACACUUCGAUAAUCAUUAGGCUACAUUUGUUUGAUGAUUCUACGUUUGUUUAUGAAUUCUAUAAUGGAUUUUAUUCAUUUUAAUCAAGUUAUUUGUCUUAUGAACUCAAUGGAAGGCUAAAUCAUUAGGGUUACUUCCGGGGAUGUUUAGGACUUUUUGAUGAACACACUUGAUUAUUACUUGAUUCUAGUUAAUUUCAAUUGUUGUUUUAUGCUUCAUGUGAUGAUCUUUUGGUAAUGAUAAUUGAAAUUGGGUUGUAUGAAUUGUUUGAUGUCAUAAUUAAGAUAGUCUAUUGUCAAUUCAUCAUUUGUUCCAAGUUCACAUAGUUUAGGAAUAAAGACAAGUGAUUGAAUCAACAUAUAUUAUUCCAACUUAUGAUAUUGAAUCUUAAUGCGGUAAUAGGUACUUGUAAGAUAUUUUAUUGCUAGUCCACUAAUUGUUCUUAAUCCAUUGAGGCAUAAAGGAGUAAGACAACUAGUUAAAUGAACAUUUAGUAUGCCCAAACUAUGUAUUACAAGUUAAUAAAUCCCAAUUGUAUCUAAGUAAUUGAAUUAGGAUUUAAGGGAAGAAAGUGUGUGAAUUUAAACUGUCCAUAACUGAACCGGGAGUACUCUAGUUUUCUCAUUGAGAUUUUCGUUGUAAUUAAUAAAUUUCCAUGCUUUUUGUUUGAUCUUUGCGUUAAAUUCUUUUUCGUGACAAUUGCUAGUAGCUUUUUUUCGUUGACUAUUUUAACACAAAGUUUGACAACAAACUCCCUGUAGAUUCGACCCUUACUUACCCUAGCUAUCUAGUGGUUUUGAGGUUAUUUUUGAUUGAUACAACGACAUCAAUCAUAAUUUGGCGCCUUUGUCGGGGAGAUUGUGCGCUUGAGCUAUUGUUUUUAAGUAGUUAUAGCCUUUUACUUUCAUUUUCAAUUCUCGUUUGUAGUUCACAUUUUGUUUUAUUUGUGUUGUGCAGGCACACUGGUGCAUGCAUACAAGACAUAGCAGACGCUCUUCACCGCUUGCAUUUGAUCCGGAAAUCGAACGAACAGCUCGCUCAAAUCGGGUCGCCAGAAGGAACAUCAACACUAUGAGUGUAGAUAAUGUUGUCGUGGAAGAUGUGGUUGAAGGGCAUGAGGAAGAAGCCAACAAUCCUCCACCACUAGUUCCACCACCAGCUCCUCAAUUCCCAAACAACAACAAUGGGAAUAACAACAAUGCCGGUGCACCAAUCAUCCAACCAGUGCAACCAUAACUGAAUAGAAACAACCGUGGCCAAAAUGGUGGAAACGGAGGAAAUUGGGCAUAGAAUAUGGGAGGCAAUGUAGGAAACCACACUGGUGGUAAUGUUAGAAAUCAUAACCAAAAUCCUAGAAAUGUUGGUCCUCAAUUCGGUAAUGGUGGUAAUGGUGGUAACGAGGAUGAUUGGGAUUUUGACGAUGGAAGUUACAACGGACUUGGUUGGAAUCAUAACCACAACGGUGGUAAUAGGCGGAAUCAAGGAAAUCGGGGUGGAAACGGGUACUAAAACAAUAACUGGAACAACCUGAAUUUCCCUAAUGGUGGCAACAAUUACUACAAUGAUGGGUUCGGAAAUCAAGGCUUUGGGAAUCAAUAUCGAAGGAAUCCAAAUGGUGGAUUCAACAAUGCGAAUGGAGGAUACUAAAAUGAAGGUAAUCAAUUCCCUCAUCUUUACUUUCUGCAGCCUAAUAGACAAUCUGUGGCGUCUCAUUUUCAGCCGAGAGAGUAUGAUGAUGCUUCACCCAUACUCUUCGCAGAAGUAAAUGAGCAUCAUGUAGAAGUAAGACCACAACUAAUUAGUGUCUUACCCGUCUUUAGAGGCCAUAAAACUAAUGAUCCAUACAAUCACCUCUAUGAGUUCCUUGCAAUUGCUAACGCGAAUACUCCGCGAGGAACUAAUAGAGAUUCAUUUAGACUUCUCUUAUUUCCGUUCACUUUAAAAGAAAAAGCUAAGUAUUGGUUCACUUCUCUUGCCCCCAUAGUAUCACUACUUGGGAGCAAUUAAAAACUAAAUUUUUGCAAGAGUUUUACCCAGCUAGUAAAACAACGGAAAUAAGAAAAGCCAUAGAAGAUUUUGCACAAAAACCCAAAGAAGAAUUUCAUGAUGCAUUUGAACGCCUCAAGGAAUUGUUCCGUUCAUGUCCCUAUCAUGAAUUUCCCCGUUGGCAACUGGUAGGUUUCUUUUAUGAUGGAGUCGAUACUGCCAAUCAAAGCAUGAUUAAUGCCUCGUCCGGCGGCAUUAUUAUGAUACAAGAUAGUGAAGACGCUUGGCGAUUCUUAGAGUAGUUGAGUCAUGGUUCAAAAACCAAUUACUCAGCUAAGAAACGGGACAAUCCAGUUUCAUCUGUUGCUUCAGUUGGACUAGACAAAAAACUGGAAAAAUGAAGUCAAAUCUGAUAUUAAUUCUUUAAAUAAAAUUUUUGACUUACUACUCUCUAGUCUAGGCAAAAAGAAAGGUGUGUUUUUUCGCAGGGACAGAAGAUAUGUGUAAGCUGUGGAGAUUCAUGACACAUUGCAGAUGAGUGCAUGAGAAUUCAAGAGGAAAUCAAUCAAGUGCAUGGUUAUGGUCAAUUCCAAAAUAAUCCACGAUCAUUCAAUCGGAACUACAUCCAAGGCGGGAACUACAACAACAUUGGGAUUUUCAACAACAACAACCGUCAAGGGAAUUACCAAAACCAAAAUCAGCCAAAACAGUUCCAGCAGUCCAACUUUAACCAAGGUGGAACAUCAAAGAAGGAGGAAAAUGAUGGCAACAAGUUGGACAAAAUCAUGGAGUUCAUAACCUAAACAUAUCAGAAAACCGACACUAACUCCAAGUCUAUAGCUGCUAUUGAGAAGCAAAUUGCUCAACUGGCGGAGCAAAUUGGGAAAAGAGAAGAUGGCAAGUUUCCAAGCACCACAACAGUGAACCCAUCUCAUACCCAGAGACCCCGAAAAGAGCAUCAAGUGAACGAGGUAAUUACCUUGUGUAGUGGAAAAAAGGUUGACAACAAGGUAAGUGCUUCUACAUUAGAUAAUGACAGUGACACUGAAGUCAUCUUUGAUGAAAAAGAAGAGUUUGAGAAAGAUUUUAAAUCCGAAAAACAAAAAGAAGAUAAGGUUAAAAAUGACUCUAAAGUUGGGGAGCAUGGUGUGGAGGUUAAUACCGCACCAUACCCUUCGGCUUUAGAGAAGCCGGCAUCCUUCCCUUUUGGGAAGCGAGGGCUAAAAAUGGAAGACAUGUGAGAUCUAUUUAGUCAAGUUAAAAUAAAUAUCCCAUUAGUCAAACUUAUUAAGGAGGUACCUUCUUAUGCUAAAUUUUUGAAGGAUUUGUGUGUUCAAAAACGCAAACUCCAAGCAUACCUCCCUAAAAAGAUUGAUUUAGUCAAGCAUGCGAGUUCGAUAAUAUCAAAUAAACUUCCACCCAAGCUUAAGGAUCAUGGAGCACCUUUAAUUUUUGUUACGCUAGGUAACAUUAAUAUAAAAAAGGCGCUCCUUGAUCUUGGAGCUAGUGUUAAUAUAAUCCCGGGAAAUUUUUUUGAUCAACAUGACUUAGGCACUUUGGAACAAACUGAUAUUAUUUUACGAUUGGCCGAUAAGUCAACAAAAAUUCCUUGGGGAAUAUUAUCAGAUGUUAUUAUUAAGGUGGGAGAUUUCUAUUACCCAGUUGAUUUUCUUAUGCUUGACACCGUGAGCACUUAUAAAGAAAGUCAACCUUCUAUUAUUUUAGGUCGUCCGUUAUUGACAGCAAUAAAUGCACAAAUUAAUUGUAGAACGGGUGCAAUGGAUAUCUCUUUUGGAAAUAGGAAACUUAGAAUUGAUAUUUUUAAUACGUUUCCUAACUCACCAUCAGAUUAUGAAUGUUAUCAUGUGGAUGUGGUUGAUGACUUAGUGCAUCAAUUCACUCUUAAAAUCUUACACCCUGAUCCAUUGGAGUUUUUUCUUUCUAAUGACAGGGACGAAGUUUUAGAGUUGGAUGACAUCAAGAUGGUUGAGGAGGCAUUUGAAAAUGUUAUUGAGCAAGAGAGGCCACCAUGGAGUUAUCAAGUUGAAAAAUUGCCAACAAGUUUUUCGGACCCACUUAAGCCAUCUUUGGAGGAGCCACCCAGUCUUGAACUCAAAACUCUUCCUUCACAUCAUAGAUACUCUUUUUUAGGAUCUAAGGAGAACUUACCAAUUACCAUAUCUUUUGAUUUGACAUGUCCACAGGAGGAAGCAUUACUGAAGGUGCUUUCGAAGUACAAGGGAGCAAUUGGAUGGACCAUAGCAGACUUGAAGGGAAUUAUUCCAGCCACAUGUAUGCAUUGAAUCAUCACUGAAGCUAGAGAAAAGCCAUCCCGAGAUGCACAACGAAGGCUCAACCCGAAUCUGCGAGAAGUUGUUAAAAAGGAGGUGUUGAAAUGGCUUGAUGCGGGUAUUAUCUACCCAAUAUUUGAUAGUGAUUGGGUGAGCCCGACACAGACAGUGCCAAAGAAGUCGGGCGUUACAGUGGUAGAUACAGAAGAUGGAGAGAAGAUCUCAACAAGAUCGGUCACCAGAUGGAGAGUUUGCAUCGACUAUCGCAAACUCAAUGCUGCAACAUCAAAUGACCAUUUCCCUCUCCCUUUUAUUGAUCAAAUAAUUGAGAAAUUGUAUGGUAAAAAGUUUUAUUGUUUUUUGGAUGGAUACUCGGGGUAUAAUCAAAUUGCCAUCCACCCCGAGUAUCAAUCCAAAAUGACAUUCACGUGUCCAUAUGGCACCUUUGCUUUCCGAAGGAUGCCAUUCGGCUUGUGUAAUGCCCCUGCCACAUUUUAAAGAUGUAUGAUGGCUAUUUUUUUAGACGUGGUGGGGGAUGCAUUAGAAAUUUUCAUGGAUGAUUUUUCUAUUUUUGGAUCAUCUUUUGAGACAUGCUUAGACCAAUUAGAAAAAGUUUUGAAACGUUGUAUUGACUCUAAUUUGGUUUUAAGUUGGGAGAAGAGUCAUUUCAUGAUAAAAUAGGGAAUUGUACUUGGCCAUGUUGUCUCCGAGCAUGGCUUUGAAGUCGACCGGGCCAUAGUACAAAUUAUUUCUACUCUUCUCCCACCAACUUCAGUAAAAGGCGCCCGUUCUUUUCUUGUACAUGCCGGCUUUUAUCGAAGAUUUAUCAAGGAUUUUAGUGCAAUGUCAAAACCUCUUUGUAAUUUACUUUUAAAAGAUGCACCAUUUUCCUUUGAUAAAGCAUGUCUUGAAUCUUUUACCACAUUAAAGAACAAACUUGUUGAAGCUCCUAUCUUGCAAUCACCCGAUUGGACUUUACAUUUUGAAAUUAUGUGUGAUCCAAGUGAUUACGCGGUAGGGGCAAUUUUGGGACAACGGGUGAAUAAAAAACCCAUUGCAAUUUGUUAUGCGAGCAAAAAAAUUUCGGAUGCACAAUUGAAUUACACUACUACCGAAAAAGAGUUGCUUGCGGUCGUGUUUGCACUUGAAAAUUUUAGAUCUUACAUAUGGGGAUCUAAAGUUGUAAUUUUUACCGACCAUAGUGCCAUUCACCACCUCUUGGAAAAGAAGGAUGCCAAACCACGUCUCAUAAGAUGGAUCCUUCUUCUUCAAGAGUUUAAUCUUGAAAUUCAGGACAAAAAGGGUUCUGAAAAUGUUGUGGUGGAUCAUUUAUAUAGAAUAACUAAUAAUGAUAACUCAACGAAAGUUAUUCAAGAAAACUUUCCAGAUGAGCAUAGUCUUGUUGUCAAAACUAUACCAUGGUUUGCUAAUUUAAUUAAUUACUUUGCGACAGGGGAAACUCCAUUGUAUUGGAAUGCUCAACAAAUGAGGUUCUUCCACUCUCAAACAAAAUACUACAUAUGGGAGGACCCAUAUAUUUUCAAAAUUGGAGCAGAUCAAGUGAAUAGGAGAUGUGUACCACAUACAGAGCAAGAAGACAUUCUUCGACACUGCCAUUCAUAUACAUGUGGAGGGCAUUUUAGUGCCAAAAGGCAGGGCAUCGGGUUCUACAAAGCGGUUUUUUCUGGCCCUCUAUUUUUAAAGAUGCACAUACAUUCGUUAAAGCUUGUAUUCGUUGCCAACAAGUUGGGGGGAUCUCAAGACGGGACAUGAUGCCAAUGACCCCAAUUUUAGUAGUUGAAAUCUUUGAUGUAUGGGGCAUUGAUUUCAUGGGUCUGUUCCCCACUUCUUUUGGCAAUCUAUACAUUCUUGUAGCCGUUGAUUAUGUAUCAAAAUGGCUCGAAACCGAGGAUACACACACGAAUGACCAUAGUGUUGUUUGUAAAUUUGUUAAAAAGAACAUAUUUUCUACACACGGAAUCCCUCGAACUAUUAUUAGUGAUGGGGGCUCCCAUUUUAAAAAUUGGCAUUUUGCAAAGUUACUUAAACACUAUAGUGUCACACAUAUGAUAGCUACUCCAUAUCACCCACAAACAAAUGGACAAGUAGAAGUGUCAAAUAGGGAAAUAAAACGAAUCUUGGAGAAGACUGUUCAUCCCGACCGAAAAGAUUGGUCAUUAAGAUUAGAUGAUGUGUUAUGGGCAUAUCGAACAACCUAUACGACGCCCAUUGGAAUGUCUCCGUAUCGGCUUGUUUAUGGAAAGCCAUGCCAUCUCCCGGUGGAGUUAGAACACCGUGCCAUGUGGGCCAUAAAAAAUGCUAACUUUGAAUUGAGUGAUGCAGGUAUAGAAAGGAAACUCCAAAUUGUUGAAUUGGAAGAGAUUCGAAAAGAAGCUUACGAAAGCUCAAGGAUCUAUAAAGAAAAGACGAAGGCAUUUCAUGACCGACAUAUUGUCCGAAAACAAUUCGUUAAAGAACAAUUGGUGUGGCUAUUCAACUCUCGUCUCAAACUCUUCCUCAGAAAGCUUCGGAGUAAAUGGAAUGGACCUUUUGUGGUGAAAAAUGUGGCGGAUCAUGGAUCUAUUGAAAUCAAGGACACGAAAGGCAGUGAACCAUUCAAGGUAAAUGGACAAAGACUCAAACCUUAUAUUCGAAUGGUAAAUGGUGAAACAACAUUCGUUGAGAAAACAACGCUCAAGGCAACACAAUAUUUAGAAACAACUUAGUCGAGGUAAACCGUCCGGCUGAAGACAUAAAACUUACCGCUUUUCGGGAGGCAACCCGUGGUUUGGUGUGUUUUUACUUCUAUUCUUCUUUUGGUGUGUUUUAAUUCUUUUCGUAUCGAGGACAAUCCAAGGUUUAAAGUUGGGGAGGGGGUAUUUAAUUUUUGUUUAAAAUUAAAUAAUAUUCGAAAAAUACUCAAAAAACAGCAAAAAAAAAUAGCCUCAGGCAUCCUAGGGGUGUCUUAGACGUUGUCUAAGACGCCGUCGGGCUGUCACUUCUUUUCCCCCCGAUGAAAACCCUUCGCGAAAAUUAAAAAAAUACCCUUAAUGUGUAUGACGUCCUAGGACGCGUCUAAGACGCCGGCUAGGACGUCGACGUGUUUUUCAACCGUUUUAUGCCGUUUUCUGCAUUAUUGUUGGUAUCUUUCUUCUCCAAACUGCCAUAGCCGAAAACCCACUUGUUCUUGCUUAUUUCCUUUGAUUUCUUGGCCAAAACUCAACCAAAAUUCGUGGUUUUUGUUGCAAUCUUCAAGAAAUCAAGUAAGAAACAUCACAUUGCAAGAUUUACACACUCUAAUCACUUAUUUGGGGCCGAUUUCAAAACCCACAAAAACUAGGGUUUCGAAAUUUUGACUUAUUUUGAGAUUUUACUUCAAGUUCUUGGUUCUUCUUCACUAGAAACACAAUUUCAACAAGGUAUAUGCUUCAAAACUCCAUCUUUUAGUUGAAUUUCAGAAUUUUUGCAUGUAUGUUCAUAUAUGUUUGAAAUUUUGAAAAAGAUGAAGAAUAUGAUAUAUAUUGGUAUGAAUUCUUGUGAAUUAGUGUUUGUAGUUGUUAGAAGUAUGUUCCAAACAAGUUGCAUGUGUUGAUUCGAGAAAUUUCUAAAAAUUGAAUUUUUGUUGUUAGUUGUUAAAAAAUAAUAAUAAUAAAUAAAAGCACAUAUAAUGUUGGAAAAUCAUUCUUAUGUUUAUAUUUGUGUUUGAAUUAAAAAUUCAAGUUUUUAGAAAAUUUCAGAAUGACACUGAAUUUUGACAUUGCAUUGUUAGUCUGAAUAUUUGCCUGUUACAGUUCUGUUCUGGUUUUAGUUAGAACUUGUCAGUUGAAGUUAACUUUUGGUUUAACUGUGUUUUUACUGAUUGGAUAAAUUUUUGAAAAAUAUUUAGUUACUAAAAACAUAACAGGACUUAAAACGGUUAUUUAUUUAGACUGGAUUUAUUUUAACUUUGUUUGGAACAACUUGCCAACUGAAUUAUUUGUUUUAUUUUUGUGACAUUUGAUAUGUUUAAUGGCAAGUUUUGUUUUGUGGUUUUGUGUAUGAAUUAUUUUGCAGAUGCCAGCAAAGAGAUCAAGGGUAGCAUCAUCAAGCAGUGCAUCUAGACAACCAGCUAGACAGUCGGAGCCAAAUGUACAUGUGGCUUUCAACCCACAGUAUCAGACAUUGCAUGAGCAUCUAGAUGACAUUCGUCCAACAGUUUAUGAGGCAACUCAUCCGAAUAUGGGUUUUAUUGUAGAGUACAUGGUGGAGCGACCGAGCUUCACUAGGUAUAAUAUUGUGGAGACGUUUGAUCGCUAUGGAUGGGGUGGAGUGCUAGACUUCAAUCCCACGCAGAUUUAUGUUGAUAUAGUGCAGGAAUGGAUGAGGAAACUUCGACGUGUCGAGGUGCCUGGUAGGCCGGAGGAGUUGCCGCUGAUUGGGACGGUCCGUACUCAUGAUAUAGUGAUAACUGUGCAGGGUAUUCGGGACAUGUUUCAUGUAGAUACUGGCUGUCAUUUUCAUUAUCUUGAGAAUCAUCUGACUGAGUAUAGAUGUAUUGACACGAGGGGGUAACCCUGGGGUUAGUAUGACUGAAGUAUACCGUAUAGUGUUCCAUGAGGGGACGAGGGCAUACGACAGAUUCCGCGAAUUGGUGCCUUUAGCAAAGGCAUUACAUAACAUUAUCACGAAAAAUGUGAACCCAAGGAAUAGUGAUCCUAGGGCGGUGAGGCCACAUGACUUAUAUGUAUUAUAUGGAUUGAUGAUAGGAUCUAUCUUUAUCUCUUAUGCAUAUAAUGCUAUGUGCAACAUAUGGUCCUGUUUUGAUAUCCAGCACAGAGUCACUACCCCCCAUGUUGCCCUGAUAUCGACAUAUGUUGCCUUGCUACUUCUUUUAGACACAUCUCAUUUCAUGUUGAAAAUGGGAGACAUAUUCUGAGGGAUUCUACCACAAAUCCGACAUACACGGCACCACUCGGAGUGGGGGAUGAGGAGCCAUUCGUUGGUGAUUUUUAGGGGGAUCAGUAGCAGCAAUAGGCAUAAGCAGCAGGUCGGGGAUAGAACAUGCAGGCAGCUUGGGAGGACUUUGUGGGGAGGCAGAACAUGCAUAACCAGGAGGUGCAGGCUUGGAUGGGGAGAACGGAUAUAUGGUUGAAGGGUGUCGAUACGACACUAGCUGAUAUUACUGAGCAGAUGCGACAGAUUGGCAUUACAUCUAGCAACACUUAUAGUGUUGCCACUCGUCAGUUGUACCAACAGGAGUACUAUGCAGAUGCUGCCUACACAUAGAGUCGUGUCCAGUAUGAACCGAUGGACAUUGAUCAACCACAGUAUCGAUACCGAGCUCCAGCUCCGUUCUUCUACCGAUCCGGGAAUCUGAGCAACUAUCCACCGCCAUCCGAGCAUGAGCAUUAUCAGCCACCACCAGCUACAGAGGACUCUACUCGCUUUGAGGAUUUAGUUGGAUCGAUCUUUGGGUAUCCUCCACCAUACCCACGUUAUCCUCCACAGUCGCCCCCACAUUGAACUUUGGUGAGAUCCUCUUUUGAUUUUUAUUUUUAUGGUUGUUUGAUGAAGACUUUUUUUAUUUUUAUUUUUAUUUUUCGUUUGCUUUUCAUGUCUUUAUUUGGGAUGAAUGUACUAUUAUUAAACUCAUUAUUAUUAUUACUCUCUCUUGGGUUGGUUCCAUUAAAUAUGUGAUGAGUUAGUAGCAUCUCUAUAUCUUGAACGUAACUCAUCAAAAUGGAAAAUGAUAGGAGUUUCGUAAAUUGAGUCAUAAUAUUUAUUUAAUAUUGAUUUUGUGGAUUGCUCAACCGAUUUGGGAAUAUUUAUAUUUAGUUAAAAAAUUGUUAUGUGAAAUACCCAAGUGUUUGAAAAAUGACGGUUUUUAGCUCGAGCCUACGAUCUUUCAAUUGAGGACCCAACCGAACAAUAUGUGUCAUCACGCUCUGAGUACUUGGUCUUACUUACUCUUGCGCCUUUGGGGUUGGGAGGGGACUAUUAUUGUUUUCACACAAUAAAAAAGCAUCAAAAGACAUUGAAGAACUUCCAAGUAUCUAUAUUCAAGCUCAAGUCAAAUACCAAAAUGAUCAAAUCCGAUGAAGCCAUCAAAGAACUUGAAGAAUGCAAAAUCAAGAUAAAUAUGAAGAAAAGUUCAAGUUGAAGACAUUGUGUGAAAUAAUGUGUGACCCCUCGAUAGCGGGAGCGUAUGGGUUGGUCCAUUAAGUGUUACCGACCGCGCUAACUAUGUUAGUGAACCUUGAAAAAAGGGACUUUGGCAAUGAGUUCAACUGAUUACUCAUGAGGGUGAUUAUUGGAAAGGGUUCAAAAAGUGGAGGGUUUCAAACAACAAAGUAAAAUAAGCAUAACAUGUGUUUUGAGUUUAAAAGUCUGGAUAAGAAAAUAAUAAUCCCCAUAAUCAAUAUAUUGUGCUAUUGGAAAUGUUGUGAUAAAAAGUACAGAAUUCAUGAUUCCAUUGAGUUUUUCUUAGGAUAAGAGAGUAAAGACUACGCUGAUUAUUUCAGGCCAAUCUCGGGACGAGUUUGGAAUAAAGUUGGGGAGGUUUGAUAAGUCCAUUUUAUGAAUGUACUAAAUUGUUAUAAAUCUGUUGAAUUGAUGUAUAAUUGUCCAAGAAUGGCACUACUUUGAUGAGUUGUUGAACUUCAUAUACAGGUCAAUAUAUUGUACUAAAAGUGGGCGGAACCUGCAAGUAAAACAGUGCUAAAGGAAUGAAGAAACGUUGCUGGGAAAACUGACCAUGCUUCAAUGUUUUGGUCAUAACUGAAGUUCCGCAGCUCUAAUUGACAUGAGUAAAGAAGUUCUGGAAACUAGACAAGAUUUUCUACAACUUUUGUGUUUUGUGUUUCUGCUAGUUAUGUCGUUUUGACCACCAAAACUUAAACGAAAGAUGAAGGAUGCCUCCAGGCGUCUAAGACAUCCCCUAGGACGUCCACAUCAAACGGUCAGCAUCUGGCCGUUAUUUCAAAGCAGAAAAGAAGGAAGAACCCCCGUCAGCGUCUUACAUGGCGUCAAAGAUGUCCCCUAGGACAUCUUGGCAUUUUGGGGAUGUCCCGUGUUGGAACGGUGUGUUUCGGAAAGUUUAGAAAACAAGGCAGGACGUCCUAGAACGUGUCUAAGACGUCUCCUAAUACGUUUGACGUUUUUGGCCAUUUUUUAGUGUAUUUCAAGGACGACAGAUGGCAUGCAAGGACGUACAAAGAACGCCUGGGCGUUAUACACGACAUCUAAGAUGUCUGCUAGGACGUCCAACAUCCCACAUCCCCCAAUUUCAUUAUUUUUUAUCUCACACUAUAAAUACGAGCCUAUGAAUUCGUUUUUAGGGUUACCACCUCCGAUUUUCAGAGUUUUUCAUGUGUUUUUGAGGCUUCUAAAACACUUGGAAACAUUUGAAAACACAAAUCCAUUCCAUUAAAAUCCGGAUUCAAAGCAAGACUCAAUUCAAUUCAUCAUCAAGCUAUAAGUGAAGAUCAUUUCAUUGGUUAAUCUUCAUCAAUUCUUUAUUUUCCAGAAUUAUUUCUUCUUCCCCAAGGUUUAUUUUUUCUAUAAUUUGAUAAUCAUUAGGCUACAUUUGUUUGAUGAUUCUACAUUUGUUUAUGAAUUCUAUUAUGCAUUUUAUUCAUUUCAAUCAAGUUAUUUGUUUUAUGAACUCAAUGGAAGGCUAAAUCAUUAGGGUUACUUCUGGGGAUGUUUAGGACUUUUUGAUGAACAUAAUUGAUUAUUACUUGAUUUUAGUUAAUUCAAUUGUUGUUUUAUGCUUCAUGUGAUGAUCUUUUAGUAAUGAUAAUUGAAAUUGGGUUGUAUGAAUUGUUUGAUGUCAUAAUUAAGAUAGUCUAUUGUCAAUUCAUCAUUUGUUCCAAGUUCACUUAGUUUAGGAAUAAAGACAAGUGACUGAAUCAACAUAUAUUAUUCCAACUUAUGAUAUUGAAUCUUAAUGCGGUAAUAGGUAGUUGUAUGAUAUUUUAUAGCUAGUCCACUAAUUGUUCUUAAUCCAUUUAGGCAUAAAGGAGUAAGACAACUAGUUAAAUGAAAAUUUAGUGUGCCCAAACUAUGUAUUACAAGUUAAUAAACCCCAAUUGUAUCUAAGUAAUUGAAUUAGGAUUUAAGGGAAGAAAGUGUGUGAAUUUAAACUAUCCAUAACUGAACCGGAAGUACUCUAGUUUUCUCAUUGAAAUUUUCGUUUUAAUUAAUAAAUUUCCAAGCUUUUUGUUUGAUCUUUGCUUUAAUUUUUUUUCGUGACAAUUUCUAGUAGUUUGUUUUUUUUCGUUGACUAUUUUAACACAAAAUUUGACGACAAACUCCUUGCGGAUUCGACCCUUACUUACCCUAGCUAUCUAGUGGUUUUGAGAUUAUUCUUGACUGAUACAACGACAUUGAUCAUCGUGCCAAAACCCUAAAGAGACCGAUGUGCCUGGGGCCCAAUUUGCUCUUCUUCCUGAAUCGGAUGACACCUUUCCAAUGUGACAAGUUCAGGGGGACCAUAUCCCUAACCUGAAACUCUAAAUCUGAUUGGUGCUUGUCGGCAUAGCUCUUCUUCCGGCUCUAAGCUGUCUGGAGCCUACUCCAAACUGCUGAAUCAACUUGGUAGUCUUGAGUACCGCUUUGGUACUCCCCAUUAGUAGCUGACCGUCCUCACCCCAACAUAUCAUGGUACUGCAUUUCUUUCUAUAGAGCAUCUCAAAAGGAGGUCGAUUAAUGUUGGCGUGAUUACUAUUGUUAUACAAAAACUAUUGGAUUAGGUGUCUAAGACCAUAACUAUUUUGGUAUGUACUUGACCCGAUUGUGAGCAUGGUCCUUUUGGGUUGCCUUCACCAUAGCAACUGAUGGGAUGAAUUAAGGAGAAAAAGGAUUAAUUAUGAUUUAUUAAUAUAUUAUAUGAAUAAUAUAUUAAAAGAGAAAUCAUAUUGUUUAAUUAAUAUUAGUCAAUAAUUCAUUUUGUGGCUAAAAGAGAUUAAUUAAAUAAAGGGGACUGAUAUUGCAAUUAUAUGAUAGUUGCAAAUUGGGCUAUGGAUUCCUAAUGGAAAUCGGAUUGGACAAAAUCUAUGGGAAGCCCAUAUGGAUUUCGUCCAAGGGCUUUCCAAGGGAACUCCAUGGGUUGCUUAAGGCGUAAGCAGUGAGAUUAGGGUUUCCUGAUUCAAAACCCUAAUAGCCUAAGUAUAAAAGGAACCCUUGGCAAGCCAAAAACGUCCCUAACCUUAUAAGAGAAACCCUAGGACGUUUUUGGUGCCUCCUCCCUCUCUCCUUGUUCAUCUUGUUACAUAUGGUGUUUGUGACUCCAUUAGAGGUGCAACAUUUGAGGCACUAGGCUUUCAGAAGUCAAUUACAAGAAGGAUUCGGAUUGUUAUUGCAACAUAACAAUCAAGGUAAGAUCUAAAAUCUAUCCUUUUGUCAAUUUUGAUUAUUGUAUACUAGAGUUAGGGUUUAUGAGCUUUGGAUGAUUAUUACGUAUAUCAGACAAACUAGAUCCAAAGCUUUAGGGUUUGCAUGUACACCAUAGGAUUGACGUAGUGCUCAAAACCCAUCAAAAACUACGCCAAAGGGAUAUAUGUAUCCCAACUCCCACCAAAAUCCAGAACACACGCCCGAAGCAUAUCCUCCAAGGUAUGAAUAGUCCUCUCGCUCUGACCAUCAGUAUGUGGGUGGAAAGUCGUACUGAAAUGCAGAUGAGUACCCAGCUCGUCGUGGAACCUCUUCCAAAAUCUGGAAGUAAACCGGACGUUCCUGUCUAAAACCACAAAACGGGCACACCAUGAAGUGCCACUACCUCCCUGAUGUAUACCUCAGCUAACUUCUCUGAGGAGAUACUAUCUUGAGUCGGAAUAAAAUGUGUGAACUUGGUCAAUCAAUCCACGAUGACCCAAAUCGAAUCCACUCUAUGUUCACUCUAAGGCAACAUCGUAAUGAAAUCCAUGGUAAUCUCCUCCCAUUUUCAAACAGUGAUAUCUAACGGUUACAUCUUGUCGUGAGGCCACUGAUGCUCGGCCUUGACUUUCCUUCAAGUCAAGCAUCUCUCCACGUACCAAGCUACAUCCCGCUUCAUACAGGGCCACCAAUAAUCAGGAUGAAGAUCAAUAUACAUCUUCGUCGUGGUGGGAUGAAUGGAGAAUCUCAAUUUGUGUGCCUCCUCCAUCAGAACUUGACGCACACCAGCCCAAUCGGAACCCACACUCUUCGAUGGAGAUUCAAUAACCCUUGGUUUUCAUAAUAAAAGGAAGCCACCUGACUCACUGUGCGCUCACUCUUCCCAUCACAACCUCAACCUGAGCCUCUCAAAUCUACUCUAAAAGUGGAGUGAUCACAGUCAUCCUGAAACAAAUAUCCUUGAACGGAGCCGCGAUCGCCUUGCUGCUAAGAGCAUCGGCCACCACAUUAUCCUUCCCCGUAUGGUAAAGGAUCUCACAAUCAUAAUCCUUCACCACAUCCAACCAUUGGCACUGCCUCAUGUUCAUAUUUGGCUGAUCCAUCAGAUACCUCAAGCUCUUGUGAUAUGUCUAUAUAGUACAGCGGGCCCCAUAGAGGUAAUGUCAUCAAAUCUUGAGGGCAAAAACCAUAGCCCCAACUCUAAAUCAUGCAUCGGAUAAUUCGUCUCAUGAUGCUUCACUUACCUUGAAGCGUAAGCGAUCACGUGACCCCUCUGCAUCAGAACUACACCUAAACCUGUGAUCGACGCAUCAUAAUAAACCAUGAAAUCUUCAACACCCUCCGGCAGGGUCAAAAUAGAUGCCUCACACAAUCUUUAUCUUAGGGUCUCAAAAGUUGCAUGUUGGUCGGGCGCCCAGCGAAAAGUGACAAUCUUCUUCGUCAACCGAUUUAGAGGAACCGCUAUCUUGGAGAAAUCCUAAAUGAACCUCCGAUAAUAGCCUUCCAACUAAGGAAACUCCAAAUCUUAGAUGGAGACCUCGGUACCUCCCACCUCAUCACGGCCUCGACCUUGGCCGGAUCGACCAGAAUACUGUUUUGGUUGACAAGGUGCCCUUGAAACUGCACCUCGUGCAACUAGAACUCGCACUUGGAGAACUUUGCAAAAAGUCUCUCCCUCCUCAAAGUUUCCAAUACCUCCCUGAAGUGCUCCUCAUGUAGCUCCUGGGUCUUGGAAUAGACCAGGAUAUCAUCAAUGAAUAGGGCAUUUUGUAUAAUCAAUUGUUGAUGUUAUUGAAAAUAAUGAUGUUAUUGAAACAUAUGCAUGGCAUGUAUUCCCAAUAAUUAUAUUUAAUUAAUUGGUUGUUGUGCAUGUUAUUAUAUUGGGAACAAAUUAGAAAGUGGUCCAUGUGGUAGUACAUGAUAUGUAUGGGGACCAUUUGUAGUUAAUAGUCAAUGGGUAUUUUUAUAAUGGAAAAAUGGGACCUUUGAACCCAUUAUAGAACCAUAUCCAUGACUAUAUAACAAAUUCACAUGCAUGCACAUUAUUCCAAAUUUUUCCAUGCAUAAAUAUUCAAACCCAUUGGUCAUGAGUUUACUUAAAAAGGCAACAUACUUUCAUAAGUGAGUAAAAUAUCAUUUCAUGUCAACAAUUUACUUACAAAGGCAACAUACAUUCAUUAGUGACCAAAAUACCCUUUUAUGUCAUGAGUUAACUUAAAAAAGCAUCACGCAUACAUAAAUGACUAAAAUACCCUUUUAUGUCAUGAGUGAACUUAAAAAGGCACCAUGCAUACAUAAAUGACCAAAAUACCCUUUUAUGUUAUGAGUGAACUUAAAAUGGCACCAUGCAUACAUAAAUGACCAAAAUACCCUUUUAUGUCAUGAGUUAACUUAAAAAGCCACCAUGCAUACAUAAAUGAUCACAUCACAUGUAUUCAAAUACACAUACUUUAAAUCCAAAUUACCAUCAUCCUAAUACACAAACUUAAAAUCCAAAUUACCAUCAUCCUAACACACAUACUUUAAAUCUAAAUAACACAAAGGAAAAAUCAACACUAAUAAAUUAGAAGAGCUUUUCCCUUAGAAUUUCCUGGAUCAUCAACACCACCAACUUUCUUGCCUAAUUUCAACUUGAAGAUUCUCUUUGACUUUCUUCUCCUUAUCCUGUUCAAAAUCUUGGAAAUUGGUCUAACCCUUACCUGUUGAACCUAGAUAAUAGGAGUAACCUCCUAAAUUUGAACAUUAUCAACAACUUGGACAUUAGGAAUAACCUCAUCAUCUUGAACAUUACCACCCUCCUCAACUUCCUCACCCAUAACACCCCCAUCACCUUCAUAACUUCUAGGUGGAAUAACUUGCAUAGACUGACUAAAAUCCCUUGCACUACUGGAUUCAACAUGAGUAGAAGUAACUUGCAUAUCAUUUUGAGUAUUAUCCAUCUCAAUUGGAGUCAUUUAACCUCUUCUUGUUGUUGUGGUUCACUUGUACUACCCUAUAUGGCAUGAUAUAAUUAUGUUAGUGGCAAAUCAUAUGUAAAUAAAUUUAAAUUUUAAAUGGUUUUACCUGUUCUGCAUUUUUCUUCACAUAAACUUUUUGUUUCUUCUGUUUCUUUACAUUUAACUUUUGGGGCCUUCUCUAUGGACAAGUGGCCUUACUGUGACACAUCUCCUUGCAUAUAAUACAUCUAAUUUUCUUUCCAUCCUUAGAAACCCUGUGUGUUCCUGUAUUCUUUGUAGUGGAUUUCUUCUUCUUAGUAGCUGGCCUACCAUGCAUCCGUCUACUAAUAAGAGGCAAUGGUGGAGUAUAAUUUGUCUCUGGCCACAUGUCACUGCCAUUCAUGGGGGAAAUUCUGUAAUUGUAUGCCUUCCGAAUUGUGGUGGUGUUAAACAUGUUGUCUACAUAGGCUUCUACAUCUCUAUUAAGAUUGGAUAUGGUAGCUACAGAAUGAGCAUAUCCAUAUCCAUUUAACCGCCACAACCUACAUGAACAUGUUUUCCUUUAUAAGUCCACCUCAUAUGCAUCUGUUUCUCCCUUACCUCGAACUGGUUUAAUCCACUAGGUAGUACCUGAUAAUGCCUCUGAAUUUUUUAAGCAAAUUCACCUUAUCCCUUAUCUCUGGACAAAUAUUAUUUCCCCAUUGUUGUCCCUUUAAUUUCAUGUUGUACAUUUUGUCCAUCAUGUAUAAUCUUAACUCCUCUAACAUGGUUAUUAUGGGCUUCUUCCUGGUAUCCACUAUUACAACAUUAAAACUUUCAGAGAAAUCAUUUUCAACUGCAUCACAACACCUUCCAGCUUGAAAGUAAGCUCUUGACCAUGUUUUAAGAUCUUUCUCCAUGAGAUAUUGAUGGGCAUCUGGGUUUAAUGUCUCAAUUUCCUUCAUCACAACUUUAAAAGCAUGCUCAUUUGUGGUUUUAGAUGCUCUCCAAAACAAGGUAUGAUAUAUGACACCAGUGAAUCUCUUCUGCAAAUUUUGAAAAAUAUGUCUAGCACACUGCCUGUGCAUAUGGAAGAAACUCUUUAACAGCCUCUAUCAAACCUUGUAUUAAUAAAAAGGUUUAAAUCAGAUAGUAUAAAAUAAAUAUAAAUGAAUUACUAUGUAAAAUACUAACCUUAUGUUGGUCUGACAUUAAACUGAAGCAAUUGCCUAAACUUAAGUUUAGAUUAUUAAUGAGAAGCUCUAAAAACCACUUUUAAUUCUACUUGUUCUCCACACUAACCAUUGCCCAAUCAAUAGGAUAUAUCUUGUUAUUUACAUCCCUCCCAAUAACACAAAGCAAUCCCCCCUUACAAACACCUUUAAGAAAACAUCCAUCAAGACCCAUUAUCCUUCUACACCCUUUAAUCCAACCUUGUUUAAUUCCUUGAAAACAAACAUAGAACUUGCUAGAAUAUUUCUUUCCAUCUGGACCAUCCUCCACAUCUAGUUUCACAGUUGACCUAGGAUUUGUCCUUAAAAUCUCAUCAACAUAUUACCAUAGCUUACCAUAAUGUUCAACAAGGCUACCUUCAACAAGAUUUAAUGCAUACUUCUUUGUUCUCCUACAUUAGCCCAUACUAACUUGGAUACUAAACUUGGUCAUUACCUUUACCCUAAGCUUCCUUACACUCAUUUUAUGACUUUGUACAAUCUCUUUGGUAUAGUGACUCCCAAUCCAUGCAUAUGUCACCAAUAAUCCAAACUUGAAGUUCCUAGCACAAUUAUGAUAAGCUUUUUGUGACUUGAUUUGGAAAGUCUCUCCAUCAUUCAUCCAAGAAGCCCAUAAUAUAAAUGUGCAAGCACCCUUGCUACAUCUCACCAAAAGUCUUUUCCUAUCAUAUUUUUUCAAAACACAAUUGAUAUCCAUUAGCCACAACAUAGUUGCACAACCUUGACUUUACUUGCCCUGGACCCUUAGAUCUCAUUCCUAGAAUUGGUUUUUGUUUUUUCCAGUGUAAUAGCUCAUUAAAUAUGGAAAUAGUUUGGAUGUUAGGUUCAACUUCUCUCCCAUUAUCAUCAUCUACAAUGUUGUUAUCCUCCUCAUCAUCAACACACAACUUACUCACGAAAGGAUCAUUUGAUGUCCUAUUCAUAUGCACUGCAUCCUUAUUAAAUUCAAAGACAACAUUCCUAAGUUCAUCUAUGUUAUCUUCAUCUAUGUUAGCGGCGCAGCUUUUUGCCCGUUUGCCUUCAAUCGAUAUGUAUUGAACAAAAAUGUUUGAAUGUCUAUCAAUACAAGGCUCAUGUUCAUCAUCAAACCACCCACCAACACCAACCCCAAUAUGAUCCACAUAAACCGAAAUUACACCAUCUGUUCCAUCAACAUCAAAAAUAAAAGCAGCAUAGUCCACAUCAUCUGAAAAUGGGAUUAAGCUCUUCCAUCAGGGAAUUGCCUGGUUUACAGUAGUAAAACUUUUUACACUCUUCAUGCAUGAAAUGUUCACAGAAGGUCACAAGCUCAGAAUAAGUCAUAGAAGAAAAGUCGACAUCAGUGAACAUGGUUUUCACACCACCAGUGUAAGAGAAAGGAUUUCGAUUAAAUACCCCUUGGUAGUUGAGUUCCACCAUCACAAACACUCCAUUAGGUUCCGAUUGUGCCAUUUUUGCGACUUCUUUGGCUCUUCAGCUCGAUCACAAAAAUGCUUCACAAAACCUAAAUCAAUUUCUUUUAAAACUAAAUAAUGAAGACGAGUGAAGUUCGAUAGCUGAAGACAAAAGGCUUAAAGCUUCGUAUAUCAUCUAUUGAUGUGGCAUAUCUCACAUGGCAUCAGAUUAGCUAAAAAAGAUAUAUUAAUUGACAUAUAUAAAAUGUCAACCAGGAAACCGUUUACAAGUAUGGAAAUGACUAAAUUAAUAAGUCAGAUACCAUUUUAAUGGUCUAAUGUACCCAAAAAACUUUAAUGACCAAAUUAGCCAAAUGUAAAAAGUUUCAUGUGCUACAGUGACAUUAUCCCUGAUGGGUUUUGAGCAUUCUAACACUCCUAUGGUGUACAUGCAACCCUAGAAACCUUGGAUCUAUGUUUGACUAAUAUACAUGCAAAUAAUUAUUUUCCAAGGUUCUUAUCCUAUCUAGCAUGGCAUGGGAACUUGAAUCAAAUAGAGCUAGUAGAAUUACUUACCUUGUAGUUGUUUAAAGCUUCGUAUAUCAUCUAUUGAUGUGGCAUAUCUCACGUGGCAUCGGAUUAGCUAAAAAAUAUAUAUUAAUUGACAUAUAUAAAAUGUCAACCAGGAAACCGUUUACAAGUAUGGAAAAUGACUAAAUUAAUAAGUCACAUACUAGUUUAAUGGUCUAAUGUACCAAAAAAACUUUAAUGACCAAAUUAGCCAAAUGUAAAAAGUUUCAUGUGCUACAGUGACAAUAUCCCUGAUGGGUUUUGAGCAUUCUAACACUCCUAUGGUGUACAUGCAACCCUAGAAACCUUGGAUCUAUGUUUGACUAAGAUACAUGCAAAUAAUUAUUUUUCCAAGGAUCUUAUCCUAUCUAGCAUGGCAUGGGGAACUUGAAUCAAAUAGAGCUAGUAGAAUUACUUACCUUGUAGUUGUAGUUGAUUGCUUGGAGUUUUAGAGCCUAGCACCAAUAGUGUGGAUGCCUCAAAUGUAAAUCACAAAUCACUACAAACUUGGAACUUUGAGAGAAUAGUAACCACCUUUCUUGAAAUCGGCCCUCUUACUUUACUCACCACAACUAGUAUGAUUUCAAGAACCAAAGCCUCCUUUAUAUAGUGUGGUGGAUUAGGGUUACAUCCAUGUAAACCCUAAUACCCAUGUCUUUUCAUUUCCAUGAGAUCCAUGGGUUAAAGCUCCAUGGAGUAUCCAUGGACUUUCCAAGCAAGCCUAGCCCAUUCCAAAUAAGCAUUAGCCCACACUAUAUAAAUAUAAGAGCCCAUAUUUAAUUAGUAAUACUUUUGAUCUCUAAAUUAAUUUUAGAUUAAUUAUAGAUCAAUACUAAUUAAAUAAUAUGGUUUUAUAUUAAUAUAUUAGAACUUAUAAUAUAUUAAUAAAUCAUAACUUAUACUAUUCUCAAAAGAUUAUCCAUAAAUUGUUCGGGUGAAGUGCAACCCAAAUGGACCAUGACGGGUCGGGUCAAGUACAUACCAAAUAUAGUUAUGGACUUAGACACUAUAUCCAACAAUCCCUACAUAAAGUCAUAUGUAGUCAAGGAUCAGAUAGAUAAUCGAACAUAUGACUCACCUAAGAGCGAACAAUCAGAAAAGAACAUCACAAUCAAGCCUUAGAUCAAGAGUUAUCAGUCUAUCCAACUUAAACUAGAUAGACCUAAGAUAUUAUUACCACCUAACCAUGUGACAUAAACAUUUAACAGAUACUAGCAUAUUUAUACACUUAGCAACUAUCCUUCCCUAGUUACCCUGUCAUUGAUCACUUCUCAAUCAAGUGAUCAUCUGGUCAGUCAUGCAUAAUCAUGAUAAUUGACCUACCCCAAUUUCCCUAACUAAACAUAACUCAUAACAAUAUCAUACAAUAAAUAGGAAAGACCUCACAAGAAUAGCAUACCCAGACACCAAGUGUUCUAAACUGCACAUGCAUAUCCUAGCCAACUAGCAUAUUUGUACUCUAACAGUAUCUCCAUCCUAUCAUGCACAGGAUAUAUAAUGAGAUAUGUGGCAUACUAUGAAACUCACCUGAACUGAAGAACCGGAGAAGCACAACAACACUCUUACACAUUUCACUACUCGAUCAUGUGAACCAAUUAACACCAAAAUAGAUAAAUCCUCAAUCAAUAAUCCAAAUCCUCCAAGUUUGACCCUAAGUCAAACUGGUCAAAAGUCAAUAGUCGAUGUAACGCCCAUGUUUCUUUCCAGACAUUAACUAAAUAAUUAGGGUCAACAAUCACCACAACGUGGUAACCUCUUGGCCACAUCCUGGGAAUUUCCAUACAAAAUAGUUACGAAGCUUAGGAUCACCAUGUCGUUGCAAGCCUAUUGCCACGUCGUGGAAAUUCACAGGAAGUCAUAUUCUUCAUUAUGAGCUUAAUGCUUACAGAUCUAAGCUCAAACUUUCAUAUUUGAUUCUUCUUGAUGAAUUAAUGGAUCUUAAACCAUAAGUCUAUUAAGUCUUUAAUAUGACCAAAACUAGAGCAUGGAGAAAAGGGAGCUAUGAAUUAACGCUUUUUCCAUCAAACAAGACCAAAAGAUGGUCACCAAACAAUUCUAAAGUUCUGGAGUUGGCCAAAACUCCAAGAAAAUGCCUUCAAGGGACUUCAAAGCAUGAUAUGAGAGAAAAGGAUGAUAAAGGUGGAAGCUUUAUACCUUCCCAAAAUCCACAAGACAUAGGAGAUGCAAGAUCUGAAGUAGAUACACCAUUCAAACUAGCAAACACACUGUCGUUUCCUUCCCAAAGUGCAACCCAAGGCUUCAAACUUCAAGAACUCCAAGAACUCAUCAAUAUCACUCAAAUAGGGCUAGGGUUUCGAAAUAGGAGGAUGGAGACUGAGGGAAAUGAGCUAACCCUAGAGUUAAGGCCAUUAAAUAUGGGAGAAAAUAUAAAAAAAAAAAUUAUGUGCUUGGGCUACAGCACUCACAACGUCGUGGCAACCCUCUAGUCAUGUCGUGGUGCUCUUCAAAAUGUGCGUUCCCGAAAAUAUGUGUCACGUCGUGGUCAUCCAUGCACCAUACCAAGGCAUAGAUUUUUCUCCUAAAACCCCAUCUUUGAUCCUAUUAGCUCUUUAGUUAAACUAUUAUAGAAAAUAGGUGUUAUAGCCACCAUUCCGAGUUCCUUCUGUGACUGCUAAAUUAGUGUUUGGCGGGUUGGGGAGCCCGACUUCUUUCUCUUAUAUCUUCACAUAUAUAUAUAUAUAUAUAUAUAUAUAUAUAUAUAUAACAUUUUUUUUUCAAAAGUGUAAUACUAUCAAGGGAAAUUGACUUAUCAGGGUAAUUACUGUUUUGUUUUGUUCACAUCGGGGUAACUCUUUUUUUAGUACACAUCUAGGUAACAAACUUUUUGUAAGUGUUCACAUGUGACCAUUAUAAUUGGUUGUAGCAAGUUACAACCGAACGUAAUUGUCAUAUAUGAACACUUCCAACAAGCUCGUUACCUCGAUGCAUACAAAAAAAUGAAGUUACACAUAUGUGAACAAAACGAAAAGGUAAUUACCCUGAUAAGCCAAUUUCCCUUUUUAUUAAGGUGGCAAAUCAUAAUGUUUGUAAUAUUAAUAUAUUCAUUUAAAUUUCUUUAAAACAACAUUUGUAACACCCGGAAUCUAGAAGAUUAAUUAUGGAAACAAAUUCCCUUACCUAAGUAAAAACACGAUGAGUUGAUGGUGGGAAACUCGAUGUGUUGGAGGUUUUUGGGACACACGUUUUUAUGAACCAACUCGGUGAGUUGGUGAAGGAAAAUCGGCGAGUUGGACACUGACUGAGAAACCCUAAUUUUUAGGGUGUUACACCCUAUUUAAAGACCUUAAGUUCUUUAGCUGGCCUCCUUACCGGCCUCCUCUAUCCAGAAACCCUAAAACUGAGCCUUGUCUUCCAUUUAUGAGUGUGAAAGCUUGGGGAGAGCCUUGAGAGUUCAUUUUUGGUGCUUUUUGAAGGAGCUAAGGAAUUAGGAGUUGCUUGGCUUGAAGAAGAAGUCUUGGAUCCAGAAUCUCUGCCUCAUUUGCCAAGUUUUUGAGGAAUCGUGUUCUUACCUUGCUUAUUUGUUGCUUAGAUCUCUUCUUGGGUUAGAGUUUAUGAUUUUUAGCCAUUUUGGGUGAAUGUUGGGGAUUAGGAGGUCCCAAGCAAUUAUUAUUUCAGAUAUAAGGGCUAGCGGCGCUGCUUGUUGCCCGUUCGCCUUCAAUCGAUAUGUAUUGAACUUUCAUUGGAGUAUAUUUUCUUAAUAUAAAUAUAUAAUAGAUAUAAGGUCUACAUGAGCUCUUUAGGCAUAAAGGUGCCAACUUUAUGGAUUUAAUGGCUUCAUGUAUUCAUUAAGUCUUUCAGUUAGCCCUUUUUGAGCUUUUGAUCACCUCCUAGUCAUGCUUAAGUGUAAAGUUGGAAACUUUACACGGCCAUCUAGCCUUAUGGGGACAGAUCUGCAUUAUGGGUUUUAUCUUUGAUGAUUAAGUGAUUAAUGAUUAAGCCUUCACUCUUUUAAGUUUAGGGUUUGGGUUUGGACCCAUUAGGUGAUUCCUAGGGGUAAAGUUGGAAAAUUUACCCUUCUUGAUCUCAUUUUGGUCGAGAGCAGAGCUUUGGAGCCUUUGGACUCGAUGAAGGUACCUUAAUGCAUUAAGAUGUUGGUUCUUGAGAGAACUCGGCGAGUUGACUUGGUUUCCCCGAUUUGUGUAGUUGAUGGAGAAACUCGACGAGUUGGGUUAACUUGGACCGUUGACUUUGACUUUCGAUUUAUGUCUUUGAACAAGUUUGUCCCAAUGGGUACUUGAGGUAAUCUGAAUUGUAAUUAAGGGAAUUAUGAGAUUAGGAUAAGGCCCAUAUGGGGUUGGUCCCAAUUUGGAAAAUUGGGCCAUUACUGGGCCUUUGCGGAUCUUUUGGUUUUGGACUUUUUGGUUAAUGGAAUUUGGGCCUCAGUUUUGGUUCAUGACGCGUUAGGGUUAAAAUGGUCAUUUUCCCCCAAGUAUGGAUGGAGGGCUUUAGAAUGGAACCCAAUUGCUAAUUAGGUGUUAUUUUGAUCUCAUAGCUCGGAGGUCUCAUCAGGGCAGCAGCUAGGGACUUCUUUCUGUGAGUUUCUGCGUUCGAGGUGAGUCUCCUUACUUUUCUAUGGUUUGAAGGCAAUAAUGACGGCCCAUUUGGUUUAUGUAUUAUAGGAAGACCUGGGGGAUAAACCUUGGCAGUUUGUAUGAAAGACCAGGAGGCGGCUCCUGGCAAACUGUAUGCAAGACCAGGGUCUGAACUCUAGCAGUUGACUAGUUAAGUAGUGUAGAUUUUAUACUAUUUGUCUUUGUGACACUUUCAUGGAAGACUCGAAGGUGGAUCCUGGCACUUGUCUGUAAGACCUAGGUUUUUGGCCCCCGGCCUGACAAGGAAGACCACAAGGCGGCUCAUGUCAUAAUGGCAAGACUAUGGAUGGCACAUAUCACCUUUACUAAUUGGGGUAUAUGUAUGCUAAGUAAGACUCAGUGAUAUUAAUGUUAUUUAUAGUUUUGAGUUGAGUUUUCUCCUGCGAUUGAGGUGCAACAGUUGGUGCGAGAGUUUCUGGAUCUCUGUCAGACUACUGAGACUGUGGCAGAUUGUGGAAGGGUGGAAGUGAUGUAAGACUGAGGGGUGGCCCGUAGCAUUCACUAGUUAGAAGUUGGUAUAAAAAUGUUGUAAGACUGUGGGGUGGCACGUAGCAUUCACUAGCGAUCAGAUAGUGUGGGAAGUGUUGUAAGACAGAGGGGUGGCCCGUAGCAUUCACCAGUCCCUAUACAGCGGUGAGAGUGUGGCAAAUUUGUGAUUUGCUCACGGUUUUCUUCGGAUGAUUUUGGCCAGGAUGGAUCAGUUCGCAAGGCUAUGGGAAGGACACAACAUGUUUGGAAUCAAGAUAUGGGAGGUCGUGGGAGACCGGGUUUGAGGUAAGACUAUAGUUGGUCUGUAACGUUCAACCUAGUAUCAGAUUAUUGACGAGACGGUUUGGGUAGUUAUUGCCAGUGAGGCUUUUUUUCAAAAGUUGCGAUGGGCGAUUGUGUGGAGUUUCAAAAGCAGCUACGAGGCAACAAGCUGUUUUGGGCAGUAUUAGUGAUUUUUGGGCAGUAUUUUCGGGUAGUACUAGUCAUUUGGAAUUUGUGUGUGAAUAUGUAAUUUUUCAAACAAUUUUUUUUUCAUUUAUAAAACUCAUAAAAACUCAUAUAUUUCAUUUCAUAAAAUCACAAGUGUCUCAAGUCAACAUAAAUCCACAAGAAAAAUCAAAUCCUAGAAUCCUCAACAUAAUCUCGAACAGGUGUGUACAAUCACGUCGGUGCCUUCCCGCGAUCCUCGGAGGUACUUGAAACACAUAUCACAUAGCACGGUAAGCAUAAAGCUUAGUGAGUUCCUCAAAAUACCAUGCACACACAUAAUUAGCCACUCGAGGCUAUCGCUCUGUAAGACCCUCCGGUUAAUGUGUCUUAGCGAGACCCACCAGUCCUACAAAUCGUCAGACCCUCCGGUCCGGUCUAAGUGAGAACCCUCCGGUCUCACUACUCGUUGGACCCUCCGGUCUAGUCUAAGUGAGGACCCUCCGGUCUCAUAGUUCGUUGGACCCUCCGGUCCGGUCUAAGUAUCUCAUAAUAUAGUACACAGUAUAUAUCACACAGAAAUACAUAACUCAAGCAAGCACAUAAGACCCUCUGGUCACACAUAAUGACCACACUAGGUAAGGUAUAAUGAGAAGACUCACCUCCUAAGAACUCGGAUAAUCUCAAACUCAAAUCACAGGUUUAGCCUCCGCCUAAUAUACACAAUAAUUAUCCCUAAUUAAUAACGGCUCUCACAAGGCUGAACUAACCCUUCCAUACACUCACAGAAGGGUAAAAGACCAUUUUACUCCUCCAUGGGCUUAAUAGACCACAUGUUGACCAAACCCUAAAAGUCAACCGAAAGCCAACAGCAAGGAGUACGCUGUGCGUACCAACUCCCUACGUUGGGCAUACUCGGCUGCCAUGCAGGCAUCGUGGAGACUCGACCUCUACGUUGUGCGUACUGGGAUUAUGCCCAGCGUACAUCCUAGUUUCACUCUCCUCACAAUUUUGGUCUUAAACAGUUAAUACAUUGGCUCAUAAUUCAGAUCUGGACUCCCUAAUGUCUCUUAAUCCAUAAAGUUGGUGACUUUAAGCCUUUGCGUGGCUAAAUAGGUCACAAACACUGAAAACUCCCAUCCCCUUUCCUCAUGAAACUCAUAACUCAUGCAUGGCUUACUCCUAAUGUCCAAGAUUAGAUUUUUAUGACUUUACUCCACAAAAUACACUGAAAAGGGAUAGAUCAAGGCCUCUAGAGUGCAUUAUCUCAUAAAGUCUCCAUCUUUUGGGAAAAAACCCUAAAGUAAUUCAUAUGAAUGCACCAAACAAACAAAUGAGAAAGCUUGAAGAUUUAUACCUUUAUGUGAAACCUUCUUCACAGCUAAGCUCAGAUCCAACUCCUGGGGCUCUCACUCCUUCUUCUCUAAAGCUUCCUCUCUACUUCAAGAACACAAGAUUACACCAACAAGCUCUCAAAUGCACUCUCCAGCUAUAAUGACGGAGAUUUAGGGUUAGGAGGGGUUGGUGUUUGGGAAUGGUGGCCAGGAAUGAGGCCAUCAUGUCCUUUAAAUAGUGAGCUCAUUAAAAUUUAGGGUUUCAUUAUGGGCCUAGCAUGCCCAGCGUACCCACUGGUACGUCGCGCGUACUAGGUGGCCUCCACAUCACUAACACGCAUUGGAGUAUGCUGAGCGUACACUCAAGUACGCCCCGAAUACUCGUUUACCACCUUUUCUCUAAUAAGGCCAAAAUGGACAAAUGCUCAAUAGAUCAAGGUUUACAAGGUAUACCUGGACUUGGGAUGUUACAUCGUGUGUGAGUCUCUUGUAGUUCGGGGAAUAUAAUAAGUUGCUUGUAGUGGAUUAAAUAAUCUCAGAGUGGUUGAUUUGAUUCUAUUGCGCAGUUCUCGUCUGAGUCUAACCAUUGCAGGGAUGAAUCUUCUACUCAAAGGAUUAUCUGAGCCUAUUGUCGAGUAUAAGUGUUCUGUAGCUGCAAAUGAUCUGUUUUUUGGUUCCUUUAAAAGCAUUAAGAUAUUGGUUUUAUAGUGGUUCAGAGAGGGGGAGGGGGUGAUCAGCCAGGAAGUCAAAUCAAAUUGAGAUUUCAGGUAUCAGGAAAGGUAAAGGUGGGUUUUUCUGCAAGGGAUUAAGGUUCGUUCUGCUAGGGUUGGUUUCAGUUGCUAUGGGAAGGUGGUAGUAUUAUGGGGUUGUGAAGAUGAGUCCUUAUGGGGACAGUGUUAUCUGGUGCUAUCUGUCAUGGAGUUCGGCAAUGUCCAGGGUUUUCCAGGUUCAAGUUUAAUGGUUAGGGAUCUUCUAUUUUGGAUUUGUCAUCGGUAUGGGUGGGCGGUUAUCUAAGCGGGGUGACUUCCUUAGUCUUUUGGGGUUCAAGGAGUUUAGUCAGGAUCAUCAGUUCGGUACACGAGAUUUUAGGGAAUGAUUUCGAGGAUGAAAUCUAAUUUAAGUGGGGGAGAGUUGUAACAUCUGGAAUUUACAAGAAUAAUUGUGGAAAUAAAUUCCCUUUCUAGGGACCAACACGGCGAGUUGAUCGUGGGAAACUCGACGUAUUGGAGGCUUUUGGGAUGAGCGUUUUUAUAAACCAAUUCAAUGAGUUGGUGAAGGGAACUCGGCGAGUUGGACGCUAAUCGAAAAACCCUAAUUUUUAGGUUGUUGUACCCUAUCUAAAGGCCUUAAGUUCUUUGGUUGGCCUCCUUACCAGCCUCCUCUGUCCAAAAACCCUAAAAUCGAGCCUUAUCUUCCAUUGUUGAGUGUGAAAGCUUGGGGAGAGCCUUGAGAGUUUAUUUUUGGUGCUAGUUGAAGGAGCUAAGGAAUUAGGAGUUCCUUUCCUUGAAGAAGAAAUCUUAGAUCCAGAAUCUCUGCCUCAUUUGCCAAGUUUUUGAGGUAUCAAGUUCUCACCUUGCCUGUUUGUUUCAUAGAUCUCUUCUUGGGUUAGAGUUAAUGCUUUUUAGCCAUGGUUGGGUGGAUUUUGGGGAUUAGGACAUCCCAAACGAUUAUUAUUUCAGAUCUAAGGUAUAUAUGAGCUCUUUUGGCAUAAAGGUGCCAACUUUAUUGAUUUAAGGGCUUCAUAGAGUCAUUAAUUCUUUCAUUUAGCCGUUUUUGAGAUUUUGUGCUCGUCCUAGUCAUGCUUAAGCGUAAAGUUGGAAACUUUACAUGGCCAUCUAGCCUUAUGGGUUCAGAUCUGCAUUAUGGGGUUUUGUCUUUGCUGAUUAAGUGCUUAAUGAUUAAGCUAUCACUCUUUUAAUUCUAAGGUUUGGGUUUGGACCCAUUUAGGUGGUUCCUAGGGGUAAAGUUGGAAACUUUAACCUUCGGGGUCUUAUUUUGGUCAAUAGCUGAGUUUGGAGCUCUUGGAUUCGAUGAAGGUAGCUUAACGCAUUAAGCUGUUGGACUUUUAGAGCUCAUAUCGUGAGUUCGAUCUUAUCCAUCCGCUGAAUCGACUUCUGACAGCCCGACUCUGGAACCCAUCCAUCACUGGCUCACGUCGUGAGCUUCAUGCUCACGUCAUGAGUCCUCUUAUAGUGUGGGGUUGAGUCUUUUACUCGAAGGAUUAUUUGAUCUUUGUUGCGUGUGGCUAUAUUAAUGAGGAAGCUAGUUGACAUUGGUGGGAUUCCUUUAGCAGUUGAGGGUUUGGUGAGGUCGGGAACCUAGGAAAGCCUAGGAUAUGCUUUAGUGGGUUAGUGGUACGGUUUAGUGAGUUUUGGUGCAUUGUGCUGAAGAAGUGACUUAGAGGAUUCGAGAGGAUUACUGAGGAAAGUAUGGAUAGGUGGGCUUUAGAAUGGAACCCAAUUGCUAGUUGGGUGUUAUUGUGAUCUGAUAGCUCGGAGGUGUCGUCAGGGCACUAAUGUCGGCCCAUUUGGUUUAUGUAUUAUAGGAAGACCCAGGGGAUAACCCUGGGCAGUUUGUAUGAAAGACCAGGAGGCGGCUCCUGGCAAACUGUAUGCAAAACCAGAAUCUGAACUGUGGUAGUUAACUAGUUAACUAGUGUAGAUUGUAUGCUAGUUGUCUUUGUGAUGCUUGCAUGGAAGACUCGGAGGUGGCUCAUGGCACUUUUUUGUAAGACCGCAGGUUUUGGCCCCCGCCCUGACAAGGAAGACCACGAGGCGGCUCGUGACAUAAUGGAAAGACUAUGGAUGACACAUAGCACCUUUACUGAUUGUAGUAUAUGUAUGCUAAGUAUGGCUUGUUGAUAUGAAUGUUAUUUAUGGUUCAAUCGGUAUGUUUGGUAUGUGGUAUUUGGGGAACUCAAGAAGCUAUGUGCUUACAUUUUGUGCUUUAUGGUUUCAUGUAAUUCCAUUUUGAAAGGAAAGGGUUCGGCUUAAUCGCAACGCAUACACCCAUGUUUUCCGCAAUGUGUGAUAUUUAGGAAUGAACUCUGAUAAUUGUUUUAUUUUGAAACUCUUCUAGAUGUCGGAUUAAAGGUUAAUGAAUGUUUUGGGCAUAAUAAAAACGAAAUUUUUACCCCUGAUUUUCGGGAUGUUACAACAUUUAUUACCAUUUAUUGACAUUUAAAUUGGCCACGACAUGUUUGAAACCAUUUGUGAUAGCAUAAUUAUCAAAUCAAAUAACUCUAUAUAUUGAGACAAGAGCAAUGUUAUCCAUGUGGAUAAAAUGUAUUUCUAUUUUUUGUAUUUUAAAUUCAUGUAAUACAUGGAACAAAAUUGAAGAUGAUAUUCUAUUUCAUGUUAUUGGUCUCAAUAUCUGACACUUUUAGUAUCUAGUAAAUUUUAAUUUUCAUAUGUAAUAUCUUAAACAAUAAAAUUCUAUAAAAUGACGAUGUAUUUUUUCCAUGUCAAAUGUGAUUUUUUUUUUGUAUCAAAGUAGUGUAUUUUAAAAAGAUAUUUACCAAGUUGGAUUGAGUGACAAGUGGAUUGAGUUAACUGAAAAAAAAAAUUAUUUUUCAUGGGUUAGAAAAGAUGAAAAAAAAAAGUUGAUAUAGAACUCACACCACAUGAAUGAUUUGACACCGUUCUACUCCUACGACCUUUACCCCCAACAUCGAAUUCAUUAUGAUUGUUAGCCUAUCUUACGAGACAGACAUGACCUCCUACUACCAUGUAUACUAAGUCCCACUAUUUAUAACUCUACCCUAUAAAACUCGACGGAGCGCUGGGGUGAAGGGUUACGGGAUCCUUUCCCGCUCACCGGAACANNNNNNNNNNNNNNNNNNNNNNNNNGGGGGGGGGGGGGGGGGAAGGCUGCUGCACUCUCUCUCUCUCUCUUCUUCCUAUUGGCUGGUUUUUUUCCCAAGCGAACUGUUUGAAAUAAAUAACAAAAUUAAUUUUUUUUUCAAUACAACUAUUGAAAAACAACAAUGAAUUUAUAUAUAUAUAAUUUUGUUUUUACCUCUAUAACAUCUAUAAAUAUACACAUACUUUAACCUUUCAAACUCACACCUCCUUCUAUGAAUUUCUCUGUACUUUCUUCAAAAAAAGGAAUCCAUACAACCAAACCCCAAACUUCGAUAGAAGGAAAAAAACCAAUGUUUCAAAUUUAAGCACCCCAACUCGAAACAUUUUUGAUAUCGAUUCAUCUCAAGGGGUUUAUCGUCCACAACUCGAUGCUCACAUUUAAUCUUCACUACAAUCACAAUACCAAAAUAUUAGACAAUUUUACCCGAUGCAAGUUCCAAAUGUUACUCCAAAUAUGCUAUUAAACUUUGUUGUUUUUCCUGAUCAACUUUCGCCAAAUCAACCCCAAACUCAAAUCCCACUCUUUCAAUCUCAAACCCAAACCCAACCUAAGCCCAAACACAAUAUCAACAACAAUACCAAAUCUUCGAUGAGUCGGAUGAAGAGAUUGUACGGGAAACUCAACCCACAACCCCCAACCCCACAAAGUAAAACAACAAGUGAGAGAGGGUUCCAUACAACCGGGACGACAGAAGCCGCAACCAUGGACUAAACGAGAAGAGAUAAUUGGGGUAAAAGCUUGGGUUGACAUUUCAGAUGAUUCAGCGACAGGAAAAUGCACAACCUGAGGAUCAUUUUUGGUUUCACAUUCUUGAGAGGUUUCAUAAGGAGAUGGGAAAAAGUGACGAGUAUCGUACCAAUCAUCAAUUGAAUUCAAAGUUUCGAGAAAUAGCGUGGGCCGUUUCAAAAAUGAGCGGGUGUACAACAACCUAAAAACCUAAUGGAAAAGCAGCCAAGGAGAUGAAGAAAUACUUCAGGAAGUUUUGCAUUUUUUCGAGAGGAAGUGGGAAAGUCAUUCAAGUGCCACGAUUGUUGGAAAAUAUUGAUUAAAAGUCGUAGGUGGAAAAAAUACGAGCAAGAGUUUAUACGUCGAGUACAACAAUCAAAACGAACAAAAAUGAGCUCUAGUGGUUACACAACUUCCUCCGAUGCUCGGGUCGGUCUAGAUUUAAAUGACGAGGACGCACUCGAGCUAGAAGAAAUUGUCCGACCGAUAGGUAGGGACAAAGCAAAAAUGAAGGGAAAUGAGACUUCUUGGGGUGAAUCGAAUUUCAGCAUGGACGCGGACCAAGUGCGAAAAAUGGUGGAGAUAUUUGAUCGAUAUAAUCUUAAUUUUGCUGAAAGUUUUGGCAUUCGACAAAGACAAAGAAGGAGAAAAAAAGAAGGAGAACGCAUAGAAACAAGAAAUGGAGGAGAUGAUGUUAUUGAUGAAAAAUACCGACCAUCUUUCGGGACUAGCUUCGGAGCUCGUUUUGAAAAAAAAAGGUGCGGAUUAUGCAAAAAUAUUUUCCCUAAGAGUGUUGUUUGUUUUUUUUUUCUAGUUAUUUAAAUCUUAGGUUUUUAUGUAAUUUUUAUUAUAAUUAACAAUGGCGGAGUUACUAUAUCAUUAUAAAUAAUAUUUUGUUUCUUAUAAUGAUAAUCUUUCCUAAUAAAUAAAGAACUUUUUGUCACAUGUCAAACUCUCAUUGAUUUGACCACAUGUCAUUUUGUGGUUAUUUUCAAUUAAUUUUUUUUUACACAUGUCAUUUUGGGGUUUUUUCAUUUUAUUAAUUUUCACAUAAUAUUUAAAUGUAAUAAUUACAAUAAAUAUAAUAAUAAAAUGCAUAUCAAUUUUAUUAAUUGACUUCCUUUUAAUUUUAAAAUUUCUAAAUUAAAGUUUCAUUAGUUUCCUUUAUUUAUUUAUCUAAAUUAUUUGUUUAAUUUAAAAGAAAAACAAACAAUUUAAUUUUAAUAAUUAAAUGUUUUUCUAUUGUUUUCUUAUAAAUUCAAACUUGUCAAAUGUUUAAAAUUUUAUAUGUUUUUCUUUAAAAUGAACUCAUGUAAUACAUGAGUGUUACACCUAGUGAUAGAUUAUAUCACGAGUACAAUUCAUUUAAUGAAACAUAUGUACGUAUAAUUAGAGAAAAUUUUUAAUAUUAGCAUGUUAAUCCUCUCUAAAAAAUAAAAAUAAUUUUGCCACAUAUCACUCUUUUAUUAAUUUGGACACAUGUCAUUUUUUGGUAUUUUUGAUUAAAUGUUUUUUCCAUUUGUCAAUUUUUUAUUUUUUAAUAUUUUCUUAAUUAACACAUCAUAUAUACACCUCAAUUAAUAAUUACCUUAAUUGAAAAUAACCAAUAAAUUACAAUAUUAAUAGUCAUAUAGUAUUUAAUAUGUUUCCUUUUAAAUUUAAAUUUUAAAAUUUUAAUUUCAAAUCUAAAAUUUCAAAUUUGAAUAAAAUUUGUUUGAACUUUUAUAUUUAAUUUUUGUUUUAUCAAACUCGUAUAACAUACGGGUCUCACACCUAAUGGAGAAUUAUAAAUCAACGUUUAUUGUCGGUCUAAACUUUUGAAAUGUCAUUUUUGCAAUGAUCGGUAUAACUUCUCCUUAAAGGAAUUUUUAUAGUCAUUUUCUCUUUCAAGAUUGUAGACUCUUUUACAUUAUUUUGAUAAAAGAUAUAUUUGAAUAUAUUUUUACGACGUCGGCUUUCCUUAUUCUUAAAUCCUGGCUCCGUUCCUUUUAAUUAAUGUAGUGGUUUUUAUUUUUAAUUAUAUAUAUAUAUAUAUAUAUUACUUAUUCAUUUAUAAAAUUAUAAAUCAUAAAAUCAAUUAUUUUUACUUAAAAAAGAGUGAUACACCUUUACAAAAUUAUAAACCAUAAAAAUCAAUUAUUUUUACUUAAAAAAUAGUGAAAAAACCUUCCCACAUACACCUUGGUUUCUAACUAAGAAAAAAAAUGUAGGAAAAAGGAUAAAAUGAUAAAGAAAAAUAAUAAAAAAAAAAAUAAAAACCUUCCCGUACCCACCCUCCGGCAUAAGAAGGUGCGUCCCUACGAGUACAAGAUACACAGGUGUAGAUACAUAUGUAAAAAGCUAGUAAUUAACCAACUAAUUAUUAAUUAUUAAAUAAAAUAGGGAUAUAAUAUUAAUGAUAAACACAUUAAAAUAUUCCAAAUGCUCAUGAAGUCAACAUGAGAAAUUAUAUUGCAAUAAAUUUCUUGUUGGGUGAGAAAUUCACAAGUAAAAUUUGUAUAGUAAAUAACAAACCGAAAGUUCCAGAAACAGGUCAAAACUUAAAACCCUAAAUGAGCUUACAAAUUUCCAUUGGCCACAUACCCCACCACAAAGGCACAAACAAUCAAUGAAACAAGUGUAGAUGUAGAGGCCUUUUUCACCACAAUCACCCUUCAUCGGCCAUUUCGAAGGCCACGUGAAAUGUCACUAACGUGGCCCUCUAAAUAUCCACUACUUUGUCUUUAACCCCUCCCCCCUCCCUUAUAAAACACUCCAUCCUCCUCCUUAAUCACCAUCACCAACAACCUUCUCUCCUUCCUCAAAAGUACCACCAUCUUUUCCGACAUGGCAGCUUCUUCAAUCUUCAUGGCAACUCCCAUCACACUCCUCAAAAAAACUCCCACCUUCUCCGUCAAAUGCAUGUCACAAACACCUCAAAGCGGUGAACCGGAGAUUUCAAAAUCAGCAACCACCCCAACACCACCACAGAUCAACAUUCCUCCUCCUCCGCCACCUGCUCCAAAGGUCAGCACGAAAUUCUCUGACGUGUUGGCGUUUAGUGGACCUGCACCGGAGAGGAUCAACGGAAGGUUGGCGAUGAUAGGGUUUGUGUCGGCGAUGGCUGUGGAAGUGAGCAGCGGUCAAGACGUGUUUACCCAGAUCGGCAACGGCGGAGUUGCGGUGUUUGUGGGGACUAGCGUCGUGUUGACGUU